UCCUCCCCCAGUUUACCUGUCUCCACCUCCACCCUAUCAUCACUACUACGGUUCUCCUUCUCCUCACCACUACUAAGCAAGUGCAUAAGUUUUGAGGUAAUAAUACCUAUCCAAAACUUUAUCAACACAAACUGCCAUGUAUAUCAUGCUAAGGACGUACACUUGAUCCAUGAAAAUGACUAGUAGAAGAUUUUUUUUAAGAACCAAAGAAAUACAUUAUUUUUUCGGUCUGUUUUCAAGAAUUUGAGCAGUAUACAGAUUAAAGAGUGUUUUUUUUUUUGUAAACUUGCUUGUCAACUUAAAAAUGCACAUAGCUGAAAGCCAACUGAAUAUUUGCAGGCAAAGGAGAAGGCAAUCGGUGUUUGAGACCUUCAAGAAGAUGUAGAAGAAUAAGAAUAAAAGCCCAAUGCGAGGAUGAUUCCAAGUUUCUACGUUACCAUUUCUACAUCUAAAUUGACUUUAGCUCCUGAGUUCCAUGUUUAUGGGGUUUGUACCGUUUUACGUACCAUGCAGUACAUGCUUGCAAGGUUUUCUGUCCUGUUGGCAAACUGCAGGUCCAUAUAAUAAAUGAAUACUAUUUACAUUACGACACUUUUCUCUUUUUCUCUUAUAUUUUGUCUUUAAUAUUGUUGAUCAUUUUUUUUUUAUCAAAAGCAUCAAAUGCUUAGGUAAUUUGGUCUAAUGCUAAUUGUUUUACUUUUAUUUUUCACCUACACCCCUUUUCAACUCAAAGGAUGCUAUAGUUUGUGAUAAUUGUUUAAGACCGAAGCAUGAUACUAAUAAAUAUCUCAUUGAAAGUCAAGGAAACUAACAUUAGGAAAAGUUUAAAUCUUGAUUUGAUGAAACUAUUUAUUCGUGGAAUUUAGAGAUACAAAACUCAAAUUGUGACGGUGUUGUUGCUAAAUUAUUAAGGACAUUAUCACCAUUAUUUUUCCCUGAUCACUAGUUUCAACUGCAAUGAUCUCAAUCUUUUUGUGACUAAUUCUUUCCUUAAUAAUUUAUAAAGACAAAACUCACAAAGAAUAUGUGACUAAUUCUUUCCUUUCGUCUUCUAAAGAAAAUGCCAACUGUUAGUUUAUCAAGGGGAAAAAGGAUCGACAUCAGUUAUUAUUGAAACUAGUAAGGAAUAAAUAAUGGUGAUAAUGUCCUUAAUAAUUUAACAACAGCACCAUCAGAAUUUGACUUUGAGCUUCGGUCUUAAACAAUGAUCACAAACUACAGCAUCCUUUGAGUUGAAAAAGGAAGUAGGUGAAAAGAAAAGUAAAAAAUACAAUUAGCAUUCCCUCAAAUUGUAGAAAGUUAGGUAGCAUUAUAGACAAGUUGAUAGCGGCAAUUUUACAUUUCAAACUUCACCUAUUCAAUAACUAAUUCGAUGGCUUGCUACAUGGUCAAUCUUUGGACCCCUUCCUGCCUCCAGAUAUCCCUUUCCUCAAUCAGGGGCUUCUACAAUUACCAGUUUCAAUUGUAUGGUAUAGUGUAAAUAUCAACAAAUUAGAUGUAGAUGCUAACAUAAUAAAUGUGAAUGCUAAGACAGCAACAUACAAUCGAACCUGCAAUUGUAUGAACCCCAAUCUCGCUUCCUAGUCCACCAUCUUUCUCUAGGUAAUAAUCUCCCUUCUAAUUUAUUCACAAAAUGCACCUUUCAUCACCUCCAAUAGCGUCGACAUGAUCUUUACCCUAGAAGACUAUUCACCGACUCUCAAUUGACGUCAGAAAAUCUAAGAGUAAUUCUACUUUACCCUAAGAUUGAUAUCAACAAGACAAGGACAAUUUAGAAUUAUUACACGCCUCUUCUUAAUAGGAAAAAGAAAUAGAGAAGAAAGUCAGGCCAGGUCUAAUUUCUUUUCAAAGGCAAUACAACAUUACGAAAUCAAGCAUUCAUUCAUACAAAUAUUUCAUAGUCACCGGUUUGCUGAGUAGAAAAAUUUAGACAAAAACUUAAUAUUAUAUUGUUUAAGAGUUAACAAUUUAGAGCUUAAUCUCCUUGUACUUUGGAGUUAACAAUUUAGAGCUUAAUCUCCUUGUACUUUGGACUAAACUUGAACGUGAAAGGAAAUCCCAAAACCAUAUUGGGCAUGAAUUCACACUUAAUAUACCCAAUAAAAGAUGGCGACUGGUGAAAGGCAGUGGAGACUGGUGGAGAGAUUUGAGGAAUAGAAGCAGACGGAAAAGCAACAAAUUUUUGCCGAAAAACGGUCACUUUCAUGGUUAAUUUUGCUACUCUCCAAUUGUACUUGACCAAUUACAACAAUUUCAUGGAGUUUGAUACGUGAAAAGAAUUUUUUAUAAAUUUUAUUUUGAUCCAUAAUGUUAUCUUUACAUAUAUAAAACAUUUUACAAUUUUGAUUUUGGCGCAGCUAACUUUUGGUUAACAAAAAUGCUCAUGUUUAAAAAACCAGAAAUAAAACAAAACAAGAAACAAAAGAAAUAAGAGGGUAGCAUAGACAUUUUGGAUUUUUCCGUUAAUUUGGAUGAUUUCCACCCACGUUCUAAUUUAAUCCAAAACACAAAGGAAUUACGUAGAGGUUUUAAAUAAUCAGGGAGCUUCAUGAUCGAACCCCAAACCACGUGAUAGCAUACAAGAGUUCUAUUUCACUAUCGGUAGACAAAGACUUUCUAUGGUUGAUGUACCGUAGGAAAAAAUCUGCCUAUACAACGUGAUAGCAUUUUUUCAAAAACACAAGAUGGAAAAUUGCCCCCUUAAACGUGGAAAUUCAUGAUCUUUCCUCGAACAAAGAAUACUCACGCCUAUUCAAGAUGGAAAAUUGCCCCCUUAAACGUCUAUUUGUCAAUUCUUGAAAAAAGAAUACUCACGCCUAAAACACGGCCUCUUCAUCUGCAGAAUUCUAAAAAGUUACGUAAACUCUAUAAACAAGUUGAUAGGUACAAUCGUACCCAAGAUCAAGUACAGAUAGUUGUACAUUCACUGCUGCAAUAACUAAUCUGAUGACUUACAAACAUAUCAUGGUCAAUCGUUGAAUGGUAAUGAGUCUUUUGUUAUGCAUUAGUAUUAGUGUGUACACUCUAAUAGAUUGAUACUUAUACUCUUUAAAUUAUCAUAAUAAUACCCUUAAUUAACUUUAACUCUUAAAAAGAAUACGUGUUAAUACACGAGAGUGUGUAACCUGAAUUGUUACUUAUACAUUAGUGUGUAAUAGAUAGGGAUGGCAGUGAGGGCGAGUGCCCGCGGGGGGCUCUCGGGGCGGGGGCGGGGGAGAAUUUUUUCCCCCCGUUUAGAAACGGGGCAGGGGACGGGGGAGUAUACCCCCGCCCCAUCCCCCGCCCCGCCACCCGCAAAAAAAAUUAUAUAUAUAUAAUUAUAUAUAAUAUGUAAUUUAAUUAGUUAUAAACUUAUGAUAAUGAUAUUAUUAGUUAGAUGUAUUAUAUAAUGUAUAUUAGUGUAUGUAAUAUAAUUAAUAUUAUCAAUUAUACGAAUAAUUAGACAUGUCCACUAAUAGAGUUUAUUAAUUAGUUAUACUAAAUUUACUAAUACAUUUGUACUAAAUUUCUAAUUACACUUAAUAGAAUAACACUUUUUUCUAAAAAAAAAAGCACAAACACAAUAAUGAAUUAGUGAUUGUAUUUGUACCAAAAGUGAAAACUUAACUAUUUUAGUUGUAUUUAUUUCAUCAUGUUGGAUUGUAUUCAAAUAAUUUUUGUUUGAUUGUUUUUAUGAGUUUCAAUUGUAAAAUUAAAAUGAAUAAUAACUUGAUGAUGUGUUGAUAUUUUAGUACUUGAUUAUUUAUUGAUUUAACUAUAAUAAAAUUUUAUUUUAUUAAAAUUUAACUAUAAUAAAAUUUUAUUAACCAAACGAGUUAUUAAUCCCGCGGGGGCACCCACGGGGGAAGCGGGGCGGGGCGGGGGAGUGGGAGGCGGGGGACGGGGCGGGGGUGGGGGGAGUUGUAGGUAGCGGGGCGGGGGAUGGGGGAGGGGUCCCCCGCCCCAACCCCGCCAUCCCCCGCCCCGUUGCCAUCCCUAGUAAUAGACUGGCAAGCAUUGUGGUGGUCAUUGAGAACUUACUGGAGAAAUAGUCCUAUAAGCUGUUCAAUGAGCAAUCACAACUUGCUAAUUGGAUGACUAAUAUAGCUCUAGCUGUAAUGUUUUAAUUAAAUUACAUCACUAACGUUGGGAUGACUUUUUAACCAAAAAAAAAUGCCUUAGUUCAAGCUUUUCCCUUUAUUGUGCAUUUUUUAAAGCAUUUGAUAGGCACUGCAAAUCUGUCAUUUUGGACAUUUUAUUAUUGACUAACAAUGAAAGCCGUGACGUCUACCCAUAACCAACACAAGAUUAAAUUAAUAUUAGAAAAAAUAAUUGAGUAAUUGGAAAAAAAAAAAGAGACUCAUUUUCAUUGAAACCCACCGACAAACUAAACGUGUCCAUGGCUUUUGAAUAGUGCAUUCAACGUUUAAUUGUAUAGUCCAGUUCAUUGCAGAUUACAUGGAGUAAAGAUUGUGCUCUUUCCUUUUUCACCCCUUUUGGAAUCGAUACUGUGGAGAAUUGGGUUUUUCCCUUCUUUUUUUCUUUUCUUUCCUUCUGUGCUUUGCAAAACAUAGGUAAAAAUAUGAAAUCCGAAGCAUUCUUUAAUUGGGAUUAAGUAUUGUUGUUGAAAUUAAAAAGAAAAAAGAAAGAACAACAAAAUUCCCAAUCUGGGUUGAUUGUUGAGCUCUAGAUUGGUUGCAUCGUGCUUCCAUAGAAGCUCUCUUAGUGUGAUACACUGCUUUCAAUCAGUUUAACACGGGAAAAAAAAAAAAAGAGAUGAAAAGCAAAUUUGGUGGGGAUAAUUUCAGAAACCUCCCCUGAAGAUUUUGACUAUUCUACUGGUCUCCCUUCAGAUUUUAAAAAUUACACUAAUCUUCCUUGAAGUUAAUUAUCUUGUAACAUUUAAAUUCAAUCAAUAAUUUAAAAAAUGAUAUUAUGAGAGAGAAAAUAAUGAUUUUAUCAUUGCCCCCCAUCUUACUACAUUAUUUAAUUAAUUUAAUAGCAACCCACACAUUAAAGAAAAAUAUUAAAAUUUGUUGUUUAUCAUUAAAGAUCAAAUCGCUUAUAACAUCAAAUAAUAGUAUAUUAUUUAUAUUUUUCACUCAAUAUAAUAUCCAAAUUACUCUUUUCAAUUACAUACCCAUUGUUAGACAAUCAACAACAAAUAACCAAAAAAUUUGCAACCAAAAUAUUACAAAAAAAUAAACUUUAACAUAUAAAUAUUCUUAUCAACAUAUUAAAGUUAGUUACUGAAAUUUUUAUGCUGUUAAACUUCACUCUUUUUGGUUACAGAUUUUUUUGAUUAUUUGUUAUUAAUUAUGUUUGAUGAUGGAUUUAUAAUUGAAAAGAACAAUUUGAAACUUACAUUAAGUAAAAUAUAUAGAGUGAUAUACUAUUUUUUAUAACAUAUGUGAUUCAAUCCUUCUUGAUAGGAUUGGUAAUAGAGGUAGAGGGGGGAGCCGGCUGCAUCCGGUCUACUUUUCAUAGAUAGUACAAUAUUGCGAAAUCGAUCGCAUUCACGCAAUAUUAUUUCCAAGUCAUUGCAUGGCUAAGCUGCAAAAAAAGUACGAACACAUGUUAUUAUAUAGCUUACGAUUCAAAACUUUAGAGCAUAACCCUCCACCUAACACAAUUGAAUAAUGAACAUUCACGUUUGUCAAAUCUGUCAAAGCACAGUUUGAGGACAACCCAUUCCAACCUGCAAAAGAUUUUUUACUUUUCUAAAGUUGUUGAGAGCUGUAAAAAGACUUACCAUGCUUGCAUCCUCCGAGCCUUGGGAGUUAAAAAUGAAGGCACUGAGUGCUAUAAAAAGGGGAAUAGAGGCUGCCUAGAAGCAUAUCAGCCUAAAACAAGAAUUUGUAGUUAAGAUGGGAAGCAAAGCAAAAGCAAUGGGGUCUGGGCUGACUCCUCUUCUUGCCACUGUUUUAGUGGUGUUUGUUGCUCUUGGCUUGCCCUCACAAACUGCAGCUGAUGAUCACUACAAGUAUUCAUCUCCUCCUCCUCCUUACCACUAUCCCUCACCACCACCACCAGUGCAUAUACCUCCACCUCAUCCUGUUUACAAGUACAAAUCUCCACCACACCCCCAGUACAAGUAUAAGUCACCACCACCACCUCCUCAUCCGGUAUACAGUCUCCUCCGCCACCACACACCCAGUUUACAAGUACAAGUCACCACCACCACCUCCUCAUCCGGUACCACACCCAGUUUACAAGUAUAAGUCUCCUCCGCCACCAGUUUACAAAUACAAGUCUCCUCCACCACCACCUCCAGUGUACAAAUACAAGUCUCCACCACCACCAGUUUACCACUACAAGUCUCCACCACAGUUUACAAAUACAAGUCUCCACCACCACCCCCAGUUUACAAAUACAAGUCUCCACCACCACCAGUUUACCACUACAAGUCACCACCACCUCCUCCCCCAGUUUACAAAUACAAGUCUCCACCACCUCCUCACCACUACUAAGCAAUUGCUUCUGAGGUAAUAACACUUGUUCAAUAUACCCACUUCUGCAUGAUAAAGCAUAUCUCUAUCAACACAAACUGUCAUGUCUAUCAUGCUAAGUGCCUUCACUUCAUCCACCAAAAUGACUGCUAGAAAAUUUUUUUUAUGUUACCAAAGAAAGGCAUCAUUUUUUCCCUCUGUUAUCAAGAACUUGUACAGUAUAUAGAUUAAAGAGUAUUUUUUUAACUAGCUUAUCAACUGAGAAAUGCAUAUAGCUGAUAGCCAGCUGAAUAUUUGCAGGCAAAGGAGAAGGAAACCAGUGUUUGAGACCUUCUUGAAGAUGUAGAAGCAUAAGAAUUAAAGCCCAAUGUGAAGAUGAUGAUUUCAAGUUUUUCUACGUUACCAUUUCUUUAUCUAAAUUGGUUGUAGCGCCUUAGUUCCUUUGUUUAUGGGAUUUGUAUCGUUUUACGUACCAUGCAGUACAUGUCAUGUUUGUAAGGUUUUCUAUCCUGCCGGCAAACCGCAGGUUCCAUGUAAUAAAUCAAUACUAUUUAUAUUACGACACUUUUCUCUGUUUCUCUUAUAUUUUGUCGUCUUUAAUAUUCUUAAUCAUAUUUUUAACAAAAAUAUUCAAACACUUAGGCAAUCUGGUCUAAUGCUAAUUGUAUGUUUUACUUUUCUUUUUCACCUGCUCCCCUUUUCAACUCAAAAGGAUGCAAUAGUUUGUGAUCACUGUUUAAGACGGAAGCAUGAUACUAAUGAAUAUCUCAUUGAAACUCAAGGAAACUAACAUUGCGAAAAGUGUAAAUCUUGAUUUGAUGCAACUAUUUAUUCGUGGAAUCUAUAGUUACAAAACUCAAAUUCUGACUGCGCCAUUGAUAAAUUAUUAAUGACGCUAUCAUCAUUAUUUAUCCCUAACUAGUUUCGACUACAACUGAACCCAAUAUUUUCCCCAUGAUAAAAGUUUUUGACUAUUUUACUGGCCUCUCUUCAAAUUUUAAAAAUUACACUAAUCUUCAUUGAGAUUAAUUAUCUUGUAACAUUUAAGUCCAAUUAAUAAUUAAAAAAUGAUAUUAUGAGAGAGAAAAUAAUAUAAUUUUAUCAUUGCCCCCCAUCUUGCUAUAUUAUUUAAUUAAUUUAAUAGCAACCCACACAUUAAAGAAAAAUACUAAAAUUUGCUGCUUUUCAUUAAAGAUCAAAUUGCAUAUGCCAUAAAACAUAGUAUAUCAUUCUAUAUGUUUCACUUAAUGUAAGAUCCCAAUUGUUCUUUUCAAUUACAAACCCAUUGUCAAUAACAAAUAACCAAAAAAUUUGCAACCAAAAUAUUACAAAAAAAAACUUCAACAUCAUAAAUAUUCUUACCACCUCUAGUGCAUUCACCCUCAUAAAAUAAUUCAAGACCCUACUGUCAUAAAAUGACUGAUCAACUCCCGUAAACCUAAUUUGACAACAUUUAAAUGGAGAACUUUAGCUAAAAGAAUUAUGGUCAAGCUAAAGAAAAAACCAGUUAUUUUCCAACAUAUGCAAUCAUUGAUCAGGGAAAAAAAAAAGAGCAAAAAGACAUCUUCAAUCAUUUAAUAGCUUACAGGGCAAAUUAACCCCUAAGCGAAAACUGGUUGCUCUAGAAUCAAAAUUUUACUUUAGUUACCCAGGCAACUUUUUUGUUGCUUUUUUUUUUUUUUUCCUUUAGUUUUGCCCCCUCUGUCAAGCUUAUAAAAUUAUUAAGAUAAUAAAAGUGCCUUGAAUAGUAUUAAUAUAUCCAUUGACUUGAGCUGUCGUCAGUUUGCGAUUCCAUGAGGCCUUUUCAAAGUACUCAGAAAAUGGGGAGUCAUGAAAUCCAUUUGUUCUAUUCAUUGCUAAGAUGCUUUUCUCUAUAAAGAGACUUCCUAACGAAAAUACUUUGUAGAUUUCUUUACUCCAAGUGGUGCAUGGAAAAUUAAUAUUUUCAAUUAUCAAAUAAAAUUCCCUUUUUUCGGCGUAGAUUUCAUCCAUCCAGCUGUUAACACAUUCUAUAAAUCCGAAUUGACUAAUCUUUUCGUUUCCAUUUUCCAACUUGCGAAUACGGCAUAUAGUGUCUGCUAAACACUAUAUAUUCUCUGCCAAAUAUGAAUACAUAUCACUUUUCUGAGCAAGUGCAGAGUCAUUAUCAUUUUUAUUCCCACCUAACAAAUUAGGGAUAAAAAAGUUAAUAAUCUUUACAUGCUAUCAGGUCACAAGUUAAUAAUCUUUUAAAGAACAUGUUAAAUUAAUUUAUUGGUAUGAAUAGUAGUCAAAGAAGUAUGUUAAAGUUAGUAAUCUUUAAAAUAAUAUGUUAAAAUCAUUCGUACAAAUUAGUCAGAGAAGUAGCAUAAACACCGCGAUGCAAUUAAUACUUUCAAUCUCAAGGUCUCUAUUAUGGAAAUUUGCAUCGGUCAAUAUACACUUGGCAUAAUAUAAUCUCCCAACUCAUUUCUUUACAAAUGCACCUUUAAUCACCACCAAAAGGUGUGGACAUGAUCUUUACCCUAGAAAACUAUUCACCGACAGGCAAAUUGACGUCAGAAAUACUGAGGAAUUCUAGUUUCCUUCGGGUUCAUGCCAUGUUGUAUCCUUCAACUGUAACUCGAUUUCUAAGCUGUAAUUUGUGACAUAAUAGUCCUUAAACUAUGAAACCCUUCUUACUUAAUUACAAUGGUUAAUACAAUGCCCGUGACUAGACAAGUAUGAAGCAACCAUAACAGAAAAAAAAUCCAAAAUUAGAGAAAAGAAAGAAGUUUCGCGACCACCACCAGUUUACAAGUCACCUCCACCACCUCCUCCAGUUUACAAGUCACCUCCACCACCUUACCAUUAUUCCUCACCACCACCUCCAGUGCAUUCACCCCCACCACCACCAGUUUACAAGUCUCCGCCACCACCUUACCAUUAUUCCUCACCACCACCUCCUGUGCAUGCACCUCCACCACCAAUUUACAAGUCACCUCCUCCAGUUUACAAGUCUCCACCACCACCUUACGAUUAUUCCUCACCACCACCUCCAGUGCAUUCACCCCCACCACCACCAAUUUAUAAGUCUCCCCCACCGCCUCCCCCAGUAUAUAAGUCACCACCACCACCUCCUCCAGUAUACAAAUCACCUCCACCACCUCCUCCAGUUGACAAAUCUCCACCACCACCAAUUUAUAAAUACAAGUCUCCUCCACUACCUCCUCCAGUGUACAAGUCAUCACCACCACCUGCUUACAAGUCUCCACCUCCUCCAGUUUACAGUUCCCCACCACCACCAAUCUACAAGUCUCCACCUCCACCCUACCAUUACUACUACAAUUCUCCUCCUCCUCCUCGUCACUACUAAGCAAUUGUAUCCAAGUUUUUGAGGUAAUAACGCUUAACCAAUAAAUUAACUUUCGCAUGAUAAACCUUAUCUCUAUCAAGACAAACUGCCAUGUGUAUCAUGCCAAAUACGUACACCUAGAUCCAUGAAAAUGAAUGGUGAGGAGGGCCAUUUAGGCUCGGAGCGCCCUAGGCCUAGUUCCCCACCAUUUCCUGAAGUGCCGCCUCGGGUAUUAUCCUGGAAGGCGAUCGCGGCCCAUUUACCACCUCGGCUACAAUGUCAGGUCGUAACACCGAGGUGGACAUUGAAUGACAACUACGAAAAGGGGAGAUGUGAUCUCUGACACCUGAGCAAAGGCUGCUCUGACCCGCCGCCUGAAUCUGACAGAAUGUCCCAUCACGUCUCUUCAUGGAGACCGGUCAAGUCCACCUGAUCCACUGACUAUCUCAGAUCUUUUGGGACCCGUGCAAACAUCUCCUCUCUCCUAUCAGUCCCCUAUAAAUACACGAUACUUCUACUGAAAAAGGAGAUGACCAAUUUCUGGUAAAACACACUCCACUCAUUAUUUACUUCUCUAUAUCCGAACUGACUUAAGCUUCGGAGUUAUACCGGGGGAUCCAGCCCCUUUCUUAUCCAAGCAGGUGACUUCGUCCAAGAGAGUUGCCCAAGGUAAAGAUAUUCUUCCAAUUGAGGUGACUCACUCCUGCGGGUCGAAAAUCACCUCUUCAAUUGGCGCCGUCUGUGGGAACCGCAAAGAUAUUAGAAGAUGAAGCCUGCGCGUUCUAGAAGCAGAAAAGCUCUCACUAUCGAGGCUGGGCAAAGCAAUGCAGCUCAACAAGAAAAUAUUUCUGAAGGGCAGGAGUCCCCAAGGACUCAGCCCGCAAACGAAAAAGCCAUAACCCGUAUGGCCGAGUUUGUGACCGAGAACCCCAACAUCUUUGAAGAGUUGGGAAGAUACCUGAAGAGGCAAGGCAAACAAAAGGCCGAGUCCUCUAAAAGGAUGUCAGAUGGGUCUCUUGAGGACUCAUCUGAGGAGGAGUCGGAUGGAAGGCACUUAAGCCGAAGUGCCUCAAAGCGAGCAUUUUCUAAGGCCACUUCUAAGGUAGCCUCCCUGACCAAGGCGUUUUCCCGAGGGCUCUUGGGCCGACGACCCGAGGAAGAACCUCGGCCCUUGGGAAUACCCGGGGUGGACUGCAUGAGGGCUCCACCGUUCACGGAUGAUAUAAACGAGGAAAGGCUUCCUCCCAAUUUUAAGCUCCCCGCAGUACAAUCUUACGAUGGCCGAGGUGAUCCCGAGAAUCACAUCCAUACCUUCAUCUCGGCCUUCCAAAUAUACUGCAUCCCAGACCCUGUCAUAUGUCGGGCCUUUCCAGUAUUCCUCAGAGGAACUGCUCGAAAAUGGUUCUGAGCUCUAGAACCUAGGAGCAUUUCGACCCUGGGUGAAUUAGUGGAGAAGUUUCUCCACCGAUUUGUCUCCUCCCGACCUACGACUAGGACCUCGGCUUACCUGCUCACCGUGCAGCAGAACCCGGGAGAGUCACUCCGGUCGUACGUCCGGAGGUUCCAUGAGGAAAGCGUUCAGAUACCUGACCCCAAUGAGCAGGUAACCCUCGCUGCCUUUACCCAUGGACUCGUUGCCGGGGAGUUCAAUACGGGGAUCCAUAAAAAAUACCCCCGCACACUGCAUGAAUUGUGGUUGAAGGUUGAAAAGGGCAUACAGGCCGAAGACCUCCAUCGCAUGAAGAAAGAGGUCCAAGCCACCCGUCCAAGGGCUGAGCCCAGAAAGGGAAAAGACGCUGGCCGAACUGAAGUAGGGUCGGGAAGUGGCUUCCGAAGUCCUGGCCGAGACCGCCGCAGCGUGUUCGACAGGAUAUCCAAGGGGAAGUCACCUAUUCCCGAGUCCGAGUUGACUCCUUUAAAUACUACCCGAUCUCACGUGUUGUCCGUGAUGGAACAAAACAACCUCGGCAAGGGCCCGCCGAGGAUGUUUGGAAGCAGAGACAAGAGGAACUCGAACCUCUACUGCUUGUAUCAUCGUGACAUUGGUCACGAAACUGAGGAUUGCAACGAUCUCAAGAAGGAGAUCGAGAACCUCAUUAGACGGGGACACUUGAAACAGUUCAUCCGCAGAGGUGGAGGUCACCAACGUGACGAAAACCGGCAUGACAAAUGAGGUGACCAACGCCGAGAUGAGCGGCGGAGCUCCAGAAGCAGUUGCCGACCUCCUGAGGAUCCCAGGGAGACGAAAAGGCCUCCCCCAGACGGAUCUUCGGGACAUGGGCCAACCAUUGCCCGGGUCAUUAACACCAUUGCCGGAGGUCCGACGGGAGGGGACAGUCAGAACUCCCGGAAGAGAACCUAUAAGCAGGCUAACCCGGAUCAGGCCGAGUCGAGUUCUCGCCUGUCCGAGGUGAUCACCUACGGGCUCAGUGAUCCCAUCCCAGCUGCAUCCAGCAGUCAUGAAACCUUGGUGAUUGAAGUCCUCACCAAUAACUACAUUGUGAAAAGGUCUACAUAGACCCGGGAAGUUCAGUUGACGUCAUGUACCUCCGUACCUUUGAGAGCCUUAAAAUGGCUAAGGGGUGCAUGACCCCGCUGAGAACCCCUCUUGUAGGGUUCGGGGGACACGUGGUGCACCCCGAAGGGAUGGUGACUCUGACAGUGACCAUAGGGCAUCACUCUCGCUGUAGAACCGUCCCUGUCAAUUUUGUGGUGGUUAAGGCUGACUCCCCAUACAACCUACUUUUAGGUCGGCCUACGCUCAAUGCCUUGCGGGCGGUCUACUCCACCUACCACCUGAGCUUCAAGUUUCCUACCCCAGCAGGGGUGGCCGAGGUCAGCAGCGACGUCUGUGCUGUCCGGGAGUGCUACCUCGCCACCCUACAAGCAGCCUCCCCGUCUACCUCCGGUGCGAGGUCCGAGAAGAGGUCAAAUAUCCUCUCAAUAGAUAGCAUCGAUCCUCAGUGAGCUGAGAAGGUCCCGAGGCUGGAGACUGGGGAUGAGGUGGAAGAGAUUCCCCUGGACCCCACGAAACCUGAUCAGACAGUUCGCGUUGGUACCCGAUUGCCCGGUCCUAUCCGAAGAGGUAUGAUGGACCUCCUCAGGGAAUACCGGGACGUCUUUGCUUGGGCCGCCGAAGAGGUCCAAGGAGUCCCGCACCAUCUCAUGAUGCAUGACUGAACGUCGACCCCCAAGUCCGUCCGGUCAAACAGAAGAGAAGGCACAUCGGCCCUGAGCGCAGCCAAGCUGUUGGUGAGGAAGUGGACAAGCUUUUACCCGCUAAAAUAAUCCGAAAAGUCCAAUACCCGAUCUGGUUGUCUAACUCGGUCAUGGUCAAGAAGGAUACGGGGGCUUGGAGAAUGUGCGUCGAUUUUACCGACCUCAACAAAGCCUGCUCCAAGGAUUGCUACCCCUUGCCCAAAGUCGAUACUUUGGUAGACUCAGCAAUGGGCUACGAGAUCCUCUGUUUCUGGGAUGCAUUCAAAGGCUAUCACCAAAUUGGGAUGAGUCAAGAAAACCAGGAGAAAACGGCCUUCUACACCGACCGCGGCACGUACUGUUAUACUACCAUGCCAUUCGGGUUGAAGAAUGCCGGAGCCACUUAUCAACGCUUGGUCAACCAAGCAUUCAAGUCUCAAAUCGGCCGGAAUGUUGAGGCCUAUGUAGAUGACAUCCUCCUCAAAAGCCAGACGAACUCCACCUUCCUGGCCGACUUGAAGGAGGUCCUUGACAUCCUGCGGAAGGUGAAAAUGAUGCUGAACCCCAAGAAAUGUGUUUUUGGGGUCACCUCGGGGAAAUUUCUAGGUUACCUCGUCUCAAGGCGAGGUAUCGAAGCAAAUCCGGAUAAGGUGCGAGCCAUCCAGGAGAUGUCUCCACCCCGGUGCGUCCGCGAUGUCCAAAGGCUGACAGGGCGAUUAGCCGCCCUGAAUCGGUUCUUAUCGCAGUCGGCAGCUAAAGCACUGCCCUUUUUCAAAGUGUUGAAGAAAGCUGACCAUUUCUCCUGGACGGAAGAGUGUCAACAGGCGUUUGAGCAGUUGAAGGAUUACCUUCACUACCUUCCAACGCUCACCUCACCUCGUCCGGGGGACAAAUUAAUCUUAUACCUUUCUGCUGCGGCCGAAGCGGUGAGUGCCGUGCUGAUAAGGAAGGAAGGGGUCCAAAUGCCCGUCUACUACGUUAGCCGAGUCCUCCGAGGUCCAGAGACCAGGUACACACAAGCAGAGAAACUUGUGCUAGCCCUGAUCCACGCCGCCCGCAGACUCAAGCCCUACUUCCUAGCUCACCACGUCUGCUUGAGGACUGAUCAACCACUUCGGCAGAUUUUGACACGACCAGAGGUUUCGGGACGUCUUACCAAAUGGGCCAUUGAGCUGGGGGAGUACGACCUAACUUAUGAGCCUCGCACAGCGAUCAAGGCCCAGGCUCUCGCAGACUUCGUAGCCGAGCUCACCUUUGACGAGGUGCAAGGAUCCGUCCCGGCUGCCACAUCGGCCACAGUUGAUGUGGCCACCACUGGGCUCCAGCGGUGGAUCCUACACGUGGACGGUUCGUCAACAGUGAGGGUAGUGGAGCAGGCUUGCUCCUCGAAGACCCCCAAGGAGAAAUAUGCUAAUAUGCCUUAAGAUUUGACUUCGCUGCUUCAAACAAUGAAGCUGAAUACGAAGCCGUCAUUGCUGGACUGCAGCUAGCUCGCAAGCUCGGGGCCGCACACAUCUUGGUUUAUAGUGAUUCCCAACUCGUCGUGUGCCAGAUAUUAGGUGAGUACGAAGCCAGGGACGAGGUGAUGCAUCGUUACCUCUCCAAGGUCCUCCAGUUGGCGACUCACUUCGAGUCUUUUGAAAUUCAAAGAAUACCGCUAUCGAAAAACAGAAGGGCUGACGCCCUCUCCCGGCUUGCCUCAACCUCUUUCUCUGACCUGAACAAGACGGUUCUCGUUGAAGUUCUAGCCGAACCAGGAUAUGUAGCCGAGGUAGUAUACCCCGUCUACCCUGGGGACACCUGGAUGGGUCCCCUGACUCGAUUUUUCAGCCAGGGUGAGCUCCCCGAAGACCGAGCUGAGUCACGGAAGCUCCAACGAAAAGCAGCACGGUACAUUCUCCGACAAGGCCUUUUAUACAAAAGGUCUUACCUCGGCCCUUAGUUGCGAUGUAUCACGCCCGAGGAAGGCCAGAGAAUCCUCCAAGACAUACAUGAGGGGCUCUGUGGUGCUCACGUCGGCUACAGAAUGCUGGUAAAAAAGGCUUUGUUACUUGGGUAUUUUUGGCCCACUAUGAGGAUAGAUGCCCAGGUCAUGGUCCUUUGCUGCCCCUCCUGCCAGCAUCACGCUCCUGAGCACCACCAGCCGACCAAUUUAAUGAUCCCUAUCACCUCGUCAUGGCCAUUUGAGCAAUGGGGAACGGACAUAAUUGGCCCCUUUCCCAGAGCUCCAGGCAAUUAUACCUACGUGGUGGUAGCAGUGGACUACUUCACCAAAUGGGUCGAAGCUGAACCCCUAAAAAAUAUCACUGGUGCGGCAGUCCAGAAAUUCUUCUGGAAGAAUGUGGUUUGCCGCUUCGGCCUACCCCGGGUGAUCAUCUCGGAUAAUGGCCGACAGUUCGCCGAUAAUCCUUUCAAGGCCUGGUGUGAGAACCUCGGGGUCAAACAGCAUUUCACUUCGGUGGGACACCCCCAAGCCAACGGACAAGCCGAAAACUUCAAUCGCACGCUCCUCCAUGGCCUCAAGACCAGGCUCCACCAGGCUGGAUCGUUUUGGAUGGAAGAGCUCCCCAGUGUGCUGUGGUCCUACCGAACUACGCCGAGAUCAGCAACCCAGGAAACCCCGUUUUCCUUAACCUACGGGUCAGAAGCUGUUGUUCCAGCCGAAUUCAUCACCCCGAGUCCACGAAUGGCCGCAUAUGCUGCCGAAGUCAAUGAAGAAGAACGGCGAGUUGACCUCGACCUCGUCGAAGAGAAGCGUGAUAUGGCCGCGGCCAAAGUUGCUGUUUACAAAAAUAUCGUAGCUGGCUACUACAACGCUCGGGUUAAACAUUUGCGGUUCAGUCCGGGAGACCUGGUGCUCAGGAAGAACUCAGUCAGCCGGGCUGAACCUCAGGGUAAACUAACCCCCAAGUGGGAGGGACCAUACCGUGUUGUUGAGUCCAGCCAAAAUGGAUAUUGUAAAUUGGCAUACCGAGAUGGGUCUCUGAGUGCCCCGAACUUGGCAUGCUGAAAAUCUUAAGUUGUACUACCCUUGAGGGUAUGUGCUUUUAAUCUUGAGUUAUUUCACACUUAUUUUCAUUUCAUUAUAAGUGAAAAAUAAGGGGACAAAGUAGCAGUAAAGAGGAAAACCGAAUUUAAUUAAAAAGAAAGCAAGAAUAUGAACUCAAUUCCAUUGAAUUACAUAAAAGUAGAAAGCCGAGGUCACCUUUAAUUAGGAAGAAAGCAAGAAUAUAAACUCAAUUCCAUUGAAUUACAUAAAAGUAGAAAGCCGAGGUCACCUUUGACCUCGGCCUACAAUGACAAAAAAAAAAACAAGUGCCUCUAGGCACUCCCUACCCUGACAUCCUGGCCCCCCGUGGUCGCGCCACCCGUUUCGGCACCCUGUCCACCCUCAGCUCCUCCACCGGCCUGGUCGUCUUCAGUACCAUCUAGUUCAAACUCCUGGAGCCAUUUGUUGAAUUCGGCUCGGACUUCGGUUAGGUCUUUCUCAGUCCGGAUGCCCUCAGCCAUGCUGUCGCAUAGCUCCUUGGCAUCCUCGUUAUAGUGCGAAGUGCUCUGAAGGGACUCCAGUUGUUCAGAGGGAAGAAAGGAUGCCGCGUCAUUAAUAGCCGACGUGUACCCGAACAUGAAGCUUGGCCGGGUGAGCUCGCCGAGGUCACGGAUGAAGGACUCUGACGUCCGGAAGGCUUCCACAGCAGUGACCCCGGCCUUGUCCAUGGCCUCCCUGUUUGACUGUUCUUCUUGGGCCCUCCUUUUUUUCUCCUCAUCAAGAGCAGUCACCAGGGAAUUGUUCGCGACCUCGGCCCUUUUGUUAGCCGCCUUGGCCUUGUCACGCUCCAACUCGGUUGCCUUCAGUUUUUCUUCCAACUCGGCAAUUCUCUUCUGGAGCUCGGCAGGAGGCUCAUAGUUUUCCAUGAACUUUCCAUACCGUUGAAUCAUCUCGACAAAAAAAGCCGUGGUAGAGGCCCAUGACACCGAGGCGCUCUGCAUCAACUCCCCUGCGGAGAGCUUCCUAGCAUAAGUGCUAUCUCGUGGCAGCACUGAAUGCACCAAGAGCUCCUGAGCGACCAAAGGGUUCUUGCAGCGAUCGUUGAAAUUAAUCUCCCACUCUGGACACCAGUGUGAUCCGGGGUGUCUCUUGUCCUCCUCAGCUGCCUUGAAAGGCACAUGAUGGAGUUUGAACAAAGAUGACCCCGUGACGGGGUUCUCCGGAAAUAUGGUCACACCCUGACCCCGGGGGGGAGUGGCAAUCGUGACCCAGCGAGAAGGGAUUCCCACCGGAAUUGCCGAGGCUCGGGAACCUCCCGGAGUGGCCGAGGUGUGCGAGCCCUCGCCCACGAUCACCACGGCAGGCUCGCGGUCGCCCGACGCCGCGGUGGUUUUCUUAGCCGGCCUGGAAGAGGACCCUGCAGUGUCCUUGCGCUUUUUGGGAGCUCUUUUGACCACCUCGACAUCUCCCGAGGUUAUCAGGUCGAAAAUCUUCGUCACUGCAAAGUAGGAGACGAAGUCAGUUAGAAUUCAAGAGGGAUAAACUAAAAGGGAAGAAAUGGAAAAAUACAAAGUCUGUGAAGCCUAGUCGAGAGUAAGACAGGCUGGUCAGAGCUCGUCAAGGCUCAACUGAUCCCGCCUUCCACGAGCACCACUUCGGGAAAAUCCCAGCAGUUUAUCCUGAGGCCCGACCCCGUUAACUUCUGGAAGUUACGCUCUUCUAACUUCCCUGGAGAUAUCUCCUUGAUCGAGGUGGGAGGCCUCCACCAGAAUCCGCGAGGGAAGUCAUCGGCCGAGACGAAGAAGAAGUUUUGCUUCCACUCCUUUAUUGAGUUCGGAGCAUCAACCACCAACUUCGGAACUUUGUUUCCGAAGUAGAACCAUCCUUUUUCACUUCUGCUGUUCUUGAGUGAGUAACAGCGGCGAAAGAGGUUGACCUAAGGUUGUAUCUCCUGAUGUCGGCAAAGUAGCUGGAAGCCAACGAGAAUGCGAAUAGCGUUAGGGGUGAGUUGAGUGAUUCUCACCCCCCAGUACCUCAGGCAGUCCCGAAGAAACCUCGUCGUGGGCACUCUGAGUCCGGCCUCCAGCUGUUCCUGAUAGAUAGUCACCUUGCCCUUUGGUGGCAGUGCGGCUGACUGAUGCGGUUGGGGUAUGUAAAUACUAUAAUCCCUUCUCCAGGGAUACCUGCGGACCACCUCGGCUAUUGAGGCUUGUCCCAUACCACUACUGAAGAACGGCAUCUGGCCGUAGUCGAGAGUUGCCACGUUUGGAGGAGUGGAAGGUUCUUGUACUCCCUCGUCUCUAGGGAUCUCAAUCCCGAGGUCAUCGUUGUAUAGGACCUCGGGCUGGACCUCGAUCUCCUCGGGCUGCACCUCAACCGCCUCAGCUCGGCGUGAUGCCUCGGCACCUCCACCCUCAGCUUGGUGAGAUGCCUCAGCACCUCCGCCCUCGGACGCGGUCCUUUCCUGGGAGGGGUCAGGCCUCUCUGCCUCAGUGAGGUCAGGUCUCACUGUCUCUUUGUGCGUACGAGCUGUUCUAGCCAUUGUAUCAGAAGGGGAAGAAGUGAACUUACUUAGAAUCUGCGACUGGAAGAAGAUGCCGAAGUAGACGUGGUUUAGAAAGGUUGCCGAAGUGAAAAGAGAAAGAAACAGAGUUCUGGGGUGAUUCUUGAUUUUUGGUGAAGAGUAAAACGGUGAAAAAAGACCACUAUUUAUAGGCCACCAGGGUGAAACCCAAGAGACGGCACCCUCUCUCUUCAUUAAUGGGAGGACUGUUCGUCUGCCAACACAGCUGACAGCCGUCCCUUCAGUUAUCACUCAGUCCCAUCUAUGCGGUCAUGACGUGUCCGUGUUCCGUGUUUUAUACGCUUCUCAGCUUCGGGAAGUAACGACCACGGCGGAUGCCCAUCUCGCCCUUCUCAAAGCUUGGGGGGCUUAGUGAGGAGGGCCAUUUAGGCUCGGAGCGCCCGAGGCCUAGUUCCCCAUCAUUUCCUGAAGUGCCGCCUCGGGUAUUAUCCUGGAAGGCGAUCGCGGCCCAUUUACCACCUCGGCUACAAUGUCAAGUCGUAACACCGAGGUGGACAUUGAAUGACAACUACGAAAAGGGGAGAUGUGAUCUCUGACACCUGAGCAAAGGCUGCUCUGACCCGCCGCCUGAAUCUGACAGAAUGUCCCAUCACGUCUCUUCAUGGAGACCGGUCAAGUCCACCUGAUCCACUGACUAUCUCAGAUCUUUUGGGACCCGUGCAAACAUCUCCUCUCUCCUAUCGGUCCCCUAUAAAUACACAAUAUUUCUACUGAAAAAGGGGAUGACCAAUUUCUGGUAAAACACACUCCACUCAUUACUUACUUCUCUAUAUCCGAACUGACUUAAGUUUCGGAGUUAUACCGGGGGAUCCAGCCCCUUUUCUUAUUCAAGCAGGUGACUUCGUCCAAGAGAGUUGCCCAAGGUAAAGAUAUUCUUCGAAUUGAGGUGACUCACUCCUGCGGGUCGAAAAUCACCUCUUCAAAUGGUAGAAAGUUUUCUUAAGAACCAAGAACAGCAUUAGUAUUCCCUCUGCUUCCAAAAACUUGUGUAUUAAAUAGAUUAAUGAAUUGUUUAACAUGCUCAUCUACUUGAAAAUGCACAAUACCCAUAACCCACUGAAAUUUUUGCAGGAAAAGGGAAAGAGAAUCUGUGUUUGAGAGCUUCAUGAAGAUGUUGAAGAAUAAGAAUAAAAGCCCAAUGCGAGGAUGUUUUCAAGUUUUUCUAUGUCCACUUUAAUUUGUAAAUUGAAUUUUACAACUCAAUUAAUUCCUUGUUUGUGAGGUACGUAUUGUUUUACGUACCAUGCCGUACAUGUUUGUAAGGAUUUCUAUCCUAUUGGCAAAAGUCGGUUCCAUACAAUUAAUCAAUUCAUUUCACUUCUAUUGGCUCUACUAUUUAUGCAUGUUACGACACUCUUUCCCUUAUAUUUUGCCUUUAAUAUUAUGAGUCAAUAGUAAUAAUGGGCCUUUUUCUUAAAAUUAUACUAUUAUACAUAGGUAGUUUGGUCUAACGCUAAAUUCAUGUUUGUCUUUCUUUUAUUCCCUUUACAUCUCAAAGUAUACUAUAGUUUGUAAUCAUUGUGGUGAUGAUAUUACCAGCUGGUACUUAUAGUUUAAGGCAGAGACAUGAUAUUAACAACUAUCUCAUUGAAACAUAAGUCAAAAUCAUGACAAGUGUGAGUCUUGGUUAAUGCACAAUUUGUUAGUGGAAUUUAUAUUUAUAAAACUCAAAAAAAAUUUUUGACAAUGCUAUUACUAAUUAAUUAAGGACUUCAUUGCUAUAAUUUAUCGCUUACUAGUUUAAACUAUAAAUGAUCUCAAUACUUUUCUCCAUGAUGUCGAUUUCUUUAGACUACGAAAGGGAAAAAUUAGUGACAUAUCCCUUACUGAUUACAACAUCAGCAAAAAUUAGUUAUAAACUUUUCCGGUGGUUUUAAAUCCCUCGGGCACUAAGGUUUUUUGCACAUCGAGUGAAUUAAGGAACAUAGGCAAUUCGUUCUGCAUACCAAGUCCUUGUUUAAGAUGCACGUACUAAAAUGCAUCCACUUCAUUAAUUUGGAAAAUUGCCAUAGUUUUUUUUAAGCAUUUUGAUUUUUUACAUGAUUCAAAAUUUUCUUAUUGGAUACAAUCACUUUGUGUCAAGAACACAUUUUCAAUCAUCUUUUUUAUCUUCUCAAUAAGAAAAUAAAAAUUUAUUCAUGCUUUUCUAACAUAUCCAAUCAUUGAUCUGAAAAAUAAAGAAUUAAAAAAAAAAGACAUUUUCAAUCAUUGCUUACAGGGCAACUUCCCCAUGUGAACCUCUUCAAACAAAGCCAAUAAUAUGAAGGAACAUCUAAAUACACUUUUGCCCUAAAGGCUGGUUGCCUUGGGGUCAAAAUUUAACCUUCGGGAGUAUAAUUACCCGCCAAAUUUAUUAUUUUUUAUGGGUAUAUAGUUCCAAUUUUGCCUCCUGUUAAGCUUAUAAAUAUAUUACGACCCAGAAAAUAAAGGAAUCUUGAAUAGUAACAUGUCCAUUGACUUGAGUUGUCAUCAAUUUGGCUACUUCGAUUCCAUGAGGCCAAUCCAAUUCACACUAGCUAGAGAAAAUGGUGAUAAAGGCACUUAGAAAUUUAUAUGUAAUAUUGAUUGGUAGUAACUGAUAAGUAUAUAUUUUACGUGUUUUAAAUAUGUUUUAUUAGUUAGUUUUGGUGUGUUUUAACUACUUUUAUAACUAAUUAACUAGGAAUCUAGUGAAAAUAUGCAUUUUGUGGUUUGAAGUGUGAAAAUUGUAUUUCUAUGGAUUUUAAUGGUGAAAACUUCAUGUUUUUGUAGGUUUAAUGAUUCAAUCAUCAAAUGACAUGAUUUGAGAAGAUAAUUAGAUGAUUGAUGAUGUUUUGAAGUGAUAAAAAGAGAAUACAAAGUGCAAGAGAGGAAAUGCAAUCAAGAAUAAAAGAAGAAAAUUUUUGUAGCUUUGACAUAUUGUGGUAUUUUGGCAAUAUAUUGAGCUACAAUGAUUGGAUUAAGGUGAUUCUUAAACCAUUUGAAGCUAAGAUAUAGAUCUACAUUUGGUAUGAAGGCAUCGAAACCCAUGUCAGUCAUUUUCCUUGUCAAAAUGUUGAAAUACAGAAGUGCAACUCUGUUCUCGAAAGCUAAAACAGAGCUCUGGCUAGUCGAGGGUAUUUUCAUCAUUUCUUAGUCCACAGAGCUCCAAAUGAGAUGAUUCUUAAGGCAUUAGAACCCUAACUCAAAGAGCUACAACUUUCAUAUUUUGUACAAGAGUUAGUUCGGCCUCCAUCAUUCAGAAAAUAGUAGUUGAAGUGGUGCCAAAUGCAUAGAAGUGAAAACGCGAGCUAUCAAUACUCGACCUGAAGUCGCGUAUUCCUGAGGUCAUGCAUUCUCUUCUAUUUUCUGCAACUUGCCCUGCUUUCACAUAAUUUUUUCAUCUCAAUUCCAACUAUCAAUUUCGGCUAUAUCUGAUCAAGAAAAGUGUGGAAAGUUUGAAAGACAACUCAUAGGAGUUUCAAGAGUCAAAAAUUACAAUUAGAAACAACUCAUUUGGCUCUUGAAUCCUCUAUAAAUAGAGGCCUUUGAAGAACAUUUUCACAACUUUGGAAGGUUAGAGAAACUCCACAAAAACAUAGUCUUCACUAGAAUUUCCUUAGUUCAUUAGUUAGGGUAGUAUAGUAUAGUUAGUGUAGCUUUUCCUUCUUGUAUUUAUAGUUAGGUUUGAAUGAAGAUUCAGGAGCAAAGAUAGAGAGGUUGAUCUCAUGUGACAAGGGUGAUAUCUCUUCUACUACUUUCUCUUUUGUAUUUGAUUUCAUAUUUAACUAUACUACAAAUUUGGCUUUGUUUUUUUUUUUUAUCAUGUUUAGUUAAAGUUUAUGCCUAGAGUAUGGAUGACCUUUCUAUAUCUUGUUUGUGAUAUUUAACUGGUUAUUUGAUGAUGUUAUUUUUGAGCAAGUUAUUUAUCACUUUUGCUUUUCUAAUCGUGAUUAACUGGCCAUUAGUUGUGAUUAUCUAAAAGUGUUAAGUUUGUAAUGAGAAUUGGAGUUUAACACUAGUUCAAGGAAGUGAUAAAUUUAGGGAGUUCACUCAUGAGAGUAGAGGAACACCUUUGUGACCUAAGUGACUUGUUUCAUAUAAUUUCAUAGAAAAAAUGAACUUGUAAUUAAUUUCAUAACCACGAGAGUAAGUAUGGUUUAGCUAUAUGUAUAGUUGAUUCACUACGAGAGUAGGUUUCACAUACAUUAGAAAAUUACAUCAUAACUAGUCAAGAUAAUAUCAUUCAUUUAAUCAGUAAUCUCAUUUGCAUGAGUAGUAAGGCAUUCCAUAUCUCUAGGAGGUUUUUAGUAUUAUUUUCAUUACUUUUAUGUUUAUGGUAGUCUAGAUAAUAAUGGAGUUCAAAAACUACUAGUAAUUGAAAAUUUUCCCUGUGGGAUCGACCUUUAAUACCCUAUACUCGCUCUCGACUCGUAUACUUGCGAAAAAUCACGUGUGCGGUAUUUAGAAUUUAUAAAUGUAAAACUUGACUGUAGAUGAACUAAUUGAUAUAUGUAUACCCCGCACUCGUCAGUAACCAGCUUGUAUUGAUCCCAUUAUUGUGGAUAAUUGUGCUCUUAUGAAAAAAAAUUAUAAAAAAAUUAGCAAAAUUUAUGAUAACAAAUUAAAUUUAUUCAUACAAAUCAGUGAAAGAAGUAGAAUUUUAAAGACCAUGAUGAAAUUAAUACUUUCAAGGGCUCUAUUAGGAAGACUUCACUUGUUGGUGAAACUACACUAGCACAGUUAUAUGCACAUUUACUGUUUUGGUAUCUAAUUUCCUUGCCUUAAGUUGGGUGCAGAUGUUUAUAUUACAAAUAGAUGGUAUCAUAAAAUUGUUGUAUUCACGUUUGUUCUUUUUUUUUCUUCCUUAAGUUUUUUUCUUUAUUCUCGUGACUUCAAAAAUACGAACUCAAGAAAUUGGCUGCUUAAUCAAUAUGUCAUACAGGCUUCGCUAGUGAGGUAUAACUUCACAACUAGAGUCAAUAGAAAUUAUCAAAUGAUUUUUUAACAUCCAAAUUAAGCAAUAAAUUUUGUUUUCAUUUUAUGACAUAUAAUAGUACUACUUCAUGAGAGAUUUUAUAGUUUCUUUUAGGUAUCAUACCUACAAGUGAUAUUUGUCAUUGGAUAGUGACAGAAGUGUUAAUGAUUGUAAGAUUAAAUAUUGUUAAAUAUUGAAAUUUAAACUAUUUAUCUUUAUUGAAAGAUACAAGUUAAAGAAUCGUUCAAGGGGGCAAUUUUCCAUCUUGUCUUUUUGAAAAAACGCUAUCACAUUGUAUAGGCAUGAUAGGUUCAAAUUUGUCAUUAAAUUUAUGAUUGAUUUCCCUUUUAUUCAAGCCAAAUAUUGUUUUAAUUAUCAAAUUCUACUUAUAUUUGGUUAAUUGUACUAAUUGUAGGGCGGUAGAGCAAAAGUUGCUAAAAAUAGGUGAUUUUCUGCAAAUUGGUUGUCAAGGCUGAAGGAUUUGGGAUUCGCAUGUUCAAGGCCUGUUUCCAAGUUUGAUUCAAACUCUGGACAGUUUUAGAGGAAGAUUUGGAAGAUUUGAAAUUUCAUUAUUAGUUUUAUGGUUGAAUUAGGAAUCUUGGAAUAAUUUCUUUUGUGAUUUAUUUUUCUAUUUAGGAGACUAGUUGUUAUUUAGUAGUAGACUUCAAUUAGAAAACAAAGAGAAAAAGAAGGCCGGAAUCCCGCUUGAUUAAUACCUUGGCCAGGGAACAAUCUCGGUGGGGAGGACGGCCACUUAGCCUCUCAAUUCAUCUUGCUUUUCGUUAGUUUGAGAGGAAAACCAAUUGCAACUAGAUUCAAUGGAGUCUGGCAGAAUUUCUUCUAGGAUGCGUAGCUAAAUCCUCAAUUUUUAGUCGAAGGUCAAUUUGAAAAUUCGGUUCCAAAUAUCUGUGAAAUCGAAUUAUUUUACUUAUUUCUUUUAUUUAUUGGUAUUCGCACGUUUUCUGAUUUAACUUUUUAUGAUUGUUUUGUUAUUUGAAUGUCAAGGGUCCGAUAUUCGAAUUAACUUAAUAAUCUACUGCCAAAUUAACCGGUUAAAUCCGUAAUUGUUUGAUUGAUUAAUAUCAGUGGCGACUAGCGUGAUUGGUCCCAUGUUAGGAAAACGUCUGAUCUAAUUUAAACAAACCGUCGUAGCGUGUUUGUUGAUUAGGGUUGGACUUUUCUAAUUCUUAAUUCAAUUGAGAAAUUAAAUCUCCCGGUCGUACCUAAGAUUAUUUUUUUGUUAGCGAAAUAGUUAAUGGUCGUACCUUGACUAUCGAAAAAGUAAGGAAGAGUUGAUUGUUUAUCGCGUGUACGACAACUAUAAUCAAUCUAUUAAUGAGUAAUUGAAUUAUCUUUGCAUCAGUAAUCAGUUGAAUGGACCGUGUCUGAAAAGUUGUACCUUUGGCUAGAGUCUUAUCUGUUGUUGAUUCAUUCAUAUCUAUCUUCAUGCGUUGUUUUAAUUUAGUUAAUUAGUUAUUUUUAUAAAAACCCCUCAUCUCUGGACUCUAAAAGAAAUAAAUUAUUUCUAGUUCCUGUGGAUUCGAUCCUACUCACCGCUAUAUACAAAAUUUGUAUUUUUUUGAAUAAAUAAUUAUUAUUACACAGGCUUGACACCUGUCAAGGCAAAAUUUCCUUAACUUCAUCAUCUGUAGACGUAAACUUUCUACGGGUGAUAUAAUAUAAGGAAAUUUUGCCUAUACGAUGUGAUAGCAUUUUUUCAAAAAAGACAAGAUGGAAAAUUGCUCCCUUGAACGGAAAAAAUCAUGAUCUUUCCUCAAACUAGUCUACUAGUCAAUUCUUUACAAAAGAAUACUCGCUCCUAAACAUAGCCUGUUCAUCUACACUGUCCCGCAGAAUUCUAGAAAGUUAGGCAAAACUAGACAAGUUGACAGGUAUAAUCAUACCCAAGAUCAGGAACAAGCAGUUGCACAUUUCAAAAUUCGCUGCUGCAACAGCUAAUUUGAUGACUUACAACACUACACGGUCAAACUUUGAAUGGCAAUGGAUCUUUUGUUGUACGUCAUGAUGUAAUUUUCAUGUUACAUACAUUAAUAGGUUGAUAUCUAUAUUCUUUAAAUUAUCAUGAUAAUACCCUUAAUUAGAUUUAACUGAUAAAAAGAACACGUGUUAAUAUACAAAAGUGUGUAACGUGAAUGUUACAUUACUGUAUUGCAGAAGACCUAUAGUCUCUUCAUAUCUCUUCCUGCACGUAUCAAUUCGUUUCCUCUAGAUAAUAAUCUCCCAACUCGUUUCUUUACAAAUGCACCUUUUAUGUUUUAUUACCUCCAAAAGCCUUUACAGGGUCUUUACCCUAAAAAUCAAUUCACCGACUCGCAUUUGAUGUCAGAAAUUCUUAAGACGAAUUCUACUUUACUCAAAGAUUGACUGUUAAUAAUGAGACAGCGACCAUUUUGUAUUAUUAGACCGUCCUUCUUGAUAGGUAAAAGAAAUAGAGAGGAAAGUGGGUCCGUAUAUGGUCUUUUAUUCAUAGAUAAUACAACAUUACGCCAUCGAGCAUUCACACAAUAUUUCAAAGUCAUAGCAUGCCUAAGGCCCUGUUUGAUAGCUCAAUUUCGUAAUUAAAUUUAAUAGAUUCAAAUUUUAACACAUUUAAAUCAUUUGAUAACAAAAAAUUGAAUAUUUAAAUUAAUUAAGUAACACUGAACUUUCUAAACAAAACUUGCUUUCAAAAUUAAGUGAUAAGUUAUUCACUUAUCUUUGAAUGUGAUAUGCACUCAAAUAUAUUAAAUUUAAUAAUUUAAUGGAUUCAGAUUUCAGAUUUCAGUUUUAUUACACACCCUAAGUUGCAAAAUAAUACCAAAACUUGUUAUUAUAUAGCUUGAGAUUCAAAAAUUUAGAGCAUAAUUCUCAACCUAACACAAUCGAAUAAUGAAUAUUCACGAUUGUUUCAAAGUACAAUUUGAGGACAACCCAUUCCAACGCGUACACGAUUUUUAACUUUUCUAAAGUUGUUGAGAGCUGUUAAAAGAGAUUUACCAUGUUUACAUCUUCCAAGUCUUGGAAGUGAAAAAUGAAGCCACUGAGUGCUAUAAAAAGGGGGCUAGAGGCUGCCUAGAAGCAUAUCAGCCUAAAACAAGAAUUUGUAGUAACAAUGGGGAGCAAAGCAAAAGCAACGGGGUCUAGGCUGACUCCUCUUCUUACCACUGUUUUAGUGGUAUUUGUCGCCCUUGGCUUGCCCUUGGAAACUGCAGCUGAUUAUUACAAGUAUUCAUCUCCUCCUCCUCCUCCUUACCACUAUUCUUCACCACCACCUCCAGUGUAUUCACCUCCACCAACCCCUGCUUAUAAGUUACCCCCACCAUCUCCUCCAGUUUACAAGUCCUCACCACCACCUUACCACUACUCACCACCUCCGGUGUAUUUACCUCCACCAUCUCCAGUUUACAAGUCACCACCACUACCCCCUCCGGUAUACAACUCCCCGCCUCCACCAGUGUACAAAUACAAGUCCCCACCACCACCUCCUCCAGUUUACAAAUCUCCAUCGCCACCAGUUUACAAAUACAAGUCACUCCCACCACCUCCUCCGGUAUACAAGUCUCCUCCGCCACCUGUUUACGAGUACAAGUCUCCUCCACCACCUCCUCCAGUGUACAAGUCCCCACCACCUCCAGUUUACAAGUACAACUCACCUCCACCUCCUCCCCCAGUUUACCUGUCUCCACCUCCACCCUAUCAUCACUACUACGGUUCUCCUUCUCCUCACCACUACUAAGCAAGUGCAUAAGUUUUGAGGUAAUAAUACCUAUCCAAAACUUUAUCAACACAAACUGCCAUGUAUAUUAUCAUGCUAAGGACGUACACUUGAUCCAUGAAAAUGACUAGUAGAAGAUUUUUUUUAAGAACCAAAGAAAUACAUUAUUUUUUCGGUCUGUUUUCAAGAAUUUGAGCAGUAUACAGAUUAAAGAGUGUUUUUUUUUUUGUAAACUUGCUUGUCAACUUAAAAAUGCACAUAGCUGAAAGCCAACUGAAUAUUUGCAGGCAAAGGAGAAGGCAAUCGGUGUUUGAGACCUUCAAGAAGAUGUAGAAGAAUAAGAAUAAAAGCCCAAUGCGAGGAUGAUUCCAAGUUUCUACGUUACCAUUUCUACAUCUAAAUUGACUUUAGCUCCUGAGUUCCAUGUUUAUGGGGUUUGUACCGUUUUACGUACCAUGCAGUACAUGCUUGCAAGGUUUUCUGUCCUGUUGGCAAACUGCAGGUCCAUAUAAUAAAUGAAUACUAUUUACAUUACGACACUUUUCUCUUUUUCUCUUAUAUUUUGUCUUUAAUAUUGUUGAUCAUUUUUUUUUUAUCAAAAGCAUCAAAUGCUUAGGUAAUUUGGUCUAAUGCUAAUUGUUUUACUUUUAUUUUUCACCUACACCCCUUUUCAACUCAAAGGAUGCUAUAGUUUGUGAUAAUUGUUUAAGACCGAAGCAUGAUACUAAUAAAUAUCUCAUUGAAAGUCAAGGAAACUAACAUUAGGAAAAGUUUAAAUCUUGAUUUGAUGAAACUAUUUAUUCGUGGAAUUUAGAGAUACAAAACUCAAAUUGUGACGGUGUUGUUGCUAAAUUAUUAAGGACAUUAUCACCAUUAUUUUUCCCUGAUCACUAGUUUCAACUGCAAUGAUCUCAAUCUUUUUGUGACUAAUUCUUUCCUUAAUAAUUUAUAAAGACAAAACUCACAAAGAAUAUGUGACUAAUUCUUUCCUUUCGUCUUCUAAAGAAAAUGCCAACUGUUAGUUUAUCAAGGGGAAAAAGGAUCGACAUCAGUUAUUAUUGAAACUAGUAAGGAAUAAAUAAUGGUGAUAAUGUCCUUAAUAAUUUAACAACAGCACCAUCAGAAUUUGACUUUGAGCUUCGGUCUUAAACAAUGAUCACAAACUACAGCAUCCUUUGAGUUGAAAAAGGAAGUAGGUGAAAAGAAAAGUAAAAAAUACAAUUAGCAUUCCCUCAAAUUGUAGAAAGUUAGGUAGCAUUAUAGACAAGUUGAUAGCGGCAAUUUUACAUUUCAAACUUCACCUAUUCAAUAACUAAUUCGAUGGCUUGCUACAUGGUCAAUCUUUGGACCCCUUCCUGCCUCCAGAUAUCCCUUUCCUCAAUCAGGGGCUUCUACAAUUACCAGUUUCAAUUGUAUGGUAUAGUGUAAAUAUCAACAAAUUAGAUGUAGAUGCUAACAUAAUAAAUGUGAAUGCUAAGACAGCAACAUACAAUCGAACCUGCAAUUGUAUGAACCCCAAUCUCGCUUCCUAGUCCACCAUCUUUCUCUAGGUAAUAAUCUCCCUUCUAAUUUAUUCACAAAAUGCACCUUUCAUCACCUCCAAUAGCGUCGACAUGAUCUUUACCCUAGAAGACUAUUCACCGACUCUCAAUUGACGUCAGAAAAUCUAAGAGUAAUUCUACUUUACCCUAAGAUUGAUAUCAACAAGACAAGGACAAUUUAGAAUUAUUACACGCCUCUUCUUAAUAGGAAAAAGAAAUAGAGAAGAAAGUCAGGCCAGGUCUAAUUUCUUUUCAAAGGCAAUACAACAUUACGAAAUCAAGCAUUCAUUCAUACAAAUAUUUCAUAGUCACCGGUUUGCUGAGUAGAAAAAUUUAGACAAAAACUUAAUAUUAUAUUGUUUAAGAGUUAACAAUUUAGAGCUUAAUCUCCUUGUACUUUGGAGUUAACAAUUUAGAGCUUAAUCUCCUUGUACUUUGGACUAAACUUGAACGUGAAAGGAAAUCCCAAAACCAUAUUGGGCAUGAAUUCACACUUAAUAUACCCAAUAAAAGAUGGCGACUGGUGAAAGGCAGUGGAGACUGGUGGAGAGAUUUGAGGAAUAGAAGCAGACGGAAAAGCAACAAAUUUUUGCCGAAAAACGGUCACUUUCAUGGUUAAUUUUGCUACUCUCCAAUUGUACUUGACCAAUUACAACAAUUUCAUGGAGUUUGAUACGUGAAAAGAAUUUUUUAUAAAUUUUAUUUUGAUCCAUAAUGUUAUCUUUACAUAUAUAAAACAUUUUACAAUUUUGAUUUUGGCGCAGCUAACUUUUGGUUAACAAAAAUGCUCAUGUUUAAAAAACCAGAAAUAAAACAAAACAAGAAACAAAAGAAAUAAGAGGGUAGCAUAGACAUUUUGGAUUUUUCCGUUAAUUUGGAUGAUUUCCACCCACGUUCUAAUUUAAUCCAAAACACAAAGGAAUUACGUAGAGGUUUUAAAUAAUGAGGGAGCUUCAUGAUCGAACCCCAAACCACAAGGCGAUUUACUAUAUUUUACUCUUAAAUUUUGGUUUCAUCUCAUAGCAUACAAGAGUUCUAUUUCACUAUCUGUAGACAAAGACUUUCUAUGGUUGAUGUACCAUAGGAAAAAAUCUGCCUAUACAACGUGAUAGCAUUUUUUCAAAAACACAAGAUGGAAAAUUGCCCCUUAAACGGGGAAAUUCAUGAUCUUUCGUCGAACAAAGAAUACUCACGCCUAUUCAAGAUGGAAAAUUGCCCCCUUAAACGUCUAUUUGUCAAUUCUUGAAAAAAGAAUACUCACGCCUAAAACACGGCCUCUUCAUCUGCAGAAUUCUAAAAAGUUAGGUAAACUCUAUAAACAAGUUGAUAGGUACAAUCGUACCCAAGAUCAAGUACAGAUAGUUGUACAUUAACUGCUGCAAUAACUAAUCUGAUGACUUAUAAACAUAUCAUGGUCAAUCGUUGAAUGGUAAUGAGUCUUUUGUUAUGCAUUAGUAUUAGUGUGUACACUCUAAUAGAUUGAUACUUAUACUCUUUAAAUUAUCAUAAUAAUACCCUUAAUUAACUUUAACUCUUAAAAAGAAUACAUGUUAAUACACGAGUGUGUGUAACCUGAAUUGUUACUUAUAAAUUAGUGUGUAAUAGAUAGGGAUGGCAAUGGGGGCGGGUGCCCGCGGGGGGCUCUCGGGGCGGGGGUUGGGGCGGGGGGGAAUUUUUUCCCCCCGUUUAGAAAUGGGGCAGGGGACGGGGGAGUAUACCCCCGCCCCAUCCCCCGCAAAAAAAAAAUUAUAUAUAAUAUGUAAUUUAAUUAGUUAUAAACUUAUGAUAAUGAUAUUAUUAGUUAGAUGUAUUAUAUAAUGUAUAUUAGUGUAUGUAAUAUAAUUAAUAUUAUCAAUUAUAUGAAUAAUUAGACAUGUCUACUAAUAGAAUUUAUGAAUUAGUUAUACUAAAUUUACUAAUACAUUUAUACUAAAUUUCUAAUUACACUUAAUAGAAUAACACUUUUUUCUAAAACAAAAAAGCACAAACACAAUAAUGAAUUAGUGAUUGUAUGAUAGGGUGUAAUUUUACUAUUUAUUUUAUUAUUAAUUUCCCCUAUCACCUGACCUGAUGUGGAUUAAUUGCUGGAUUCUGCUCACUUUUAGUACUUUGUAUUUAUUUCAGGGAGUAGAACGGAAAUUUGAUAACAGGUGCUAAUUUGGCAGAAAAAGAGUCCAGAUGAUAGAGCUUGCCCCAAGGGCAUUUUUGGAAAGGAGAACUUGUGCCCAUCUUGGUAAUUUGGGAGAAAAGGGAAACAGACAAAAUGGGUCUAACAUGGAUUGGAAGCGGCCGCACAGUAGCAGGGAAGAGGGCAGACGUAAAAGCAAUUGCAGGGGGGAAAAGGAGUUUUUUUAGUUUUUAGCUUAGCAUCUGAUUUUCCCUGGGAGACUUUUGUUAAAGAUUUCCUUUUGGCUGAUAUUACGCAUGGCAGAUGGCUUUUAACUUAUUCCUCCAUCUUUGACUUUUCUUCUUUAGCUUGUGGCAGUGGAUUGCUACUUACGAAUGUCAGCACUUAGCCAUUCGUGGCUUUUGAUCUUUUCUUCCUUAGAAAUUCUGAGUAACCUCUUUUCCUUUGUGCGCCAGACGAAGUGAAAACUAUAAACUUUUGUAGUUUUUCUAUUCAUUCAAUAUAUUGAGACGAGUUGGAUUCUACCAAAUUUCAACGGACAUGGCCGCUGGUUUCUCUUCAAUUUUAUAUGGGCUUUGUUCAUCCAACAUGAACUAAUUUCACCACUCUAGUCAAGGAGCAACGAAGGCUCUGAUUUGCCUAAAAAUUGUGAGAUCGUUUUAAUUUAAUCUUUUCCUUUUAUUUAUUGGUAUCCGCACAUUUCUUGAUUGCUAUGCUUAUGGUUAUUUAAUUAAUUGAUUGUCUUGGAUCCAGAUAAUUAAUUGAUCUGAUAGCCUAUUGUCAAUUAGGGCAUUUAAAUCCGUAAUUGUUUAAUUGUCCUGAAAUAGUGACAACUGGCACGAUUAGAUUCGUGCCAGGGGGGAUAUGCGGGCUAAUCUAAAAUAACCCUGGUAGUGUGUUAUUUGGUUAGAAUAGGGCUCCUCUAAUACUAAGGCAAUUGGGGAAUUAAAUUCUACGGGCGUACCUAGGAUUAUUUCUUAAUUAGAGCAGUGAUUAACGGGCGUACCUUGAUCACCGACACAGUAAGGAGGGGUUGACCGUCAUCGCUUGUUUGGCAGUUAUAACCUAUUUAUCAGUAAAUAAUUGGGAUUGCCUUGCAUCAAUGAUCAAUUAGGUGAACCAUUGUUGAAGUUACUUCUUGGUUAGAUCUUUAGUUAAUAUUACCUUGAUUUUGGUGAAUUGCCAUUUGAUUUUUAGUUGCCUACUUUAUUUUAUUUUUAAUUGUUUCCUUGCUUUAAUUGAGUUAGGCCUUUAAUUAUUGUUAUUCUAAGUUUAGUGAAUUGUGGUUUAAUUCCUAAUUAGUUAUUUAUUUUUACUUUCUUAUUUGAAUUUAUUUGCUUGUUAUCAUUCCUACGAAAUCACCCCCCUGUGUUACUUUGGAUUUCUUAAGAAACAAAUAUACCCAAUCCCUGUGGAUACGACCCUACUUGCUCUGUUCACGAAUUCAUAAUUAUUUGUGAAAAGAAAUAACCAUUCCACUCGGGUAUAUCGGAUCAAGCAAAUUCUUCGGGAACAGGGUGAAUCAAGUAACCCAAUGCACACCUAGAGUCCCUGCUCCAGUACUUGGAAUUGGGUUUUGGUCAUUUUAACUGGCAAUUAGGUUUAAUUUUAUUAUUGCACAGGCUGACGACCCUGUCAAUUUUUGGCGCCGUUGCCGGGGACUGGCGUUAUUAUUUGUUUCUUUUUAAAUUCAUUCUUUGUCCUAAUUUUCUGGUUUUCUUCUAGUGUAUGCCUCGAUCUUCUCGUACAGGUAAUUUGAUUUUUGACCCUGAGGUAGAGAAGACCGCAUGUAGAACGAGAAAGGAAACCAGACAGCUCAGAGAAGAGCACUCCAGUGCUACAUCUCAGAGACCCGAGUCAGAAGUUGAACUAACAGAUUCGUUUGGUAACACUUCGAGUGACUCUGACCAGGAGGAAGACACCAUGGCUAAUGCACGAACAUUAAGGGAGUUGGCUGCUCCUGAUUUAACUCAGCAGCCUUUAUGCAUUACUUUCCCCACUUUAAAUGAUAACAUUCCAUUUGAACUAAAAUCUGGUCUGAUUCAGCUUUUACCCUCUUUUCAUGGUUUACCAGGUGAAGAGCCGUAUAAGCAUCUGCAGGAGUUUGAUGUCGUGUGUAAUAGUAUGAAACCCUCGGGAAUCACAGAAGAGCAGAUAAAAAUGAGGGCAUUCCUCUUCUCCUUGAAAGAUUCUGCGAAGGACUGGCUGUACUACCUGUCACCAGGUAGCAUCACCACGUGGGACCAAUUGAAGAAAAAAUUUUUGGAUAAAUAUUUUCCUGCGUCCAGGGCUGCAAGUCUAAGGAAAGAAAUUUGUGGGAUCAAGCAGCAUCCAGGGAAGUCACUUUAUGAGUAUUGGGAACGGUAUAAGAACUUGUUGCGCAGGUGCCCCCAACACCAAAUAAGUGAGCAAUUGAUCAUACAGUAUUUUUAUGAGGGGCUCCUUUUUAGAGACAGGAGCAUCAUUGAUGCCAGGGGGGAGGGUUGGGAUGGGUGGUACGGGGGGAGGGAGUGUAAGCAAGAGGUCUCGGGUUCGAGUCCUCCCGCUUACACACAAAAAAAAAGAUGCUGCAAGUGGAGGGGCACUGGUAAACAAAACCCCUCAGGAAGCACGGGAGUUAAUAGAGGGGAUGGCAGAGAAUUCACAACAAUUCAGUACAAGAGAGGAUGUCCCAAUACGUAAGGUGAAUGAGGUAGAGACACCCUCUAUGCAGCAGCAGCUAACUGAGUUGACCGCGUUUGUUAGGCAACUGGCUGUGAGAAAUGCAUCACAAGCCAGGGUGUGCGGGAUUUGCACUGGUAUGGGUCAUUCUGCAGACAUGUGCCCAAUGAUUCAGGAAGAAACUGCAGAACAGGUGAACAUGGCUGACCACGCGCCCGCGCCAAGGAAGCAGUACGACCCUUACUCAAGCACCUACAACCCCGGGUGGAGAGAUCAUCCCAACCUCAGUUAUGGAGAAAAUAGGCAGCCCAACAUUACACCGAACAGGCAGUCUAACUUUGUGCCAAAUAGGCCACCAGGGUACCAGCAGCAAUAUCAACCCCGACCACCUCCGUCCCCAAGCUCUGGCCCAUCUUUGGAGGAGAUGAUGAAACAAAUGAUGACAACUAUGGCUCAAAAUCAGCAAAUGACGGAGGCAACCAUUAUGCAAAAUCAGCAAAGGACGGACUCCGAAAUGAAGGAUAUAAGGAAUCAGAUAAGUCAAAUGGUCACAACAAUCAACCGUUUGGAUUCCCAGAACCAAGGUAAAUUGCCAUUUCAGCCCGAAUUAAAUUCGAAGAACGUGAGCGCAAUGACCCUAAGGAGCGGGAAAGAAAUUCAGGGGUCUGAACCUGUGAUCCCUAAGGAUAAGGAUGAGGAAAAGAUCGAAAAUGAGCUUGAAAGGGAGGACAGCAAUGGUGCAGAUCUAAAGGUACUUCCUGACCCAAUAAUUACAGCUAAAACUAACCCGCCUCCUUUUCCUAGCAGGUUGGAAAAAUCGAAAAAAGAGGAUAAGGAGAAGGAGAUCUUGGAGGUUUUUCGCAAGGUUGAGAUAAAUAUCCCCCUCUUAGACGCAAUCAGACAAGUACCAAAAUAUGCCAAGUUCCUAAGGGACUUGUGUGUCAACCGAAGGCAGUUGAGGGAAGAUGAACGGGUUAUUGUUGGGGAGAAUGUGUCAGCAGUCCUGCAGAGAAAGCUCCCACCAAAGUGCGGGGACCCAGGUAUGUUUACUAUUCCCUGUAGGAUAGGUAAUACUGUGAUAGAAGGGCCAUGUUGGAUCUGGGAGCAUCAAUUAAUCUCAUACCUAAAUCUAUCUAUGCUUCUCUAAAAUUAGGUCCAUUAAAAGAAACUGGAAUAAUCAUUCAAUUAGUUGACCGAACUAAUGCAUAUCCUGAUGGGUUGGUUGAAGAUGUGUUGGUAAAAGUUAAUGAUUUGAUGUUUCCAGCUGAUUUUUAUGUACUUGAUAUGGAUGAUGAUCACUCCCCUGAUCCCUCACCUCUGUUAUUGGGUAGACCCUUUAUGAGCACAGCACAGACGAAAAUUGAUGUUAAUAAGGGUAUCUUGUUCAUGGAGUUUGAUGGGAAAAUUGUGCAUUUCAAUAUCUUUGAUACUAUGAAAUAUCCCUCAAACUCCAACUUUAGCACAGUUUUCUCUGUGAGUGCUAUUGACCCUGUAGUGCAGGAAGUGUUUGAAACUGAUGGCAGGGAUGAGUUGGAGGUGGCUUUGACCAAGCACCUCGAGUUGGAGACAACUCCUGAGGUGGAAUGGAGCGAGGACCUAAAAUGCACAAUAGGUGCAUUACACUCAUUGCAGUCCACCACGAAAAGGUAUGAAGUCUUACCUAUUUUUACUCCCGAACCUCACCAGAGGGUGUUGCCAUCUGUGGUGCAGGCACCUGUACUAGAAUUUAAACCUCUAUCAGAGCACCUGAAAUAUGCAUAUCUGGGUGAUAAUGAGACACUCCCGGUGAUUAUCUCAUCGACACUGUCAAAAAUCCAGGAGGAGAAACUGAUCCGGGUCCUUAGAGAGCAUAAAGAGGCGAUAGGUUGGACAAUCGCAGAUAUUAAGGGGAUCAGCUCGGCCAUCUGUAUGCACCGGAUUAGACUAGAAGAGGAUGCCAAACCUGUUAGGCAGGCUCAAAGGAGGCUCAACCCCCUAAUGAUGGAAGUUGUAAAGAAAGAAAUUUUAAAAUUGCUAGAUGUGGGGAUUAUUUUUGCAAUAUCAGAUAGCCCUUGGGUAAGCCCGAUCCAGGUAGUCCCAAAGAAGGCAGGGGUGACGGUGGAGGCAAACCAAACGGGUGAGCUCGUGCCAGUGCGCAAACCCACUGGAUGGAGGCAGUGUAUAGACUACCGUAGGCUAAACGCCGUCACCAAAAAGGACCAUUUCCCUCUCCCUUUCAUUGACCAAAUGGUUGAACGUUUAGCUUGUAGAGCUUAUUAUUGCUUUUUGGAUGGAUUUUCAGGAUACUUUCAGAUAGCAAUUGCUCCAGAGGAUCAAGAGAAGACAACCUUCACGUGCCCGUUCGGGACCUUUGCUUAUAGACGAAUGCCAUUUGCGUUGUGCAAUGCACCUGCAACAUUCCAGAGGUGUAUGGUAAGUAUUUUUUCUGAAUAUGUGGAGAAAAUUAUUGAAGUUUUCAUGGACGAUUUCAGUGUGUAUGGUGAUAGUUUUGAUACGUGUUUAGAUAAUCUGAAAUUGAUCCUGAUAAGGUGUAUAGAGACUAAUCUUGUGCUUAAUUGGGAAAAAUGUCAUUUUAUGGUUGAGCACGGGAUAGUCCUGGGUCAUAUUGUAUCGUCUAAGGGCAUAGAAGUUGACAAGGCUAAAAUAGAUAUUAUUUUUGCAUUACCUUACCUCGCGAGUGUGCGGAAGGUGCGUUCUUUUCUUGGACAUGCAGGUUUUUAUCGAAUGUUCAUCAAGGAUUUUUCAAAAAUUGGAGCCCCGUUAUUCCAACUCCUACAAAAGGAUGUGACCUUCGAAUUCGAUGAUAAGUGUGAGGAAGCCUUCAACAAGUUGAAAGAAUUGUUGACCUCACCCCCAAUUAUCCAGCCCCCUGAUUGGAGUCUACCAUUUGAGAUCAUGUGCGAUGCCAGUGAUCAUGCCGUAGGGGCUGUAUUGGGGCAAAGAGUAGGGAAGGCAGCUCACGUCAUCUACUAUGCAUCCCGAGCAUUGAAUGGAGCCCAAUUGAAUUACUCCACUACUGAAAAGAAGCUUCUUGCAGUUAUUUUUGCUUUAGAAAAAUUCAGGUCAUAUUUGCUAGGUGCUAAAGUAAUUGUAUUUUCUGACCAUGCAGCAUUAAGGUACCUAAUGACCAAGAAAGAUGCCAAACUGAGGCUCAUUAGGUGGAUAUUGCUACUGCAGGAAUUUGACCUGGAGAUACGGGAUAAAAGGGGCUCAGAGAAUUUAGUAGCUGACCAUCUGAGUCGUAUACCCGUUGGAGAGGAUAAUGAACCAUUGAGGGAUGCGUUCCCUGAAGAGCACUUAUUUUCUUUAAAUUCUCAGUUGCCUUUGUAUGCCGAUCUGGUCAAUUAUUUGGUAACUGGUAAUUUUCCUGCAGGUUGACCAAAAUCGAAGAGGGAUAAAUUGAAGAGCGACGCCAAGUAUUUUAUUUGGGACGACCCGUACCUAUGGAAGAGGUGUGCAGAUCAAGUGAUGCGGAGAUGUGUAAGUGAAAUGGAAUUUCAAUCGAUUUUAGCUUUUUGUCAUACUUUUGCCUGUGGAGGUCAUUUGGACCCAAGAGAACUGCUCAUAAGGUUUUAGAAAGUGGAUUUUAUUGGCCUUCAUUGUUUAAGGAUGCCUAUGUGUUUUGUAAGUCAUGUGAUCGCUGUCAAAGGGUAGGUAAUAUACCCCGUAGAGAUCAAAUGCCCCAAGUCCCGUUGAUUUUUAUUGAAAUUUUUGAUGUCUGGGGUAUAGAUUUCAUGGGGUCUUUUCCUACUUCAUUUGGUUUUUUAUAUAUUUUGCUGGCAGUUGAUUAUGUGUCUAAAUGGGUGGAGGCUAAGGCCACUCGAACUAAUGACUCGAAAGUAGUUGCAAAUUUUGUCAGGUCUAAUAUUUUUGUGCGAUUUGGAAUGCCUAGUGCUAUUGUCAGUGAUAGGGGAACGCACUUUUGCAACAAAAUCAUAGCUGCGUUGUUUCGCAAGUAUGGUGUACUCCAAUGGGUCUCAACGUCGUACCACCCUCAGACCAAUGGUCAAGCGGAGGUGUCGAAUCGAGAGAUCAAGUCUAUCUUGGAGAAAAUGGUGCGCCCCGAUAGGAAAGACUCGAGUCAAAGGCUGGAGGACGCACUUUGGGCCUAUCGGACGGCGUACAAGACUCCUAUAGGGAUGUCACCGUACAGGUUGGUAUUUGGGAAGCCGUGUCACCUUCCAGUGGAGUUUGAGCACAAAGCUUUUUGGGCGAUAAAGUAAUGCAACAUGAAUUUAGAGGAAGCCGGUGCCCAACGAAAGUUGGAUUUGCAAGAAUUAGAAGAGAUCCGGAACGAGGCUUACGAAAAUGCACUAAUUUAUAAGGAGAGAAGCCGGAUAUUUCAUGAUCAACAAAUUUCAAGAAAAUCCUUUGAAGUUGGUCAGAAGGUCCUACUAUACCAAUCCAGGCUCAAGCUAUUCCCAGGUAAACUACGUUCCCGUUGGAUUGGACCUUUUCUUGUUACUCAUGUUUUUCCAUAUGGUGCAGUUGAAAUCCGGAGCGCUAAAACAGACAACAAAUUUGUGGUGAAUGGACACCGUCUCAAGCAUUACUACGAAGGAUUUUCAGGUGAAAAGGUGGAGACAAUAAGUCUAGACGCGCCACCGUGUCCUAAUCAGUGACAUUUUACUAUGUCUAGCCAAAGACAUUAAAGACAGGCGCUCAUUGGGAGGCAACCCAAUUGUCCCUUUUAAUUAUUUGUUUGAUUUCGUGUGAUAGUUUAAAUAUGUUUUCCUUGAAUUCGACUGAUUUUGGGUUUCAGUUUUCGUUUUUGCUGAAUUGUAGGUGACCUUCAGUCUUGACGCGCCCGCGUGAUGACAUGCAGGAAGCUCACGAUCAGAAUCGUCUGAAAGCUCUCUUGCCCUUUUGACGCACCCGCGUGAUGACGUGCAGGAAGCUCACGAUCAGAAUCGUCUGAAAGCUCUCUUGCCCUCUUGACGUGCCCGCGUCACGUUCGCAGGAAAGGUACGGGUUUCAAAAAUUUAAAGAAAAAAUAAUAAUAAUAAUAAUUUAAAAUUUUGAAAUUAACUUCCGUAAAAAAAAAAAAGAAGAAAAAAAAUUUCACCGUGGCUUAAAUAGAGCCUAAAGAAGAGAAAAAAGAAACAAUUUCUUUCUUUUUUUUUUCUUUUUCUUCUUUCUUCCUUCUUUCUUUCUUUCUUCUUUCUCUUUUCCCUCUCUCUUCUCCCCUGUUUCUUCUCCCCUGUCCGUCGCCCGUGCGCCCCAUCGCUGCUCCACCUCCACACGCACGCCGACGCUGCGAGCCACCUGCGACCCCAGCGCCAGAUCUGGACCAUCGCCGAAACCCGCAGCCUCCGCCACCUCCACCUGAGCUCUGCCUCGCGCGCAACCCAGCUGCUCUGCGCCCGAAGCUCCACCGCCGCCACAGCCUCCCCACGCAGCUCCCUGCUCACGCGGCCACAAGCCCAUUGGAAACGGGACAGAGACUGCCGCCGAGCCACUUGCCCGCGUGACCGCCGCUGUUUUCCACCACCUCCCUCACGCGAGCUCUUUCCCUCUCAGCAGCAAUCCACUUCACAGCGCACCCGCUGCGCGCCGUCGCAGCCCUCGCAGCUCCAGCCCGUCUGGUCUAGUCCGCCGCGCGCACCAACCACCCACGGACGCUACCCCCAUCGCUAACCCACGCGGCCUCCACUCCAGUCUGUCCGCCGCCGCUGCUCGUGUCUCCCUUGCGCACCUCACGCCACCCGCUACUGUCCCCUUCCGUUUGGUUAGCAUCCACGGUGGAGGUAAUUGGAGGUUAUUUUCUCAAUUGUGUGACUUCCGCCUGUGAUACUGGUUGCAUUAUUUUUGCUGGGAAUUGCUACUUCUUUUGGGUUGGGUUCAACUGUGCAAUUAAUUGGCCAACUGGAGCCAUUUGUUGGGAUUUUGGGUGAGCUGAAAUACUGCAUUUGUGUGUUACAUUGGGAGGUUUAUUGGGUACAUUCUAACCGCUGUUUUCCAUUGUUACUCUCGCUGGGGUGUCUAUUAAAUUGCGAUUGAAGUAUUUUGGAUAUUGCAUGUUGAGAUUGAGGUUUCAUUGAAUUUGGCCUACGUUCUGCCCCCAGUGGUACUGGUGGGAAUAUUUUCAAUUGAAUUUGUUACCUCUAGUUGGUUGGCUACAUUAUUAUGGUCGAAUUCCUAAGUUGUCGUCAUUGCAUUUGUUGAUCUUGAUUUGGGGCAUUAACCGGCCAACUGGAGCCAUCUGUGCGUUUUUAGGCGCUAUUAUUGGUUUCUUCUCCCUUAACUUUGUCAACUAUAUUUGGUUGGGUAUUUGGUUGACUGCCACGGACUUGUAACUGUGUUUUGCUUCUAAUUGACCAGUUGCACAGCAGUUUUUUUUUAAUUGAUAGGGUGGUUAUACCUCUGGAUAUUUGUAUCCACUGGUUUGAGGACAUGGUGAGACCAAAAUCCUCCUCUAGGUCUAGGACCCCUAGAACCUCGCAAUCCCAACCCCAAGCCUCUACUCUAGUCAAUACCCCUAUAAAUCAACCUACUGCUCCCGGUGUCCGAACCUGGUUAGGUAGGGGUAGAGGUGCCCACGUGGCUUCCGCCACUCACUUGGGAGGGCAUUUGGAAUUCACUAGAGCCGCCGAUCAGCGACGCUAUGCUCAAGCUUGUGAGCGGCGUAUCAUUCCGUGCAAAUGCGCGGACCACAUUACUAUGGUUUUUCUGGGGAUCCAAGGGGAGGUUGAGCGCAUGUACACCGCCAUUGGAUGGCGCCCCUAUCUGGAUAUUUUCCAGCCAGCCUUUGUCGAGUUGACUAGAGAGUUUUACACCACUUUUAAGUUUGAAUUACCGACUAGGUAUACUGUUGCGACUCCCGAUAUCAUUCACUUCCGUCUCAUGGGCCAGGAAUUCAAUUUCUCUAUCACCCAGUUCAAUCUGGCUUUCGGUUUCAUCACUCGGGAGUAUGCAGAGACUAGGGAAUACGGUGAGAGUGCCUGCGAUUUUGUGGAACCUUUCCUUACCGCCUACCGUGAGGUGUGGGAGGACAUGUCUGUGGACAUGCAGCGUUACGAUCCCUCUCGGUCUCGGAGCUCCUUUCUAGAGGACCCGAGUGCUCGGUAUGUUCAGCGGCUUUUAGCAUAUAGCUACUCGGGCAGAAAGAACAGCUUCGGUAUUAUCUCUCGGCCGGAGCUCUUCUUCCUUUGGUGUAUGAAGAAUGGGUUCAAGGUCAAUUUGGGUUGUUGGUUGGCGGCACAGUUCAAGACCGUCAUGGCAAAGAAGAACAAGCCGUUGAUUCUUGGGUCGUAUAUCACGUACUUGGCGGUCCAGCUAGGCGUUCUGAAUCUACAGGAUCACGAUUUGCACUUGGCCUGCGACAUGGAGUAUCUCACUGCUGACCGGCUAGAGAAGAUGGGGGUUCUGGAGCUUGUCGAUGGCCACUACCGAUUUGUGCCCCCGGGACCGCCCCGCGCCCCGCCUCGCUCUUCCUCCACCCAUUCGGCCCCAGUUGGCGGUGAUCCUGGCCCGUCGACAUCCGCUCAGCUCCCUCCACCAGCAGGGGCUGAAGAUUGGCACCAAAUCAGGACGCAGAUUCAGAAUUUGGACGCCCGGAUGAUUAGCAUCGAGAGCAACGUGGCGGCUAUAUCACAGAAUCUGGCGGCAUUCCUGCAGCACUCGGGUUUCCCGCCCCCAAUCCCACCUCACCCUCCACUAUGACCCGGUUUCAGGGAAGUUUGGUUACUUUCUCCCUCACUUUUGUUGUUUUUUGACACAUUGAGGACAAUGUGUCCUAUAGGUGUGGGGGGGUCUAUAGUCUUUCUAGUUUUUAGUAGUUGUUAGUUUUUAGUUUUUUAGUAGUUUUAGUUUUAUUUCUAGUUGCGUAUUUUCUUUCUUUUCUUAGUGCUUAUUCCCCAUGUGAAAAGAAAAAGAAAACAAAAAAAAAGAGAAAAAAAUGUUGGUUUAUUGACUCUAACUCUACUUUUGCCAAGUUUUUUUUAAAUAAAAAUGUAUCGGGUUAAUGUGGUUGGAUCCAGAAUAUCUCCCUGGUGAAUAUCGGAUUGCUUGGCUCUUUUGAUUUCUGUGUUAAUUUCUCUAGGCAUAGGGAAUGACUGUUGGCAUUUUAAUGUGAACUGGUCCAAUAUUGACUCCAGUUCUCUAUGUUUGGCAAUAAUGAGGCGAGCUGUUCCUAUUUUUGGUUCUUAGUGUUGUUAUUAUGUGUUUUUGGCUUUGUUUGGCUGUGAAUAAUCUGGACUGUACUCCGCUAUGAGUUACUACUGAGUAACCGAGGAUCGGCACCUAAAAGUGUCGAUUCUCGCGUCAAAAGGUGGUACUUUAUAUGAGUACGUGGUCGUAUAGCAGUAGGAGCUGAGUAACCGGGCUCCUUCAUCUAAAAAUGUUGGAGUUCGCGUCAAAAGGCCCCGACGGCUAACGACUAAGUCUUUUUGUGUUAAUUAUUAUUGCUUUGAAAAACAAAAAAAAAAAAGAACGAAAAAAGAGAGAAUAAAUAAUAGGAAGGCUUGCCGGUUUAUGGACUUAAUAUGGAGACUUGUGUGAAUAUUUGGACCAUUAGCUAAUAAAUGUUGUGCGCCAUUCCCUUUUCUUAGAGUAGUUAACCUGGAAAUUGAAGGAAUUUGCAGUUUAGGGGCUAACCGGGGGGGAGGCUUCUUGGAUUUUAAUCACCAAUGCUCGAUAUAUGUUUUUCUCUUGAAGAUCUUGGCAAUAUAGGAGAUUGGACAAUGGCCAUCAUCGAAUUUUGGUGUUCGUUUACUAUUCUUAUGCUUGAGGACAAGCAUGGUUUAGGUGUAGGGGGAAUUGAUAGGGUGUAAUUUUACUAUUUAUUUUAUUAUUAAUUUCUCCUAUCACCUGACCUGAUGUGGAUUAAUUGCUGGAUUCUGCUCACUUUUAGUACUUUGUAUUUAUUUCAGGGAGUAGAACGGAAAUUUGAUAACAGGUGCUAAUUUGGCAGAAAAAAGUCCAGAUGAUAGAGCUUGCCCCAAGGGCAUUUUUGGAAAGGAGAACUUGUGCCCAUCUUGGUAAUUUGGGAGAAAAGGGAAACAGACAAAAUGGGUCUAACAUGGAUUGGAAGCGGCCGCACAGUAGCAGGGAAGAGGGCAGACGUAAAAGCAAUUGCAGGGGGGAAAAGGAGUUUUUUUAGUUUUUAGCUUAGCAUCUGAUUUUCCCUGGGAGACUUUUGUUAAAGAUUUCCUUUUGGCUGAUAUUACGCAUGGCAGAUGGCUUUUAACUUAUUCCUCCAUCUUUGACUUUUCUUCUUUAGCUUGUAGUAGUGGAUUGCUACUUACGAAUGUCAGCACUUAGCCAUUCGUGGCUUUUGAUCUUUUCUUCCUUAGAAAUUCUGAGUAGCCUCUUUUCCUUUGUGCGCCAGACGAAGUGAAAACUAUAAACUUUUGUAGUGUUUCUAUUCAUUCAAUAUAUUGAGACGAGUUGGAUUCUACCAAAUUUCAAUGGACAUGGCCGCUGGUUUCUCUUCAAUUUUAUAUGGGCUUUGUUCAUCGAACAUGAACUAAUUUCACCACUCUAGUCAAGGAACAACGAAGACUCUGGUUCGCCUAAAAAUUGUGAGAUCGUUUUAAUUUAAUCUUUUCCUUUUAUUUAUUGGUAUCCGCACAUUUCUUGAUUGCUAUGCUUAUGGUUAUUUAAUUAAUUGAUUGUCUUGGAUCCAGAUAAUUAAUUGAUCUGAUAGCCUAUUGUCAAUUAGGGCAUUUAAAUCCGUAAUUGUUUAAUUGUCCUGAAAUAGUGACAACUGGCACGAUUAGAUUCGUGCCAGGGGGGAUAUGCGGGCUAAUCUAAAAUAACCCUGGUAGUGUGUUAUUUGGUUAGAAUAGGGCUCCUCUAAUAUGUAAGGCAAUUGGGGAAUUAAAUUCUACGGGCGUACCUAGAAUUAUUUCUUAAUUAGAGUAGUGAUUAACGGGCGUACCUUGAUCACCGACACAGUAAGGAGGGGUUGACUGCCAUCGCUUGUUUGGCAGUUAUAACAUAUUUAUCAGUAAAUAAUUGGGAUUGCCUUGCAUCAAUGAUCAAUUAGAUGAACUAUUGCUGAAGUUACUUCUUGGCUAGAUCUUUAGUUAAUAUUACCUUGAUUUUGGUGAAUUGCCAUUUGAUUUUUAGUUGCCUACUUUAUUUUAUUUUUAAUUGUUUCCUUGCUUUAAUUGAGUUAGGCCUUUAAUUAUUGUUAUUCUAAGUUUAGUGAAUUGUGGUUUAAUUCCUAAUUAGUUAUUUAUUUUUACUUUCUUAUUUGAAUUUAUUUGCUUGUUAUCAUUCCUACGAAAUCACCCCCCUGUGUUACUUUGGAUUUCUUAAGAAACAAAUAUACCCAGUCCCUGUGGAUACGACCCUACUUGCCCUGUCCACGAAUUCAUAAUUAUUUGUGAAAAGAAAUAACCAUUCCACUCGGGUAUAUCGGAUCAAGCAAACUCUUCGGGAACAGGGUGAAUCAAGUAACCCAUUGCACACCUAAAAUCCCUGCUCCAGUACUUGGAAUUGGGUUUUGGUCAUUUUAACUGGCAAUUAAGUUUAAUUUUAUUAUUGCACAGGCUGACGACCCUGUCAUUGUAUUUGUACCAAAAGUGAAAACUUAACUAUUUUAGUUGUAUUUAUUUCAUCAUGUUGGAUUGUAUUCAAAUAAUUUUUGUUUGAUUGUUUUUAUAAGUUUCAAUUGUAAAAUUAAAAUGAAUAAUAACUUGAUGAUGUGUUGAUAUUUUAGUACUUGAUUAUUUAUUAAAAUUUAAUUAUAAUAAAAUUUUAUUAACUCAACGAGAAAAAUUUUAUUAAUCCCGUGGGGGCACCCGCGGGGAAAGCGGGGCGGGGCGAGGGGAGUGGGAGGCGGAGGACGGGGCGGGGGCGGGGGAUGGGGGAGGGGUCCCCCGCCCCAACCCCGCCAUCCCCCGUCCCGUUGUCAUCCCUAGUAAUAGACUGGCAAGCAUUGUGGUGGUCAUUGAGCAACUUAUAGGAGAAAUAGUCCUAUAAGCUGUUCAAUGACCAAUCACAACUUGCUAAUUGGAUGACUAAUAUAGCUCUAGCUGUAAUGUUUUAAUUAAAUUACAUCACUAACGUUGGGAUGACUUUUUAACCAAAAAAAAAAAGCCUUAGUUCAAGCUUUUCCCUUUAUUGUGCAUUUUUUAAAGCAUUUGAAAGGCACUGCAAAUCUGUCAUUUUGGACAUUUUAUUAUUGACUAACAAUGAAAGCCGUGGACGUCUACCCAUAACCAACACAAGAUUAAAUUAAUAUUAGAAAAAAUAAUUGAGUAAUUGGAAAAAAAAAAAAAAGAAGAGUCUAAUUUUCAUUGAAACCCACCGACAAACUAUACGUGUCCAUGGCUUUUGAAUAGUGCAUUCAACGUUUAAUUGUAUGGUCCAGUUCAUUGCAGAUUACAUGGAGUAAAGAUUGCGCUCUUUCCUUUUCACCCCUUUUGGAAUCGAUACUGUGGAGAAUUGGGUUUUUCCCUCCUUUUUUUCUUUUCUUUCCUUCUGUGGUUUGCAAAACAUACGUAAAAAUAUGAAAUCCGAAGCAUUCUUUAAUUGGUAUUAAGUAUUGUUGUUGAAAUUAAAAAGAAAAAAGAAAGAACAACAAAAUUCCCAAUCUGGGUUGAUUGUUGAGCUCUAGAUUGGUUGCAUCGUGCUUCCAUAGAAGCAAGAUUUGUAAAAUCGGAAUCCUACAUAGGAUCGAUUUUAGUUUCACAGGAUCGGAUUGUAAAAUCGUAAGAUCCUACCAAAAGCUCUCAAUUGCAAUUAAAGGUUGCAAUUCUUUAAUAAAUUACAAAUAUACCACAAAUAUUUUCAUUUACUUGCAAAAUGGAGCUUCGUAUUUCACAAAUUUACAAAAAAAUUGUAGGAUCGUACGAUCCUACCGAUCCUACGAUCCUACACGAUCCUACCGAUCCUGCUACGAUUCUAUGCGAUCCUACAAAGAUUAAUAUGAUUUGCGACUCUGCAUACGAUCCGGAUCGAUUUUGGUUAUCCGGAUCGUAGGAUCGUAUGAUCCUACGAUCCGGAUCGCGAUUUUGACAACUAUGCAUAGAAGCUCUCUUAGUGUGAUACACUGCUUUCAAUCAGUUUAACACGGGAAAAAAAAAAAGAGAUGAAAAGCAAAUUUGGUGGAGAUAAUUUCAGAAACCUCCCCUGAAGAUUUUGACUAUUCUACUGGUUUCCCUUCAGAUUUUAAAAAUUACACUAAUCUUCCUUGAAGUUAAUUAUCUUGUAACAUUUAAAUUCAAUCAAUAAUUUAAAAAAUGAUAUUAUGAGAGAGAAAAUAAUAUGAUUUUAUCAUUGCCCCCCAUCUUACUACAUUAUUUAAUUAAUUUAAUAGCAACCCACACAUUAAAGAAAAAUAUUAAAAUUUGUUGUUUAUCAUUAAAGAUCAAAUCGCUUAUAACAUCAAAUAAUAGUAUAUUAUUUAUAUUUUUCACUUAAUAUAAUAUCCAAAUUACUCUUUUCAAUUACAUACCCAUUGUUAGAGAAUCAACAACAAAUAACCAAAAAAUUUGCAACCAAAAUAUUACAAAAAAAAUAAACUUUAACAUCAUAAAUAUUCUUAUCAACAUAUUAAAGUUAGUUACUGAAAUUUUUAUGCUGUUAAACUUCACUCUUUUUGAAUACAGAUUUUUUUGAUUAUUUGUUAUUAAUUAUGUUUGAUGAUGGGUUUAUAAUUGAAAAGAACAAUUUGAAACUUACAUUAAGUAAAAUAUAUAGAGUGAUAUACUAUUUUUUAUAACAUAUGUGAUUCAAUCCUUCUUGAUAGGAUUGGUAAUAGAGGUAGAGGGGGGAGUCGGCUGCAUCCGGUCUUCUUUUCAUAGAUAGUACAAUAUUGCGAAAUCAAUCGCAUUCACACAAUAAUAUUUCGAAGUCAAUGCAUGGCUAAGUUGCAUAAAAGUACGAACACUUGUUAUUAUAUAGCUUAAGAUUCAAAACUUUCGAGCAUAACCCUCCACCCAACACAAUUGAAUAAUGAAUAUUCACGAUUGUCAAAUCUGUCAAAGCACAGUUUGAGGACAACCCAUUCCAACCUGCAAAAGAUUUUUUACUUUUCUAAAGUUGUUGAGAGCUGUAAAAAGACUUACCAUGCUUGCAUCCUCCGAGCCUUGGGAGUUAAAAAUGAAGGCACUGAGUGCUAUAAAAAGGGGAAUAGAGGCUGCCUAGAAGCAUAUCAGCCUAAAACAAGAAUUUGUAGUUAAGAUGGGAAGCAAAGCAAAAGCAAUGGGGUCUGGGCUGACUCCUCUUCUUGCCACUGUUUUAGUGGUGUUUGUUGCUCUUGGCUUGCCCUCACAAACUGCAGCUGAUGAUCACUACAAGUAUUCAUCUCCUCCUCCUCCUUACCACUAUCCCUCACCACCACCACCAGUGCAUAUACCUCCACCUCAUCCUGUUUACAAGUACAAAUCUCCACCACCCCCACCACCACACCCAGUUUACAAGUAUAAGUCACCACCACCACCUCCUCAUCCGGUAUACAAGUAUAAGUCUCCUCCGCCACCACCACACCCAGUUUACAAGUACAAGUCACCACCACCACCUCCUCAUCCGGUACCACACCCAGUUUACAAGUAUAAGUCACCUCCACCACCUCCUCAUCCGGUACCCACAGUUUACAAGUAUAAGUCACCACCACCACCUCCUCAUCCGGUAUACAAGUAUAAGUCUCCUCCGCCACCACCACACCCAGUUUACAAGUAUAAGUCACCACCACCACCUCCUCAUCCGGUGCCACACCCAGUUUACCACUACAAGUCACCACCACCACCUCCUCAUCCGGUACCACACCCAGUUUACCACUACAAGUCACCACCACCUCCUCACCCAGUUUACAAAUACGAGUCUCCACCACCACCAGUUUAUAAGUACAAGUCACCACCACCUCCUCCACCAGUUUACAAGUAUAAAUCUCCUCCACCACCACCACCAGUUUACCACUACAAGUCUCCACCACCUCCUCCCCCAGUUUACAAAUACAAGUCUCCACCACCUCCUCACCACUACUAAGCAAUUGCUUCUGAGGUAAUAACACUUGUUCAAUAUACCCACUUCUGCAUGAUAAAGCAUAUCUCUAUCAACACAAACUGUCAUGUCUAUCAUGCUAAGUGCCUUCACUUCAUCCACCAAAAUGACUGCUAGAAAAUUUUUUUUAUGUUACCAAAGAAAGGCAUCAUUUUUUCCCUCUGUUAUCAAGAACUUGUACAGUAUAUAGAUUAAAGAGUAUUUUUUUAACUAGCUUAUCAACUGAGAAAUGCAUAUAGCUGAUAGCCAGCUGAAUAUUUGCAGGCAAAGGAGAAGGAAACCAUGUUUGAGACCUUCUUGAAGAUGUAGAAGCAUAAGAAUAAAAGCCCAAUGUGAAGAUGAUGAUUUCAAGUUUUUCUACGUUACCAUUUCUUUAUCUAAAUUGGUUGUAGCGCCCAAGUUCCUUUGUUUAUGGGAUUUGUAUCGUUUUACGUACCAUGCAGUACAUGUCAUGUUUGUAAGGUUUUCUAUCCUGCCGGCAAACCGCAGGUUCCAUGUGAUAAAUGAAUACUAUUUAUGUUACGACACUUUUCUCUGUUUCUCUUAUAUUUUGUCUUUAAUAUUCUUAAUCAUAUUUUUAACAAAAAUAUUCAAACACUUAGGCAAUCUGGUCUAAUGCUAAUUGUAUGUUUUACUUUUCUUUUUCACCUGCUCCCCUUUUCAACUCAAAAGGAUGCAAUAGUUUGUGAUCACUGUUUAAGACGGAAGCAUGAUACUAAUGAAUAUCUCAUUGAAACUCAAGGAAACUAACAUUGCGAAAAGUGUAAAUCUUGAUUUGAUGCAACUAUUUAUUCGUGGAAUCUAUAGUUACAAAACUCAAAUUCUGACUGCGCCAUUGAUAAAUUAUUAAUGACGCUAUCAUCAUUAUUUAUCCCUAACUAGUUUCGACUACAACUGAACCCAAUAUUUUCCCCAUGAUAAAAGUUUUUGACUAUUUUACUGGCCUCUCUUCAAAUUUUAAAAAUUACACUAAUCUUCAUUGAGAUUAAUUAUCUUGUAACAUUUAAGUCCAAUUAAUAAUUAAAAAAUGAUAUUAUGAGAGAGAAAAUAAUAUAAUUUUAUCAUUGCCCCCCAUCUUGCUAUAUUAUUUAAUUAAUUUAAUAGCAACCCACACAUUAAAGAAAAAUACUAAAAUUUGCUGCUUUUCAUUAAAGAUCAAAUUGCAUAUGCCAUAAAACAUAGUAUAUCAUUCUAUAUGUUUCACUUAAUGUAAGAUCCCAAUUGUUCUUUUCAAUUACAAACCCAUUGUCAAACAUGAUCAAUAACAAAUAAUCAAAAAAUUUGCAACCAAAAUAUUACAAAAAAAAACUUUAACAUCAUAAAUAUUCUUACCACCUCUAGUGCAUUCACCCUCAUAAAAUAAUUCAAGACCCUACUGUCAUAAAAUGACUGAUCAACUCCUGUAAACCUAAUUUGACAACAUUUAAAUGGAGAACUUUAGCUAAAAGAAUUAUGGUCAAGCUAAAGAAAAAACCAGUUAUUUUCCAACAUAUGCAACCAUUGAUCAGGGGAAAAAAAAAAGCAAAAAGACAUCUUCAAUCAUUUAAUAGCUUACAGGGCAAAUUAACCCUUGAGUGAAAACUGGUUGCUCUAGAAUUAAAAUUUUACCUUAGUUACCCAGGCAACUUUUUUGUUGCCUUUUCUUUUUCUUUUUUGGGUAUAUAGCUCCAGUUUUGCCCCCUCUGUCAAGCUUAUAUAAUUAUUAAGAUAAUAAAAGUGCCUUUAAUAGUAUUAAUAUAUCCAUUGACUUGAGCUGUCAUCGAUCGGUUUGGGCUACUUCGAUUCCAUGAGAACAAAUGGUAAUAAAAGUACUCAGAAAAUGGGGAGUCAUGAAACCCUUUUGUUCUAUUCAUUGCUAAGAUGCUUUUCUCUAUAAAGAGACUUCCUAACGAAAAUACUUUGUAGAUUUCUUUACUCCAAGUGGUGCAUGGAAAAUUAAUAUUUUCAAUUAUCAAAUAAAAUUCCCUUUUUUCGGCGUAGAUUUCAUCCAUCCAGCUGUUAACACAUUCUAUAAAUCCGAAUUGACUAAUCUUUUCGUUUCCAUUUUCCAACUUGCGAAUACGGCAUAUAGUGUCUGCUAAACACUAUAUAUUCUCUGCCAAAUAUGAAUACAUAUCACUUUUCUGAGCAAGUGCAGAGUCAUUAUCAUUUUUAUUCCCACCUAACAAAUUAGGGAUAAAAAAGUUAAUAAUCUUUACAUGCUAUCAGGUCACAAGUUAAUAAUCUUUUAAAGAACAUGUUAAAUUAAUUUAUUGGUAUGAAUAGUAGUCAAAGAAGUAUGUUAAAGUUAGUAAUCUUUAAAAUAAUAUGUUAAAAUCAUUCGUACAAAUUAGUCAGAGAAGUAGCAUAAACACCGCGAUGCAAUUAAUACUUUCAAUCUCAAGGUCUCUAUUAUGGAAAUUUGCAUCGGUCAAUAUACACUUGGCAUAAUAUAAUCUCCCAACUCAUUUCUUUACAAAUGCACCUUUAAUCACCACCAAAAGGUGUGGACAUGAUCUUUACCCUAGAAAACUAUUCACCGACAGGCAAAUUGACGUCAGAAAUACUGAGGAAUUCUAGUUUCCUUCGGGUUCAUGCCAUGUUGUAUCCUUCAACUGUAACUCGAUUUCUAAGCUGUAAUUUGUGACAUAAUAGUCCUUAAACUAUGAAACCCUUCUUACUUAAUUACAAUGGUUAAUACAAUGCCCGUGACUAGACAAGUAUGAAGCAACCAUAACAGAAAAAAAAUCCAAAAUUAGAGAAAAGAAAGAAGUUUCGCGACCACCACCAGUUUACAAGUCACCUCCACCACCUCCUCCAGUUUACAAGUCACCUCCACCACCUUACCAUUAUUCCUCACCACCACCUCCAGUGCAUUCACCCCCACCACCACCAGUUUACAAGUCUCCGCCACCACCUUACCAUUAUUCCUCACCACCACCUCCUGUGCAUGCACCUCCACCACCAAUUUACAAGUCACCUCCUCCAGUUUACAAGUCUCCACCACCACCUUACGAUUAUUCCUCACCACCACCUCCAGUGCAUUCACCCCCACCACCACCAAUUUAUAAGUCUCCCCCACCGCCUCCCCCAGUAUAUAAGUCACCACCACCACCUCCUCCAGUAUACAAAUCACCUCCACCACCUCCUCCAGUUGACAAAUCUCCACCACCACCAAUUUAUAAAUACAAGUCUCCUCCACUACCUCCUCCAGUGUACAAGUCAUCACCACCACCUGCUUACAAGUCUCCACCUCCUCCAGUUUACAGUUCCCCACCACCACCAAUCUACAAGUCUCCACCUCCACCCUACCAUUACUACUACAAUUCUCCUCCUCCUCCUCGUCACUACUAAGCAAUUGUAUCCAAGUUUUUGAGGUAAUAACGCUUAACCAAUAAAUUAACUUUCGCAUGAUAAACCUUAUCUCUAUCAAGACAAACUGCCAUGUGUAUCAUGCCAAAUACGUACACCUAGAUCCAUGAAAAUGAAUGGUAGAAAGUUUUCUUAAGAACCAAGAACAGCAUUAGUAUUCCCUCUGCUUCCAAAAACUUGUGUAUUAAAUAGAUUAAUGAAUUGUUUAACAUGCUCAUCUACUUGAAAAUGCACAAUACCCAUAACCCACUGAAAUUUUUGCAGGAAAAGGGAAAGAGAAUCUGUGUUUGAGAGCUUCAUGAAGAUGUUGAAGAAUAAGAAUAAAAGCCCAAUGCAAGGAUGUUUUCAAGUUUUUCUAUGUUUCCACUUUAAUUUGUAAAUUGAAUUUUGCGACUCAAUUAAUUCCCUGUUUGUGAGGUACGUAUUGUUUUACGUACCAUGCCGUACAUUUUUUUUUUCCAACAAACGGUAUCAUGUUAUAGAUAUUAACACUUGACCUUACAAGGAUUAGUUACAAAAAGGGGAUACUACCCUCAACUCUGUCCUAGCUAAAUCAGUCAGCCAUAUUGGGAAAUUAGUUUCCCAUUCAAUAUCAUGUACAAGCUUCACAGCAUAUUGUGCUAAUUGAUGGCUGAUGUGAUUUUCAGUUCUAGGUAUAAACACAAAAGAACAUUUUUCAAAAGCUAGACUAAGUUCCUGCACAUCUUCUAAGAUAGUUGCAGUCGUGUAGUCAUACUCCUUGCGUUUAGUAAUCUGCUCUACCACUGAUUUGCAGUCUGUAUGGACUAUAAUUUGUGUCCAACCUGCUUGGGUAGCCAUCAGCAGAGCAUUUCUCACAGCCCGAGCUUCCACUUCACUUGCCGAUCCCUUUCCCUGUGUGACAAUUCCUUUUGCUUUCAAAAGCUGUCCUUUCCAAUUUCUUGCUAUAAUCCCUUGUCCGGUCCUGACUCGUUUAGCUGAUAUCGCUGCAUCGGUAUACAGCCUUAUCUCUUCCUUCCUUGGCCGCACUCUCCUGGUAGGUAAGGCAUCAUUCAGCUUCCCUGCGAUCUCCUUCUGGUCUGUACUCCCUACCUGUUCAAACUCAAGCCAUUCCUCCUGUGCUUUCCUUACUAUUUUUACUGGAUCCUGGUUGGCUUGUUCAAAAAAUUUUUUGUUCCUGGCUUUCCAAAUUUGCCAAAGGAUAUUGAUAGUAAGACUAACUCUCUCCUGACCUUGGUUCAGUGCCAGCGAUUGUGUGACUUGUUCCCACCAUAACCAAAAGUUAUAUUGCAUACCCAGUAAUCCAUCCCACCUGACCGGUGCUAGCUUCCACGUUUCCACAGCCUUUUCACAGAAGAAAAACAAAUGCUCAAUAGUUUCCAUAUCUUCACCACAGCAACCACAUCUGCCUUCCCCUCUAUGUAGCCUUUUCGACAUCUGUUCAUUGACUGGCAGACAAUUUUGUAAGCACUUCCACAUGAAGUGUUUUAGUUUGGCCUUCACCUUCAAAUGCCAUAGCUGCUUCCACACAUUUCGUUUUCGUAUCUCCCAACUUGUUUCUGCCUCUUGGCCUGUCCUUGUACCUGCUUUUCCUUCCCGUUGCCUUGCUAAAGCAUAACCAGAUUUCACGCUAUAAAUUCCAGCUUUGGAAUGCCCCCAUACCAACCUAUCCUUUCUUCUUCCUAUACUUGUUGGAAUUCCCUUUAUGUGCUCUGCAUCUUUUGCACAAAACCACUUGAGAAGCAAAUCAUUUUUCCAUUUCCCUUCCUCUAUCAGCUCACUUACCCAUUCCAACUUGCAUCCCACAGGUUGUGUGGUUGAUGCAAAGCCGGUAUCUGAACCAACUAUCCAUCUGUCCCGCCACAUGUUGACUGACUUGCCAUCUCCAAUUCUUUUCCAAAGACCAUCAUACAGAAAGGAGGCUGCACUAUGAAUACUCUUCCAACACCAUGAGGCUGAAGAGACUGGCUUCUUGUCCAUCCAUUUUUCAUCACUCAUAUACUUCGCCUUCAUUACCUUACUUACUAACAAAUUUGGAGCCAUUAAGAAUCUCCAAAUUUGUUUUGCCAGUAAUGCUGUGUUGAAGGCCUCCAAAUCUCUAAAGCCUAAACCUCCUCUUCCCUUAACUUCUAAGAGCUUCUUCCAGCUUGCCCAAUGUACACAGGUACCCUUUUCUCCCUUCCCCCACCAGAAACUCGCUAUUUUACCUGUGAUUUGUCUACACAAACCCCUUGGAAGUCUAAAGCAAGCCAUCACAUAUGUUGGCAUAGCCAUAAUCACUGAUUUGACCAGAAUUUCUUUCCCUCCUUGGCUCAACAGUUUUUGUUUCCAACCUUGCAACUUGUUACUAAUUUUGUUCUGGACAAAUGCAAAGACCUGUGUCUUUGAUCUUCCAAUUGCCAUUGGGAGUCCUAGGUAGGUUCCAUUCCUUGCCUCUUUAAUGUUAUCUAAUACCUCCCUCACUCCAUUCUUCCUUUGAUCAGUGGUAUUUUUGCUAUAGAAGAUAGCUGACUUUUCAAAAUUCACCACCUGUCCGGAUGCUUGACCAUAUCUUUCCAAUAUGCUUUUGACCUUCCUCGCCUCCUGCUUGGUUGCUUGGCAGCAUAGUAGAGAAUCAUCUGCAAAAAAUAGGUGAGAAACCAUCGGACUGUCCUUGCAUAUUUUGAUCCCUGUAAUUUCCUUGUUCAUCAUAGCUUUAUGGAUCAAACAUGAAAGACCUUCAGCGCAUAUAAUAAACAAGUACGGGGAUAGGGGGUCUCCUUGUCUAAGCCCUCUACUCGGUUGAACACAGCCUACCUUUUGCCCAUUUAAGUUGAAGGAGUAAGUCACAGUAGAUAGGCAAGACAUGAUCCAUUUAACAAAAAUUGGACAAAACCCCAUUUUCAUCAUAACUCUCCCCACAUAUUUCCAUUCGACUCUAUCGUAAGCUUUGGACAUGUCCAGUUUAAGAGCCAUAAAUCCUACCCUUCCCUUUCUCCUAUUUUUCAAAAAAUGCAGGAUUUCAUGUGCAACUACUACAUUAUCAAGAAUUUGACGGCCUGGGAUAAAAGCGGAUUGAGAGGGACUAAUACAAUGAUGCAAGACACCUUUCAAUCUAUUAGCUAUGAUUUUAGAAAUGAUUUUAUACAGGACAUUGCACAAGCUAAUAGGUCUAAAAUGCACCACAGAUUCAGGAGUAUCAACUUUAGGAAUCAACGAAAUAAUAGUAUCAUUCACAGCUUUGAGCAAAUGCCCAGUAUGAAAGAAACUCUUAAUAGCUGCUACCACAUCAUCCUUGAUAAUAUCCCAAUAGUGUUGAAAAAAUAGAGGAGACAUACCAUCCGUUCCUGGUGCUUUAUUAGGGUGCAUCGAGAACAAAGCUUUCCUGAUCUCACUUUCCUCCACUUGUCGUAUCAGUUGUCCAUUCAUAUGACUCGAAAUAGUGCUUGGAAUUUCAGCUAGAAUGUCCUCAAAGCAGUCCGGGUUAGUAGUGGUAAAAAGGUCUUUAUAGUACUCACAAAGUUCCUCCUCAAUCUCAUGUUCCUCCUUGCACCAUGUCCCAUCUUUUUUCUGCAAUAUAGUGAUCUUAUUUCUCCUCCUCUUUGCCAUGACCGAAGAAUGGAAAAAAGCUGUAUUCUUGUCCCCUUCUUUGAGCCACUUGUUCCUGGAUUUUUGACUCCAAAACAUCUCUUCCUCUGCAUAAGCUUUAUUCAAUUGUGCUUUUAGUUCAGCCACUUGUACUCUUUUCCCUUCAUCCUUUCUUGCUUUCACUUCAGCCAAUUUCUCCUUUAACACUUUAAUUCUAACCUUUGAGUUUCCCUGCACCUUUUUCCUCCAAUCCAGAAUAGCCAUGCGACAUUCCUUUAUUUUUGUAGCCACUCUAAACAUCCUGGACCCUGACUUCACCUUUGUCCAUGCUCCUUGAAUCACCCUUUUUGCUUCUGGAUUUAGCGUCCAUCGUUGAUCAAAGUAAAAUCUCCGUUUUCUCCUUGUGUUUUCCGGGUUUGUAUCCACAAGAAGCAUUAGAUGAUCAGAGGCUUCAGUAUCUAAAUGAGUACACUGUGCCUUUUCAAAUCUUUGCAGCCAUUCGGUGCUGCAUAAACAUCUAUCCAACCUCUCUUUCACUUCCCCAUCCCCCUCCCAACUAUUGCACCAAAUCCACGGGACCCCUUGAUAACCUAAGUCAACCAGGUUAUUGUCUUUGAUAAACCUGUUGAACUCCCUAAAACAUCUUUCAGCUCUAUCCCUUCCUCCCCACUUCUCCUCACUAGACCUCAAAUCAUUAAAAUCUCCUACAAUGAUCCAGCCAUCCCCCCAGUCCCUCAUCCUGUCCUCUAAAUAUUUCCAUUGUGCUUUUCUAAUGUUACUAUCUGUGCUUGCAUAAACACACACUAGCCCCCAGUAUCCUUUAGUAUCCUUGUCCUCAACUCUAGCACUAAUACACCAAUCAGUACUUACAAUCUGGUCUAAAAUCACCUCAUUGUUCCAGAAUAAUGCUAGACCGCCUGCUUUACCUAUUGAAUUCACAAAAAAGCUAUUGUCAUACUGAAUCUUCCUUUGAACCUUGCCCAUAAACCCUUCCUGAUUCUUAGUUUCACAAAGGAACACCACCUUAGGAGAGUGGAAGUUAGUCACUUCCUUUAGUUGGGGACUUGUCAAGGGGCCUCCUACACCUCGACAAUUCCACACCACAACCUUCAUUUACACUUUGGAGGCUUUCCGGGGCUAGCCUCCAUUUCCCCUAUUGUACUAACAUUUAUUAGAUCCAGUUUCAUAACCUUUACCUUCGGUACAUUAUCAUCAUCCUCCUCUAUCGGUUGUGUUCCCUGAAACAUACCAUCAGCCUUCCUUUUAGCACACGAAACCUGCGUUACUUGUCCAUUUGUAUCUGCCUUUAAGGAUGUUUUAGCCGGCCUCCCUCUUCUUUUAAAACUGCUUCUUUUUUCAGCUUUGUUAUCUUCUUCCCCUGGAGUAGCCUCCUUUCUUGGCAUUCUUGCAUUUGUCUCCUCCUGCUUUAUUGACCCUACCCGCAAACUUUCACAUUCCUGUUUUGAGCUGUCCGUUUCCAUAUCCUCAUAAUCUACUGGUGGGAUUACGCUGCUCCCUCCUUUACUCCCUUCCUGUACCCUACCCUCCUUUUCACCAUUUCCCUCCAUUAAGACCACAGCCAAACUUUCCACCCGUUGGUUUGCCUUUCCAUACUGCCUGCUGUCUUUUAGAAUCUCAUCCCACCUCUCUUCAUAUUGUCUCGUCAUCAUUUUCUCCUUAUCCCCCCUUUCCUUUCCCCCCAAGACUCUACCAUUUUUUCCCCCAAGAGUUAAUGUAUCUCCAGCCAUUUGUACUCCAGUUUGAACUUCACUACUAGGAGACCCUGCCCCCACCCUCCUUGCAUCAAUUUCACUUACUCCUUCCAGCCGUCCCUUUAAGGGAGAUACCAUUAUAUUUCCAGCUCUCAUCCAGGCACCAUAUUGUUCCUCUCGCUUCUCCCCCCCACCCUUCCUACCACAGUACAAGUCCUAUCACUAUGCCCAAUGAUACCACACCUAUAACAGAAAUCAGGGCAGCGUUCAUACCUGAACUCAACCCACACUGCCUGGUUCUUACAGUUGAUCUUUGUCCCUCUAACCAGUGGUUUCGUUAUAUCUACCUCAGCCAUAAUCUUCAUGUGGCGACCCUCUUUCCCACCACUUCCUGGGAGAAUCACUCCCCUCACUGAUUUAAAGAUCCCUCCUAUUUUCAAACCCACUGCUCUGCUCAACCAGUGCACCGGUAGGUUCCAUAGUUGAAUCCAAAGAAAGGAAUGCUGGAAAAAGCUGCUGUUUGUAUCAUACCCCUCUACCCACUCCUUCACUAUCAGCAACUGGUUGUCCAUGACCCAAGGCCCUCCAGAUAAGAUCUUUUUCUUUUCCCCUUCAUCUCCCAGAUGGAAAUGGAAUAAGUUAGGACCUAACUCAGUCACUUUCAUCUUUGAGGGGUAUCCCCAUGCAUGAUUUGUAAAGUUCUUUAACCCCGUAAAGUUGGCAAUUUUUUCACCAAUCAGCUUUCCUACCAGGCUUCCUUGACACUCAGAGACGCCUUCUUCCAGGUCCUCACCACUCAGAUCGACACCUCCUAACUCUGUUUCAGACAAGUCAAAAUUUUGAAAGGCUCUUUCUAAAGCAUCCGCCAUUGCUGUGACGAGAGCUCCUUGAGAAACCAAGCACUAUUUCUGAGCUAUGAGUGACCCACUGACAGACCUGUGAAGAAUUGCAAAGACAGACAAAGCUGUGUUAUCCGUACACACUAAAAACCAACCAGAAAAACAGAGAGGAACUCGACAGAAAAAGCACAGGCACAAGAAGAAACGAAAGAAAAAAGAAAAACCAACAAACCACUAUCCCACUCCCGACCACAUAACAGCAUUAAAGAAAGGGACACAAAUACGACACUCCAACUUCCGAUCACAUGCUCUGACUCAAUGGAUCAUAUCUUGCCCAAAGCGUUUACUCCUCCAACCGAUUCCAAACCACUACAGACAUUGUCUCCCAUUUUGAAGCCGGAAGAAAGGUGGCUUCUGGACAGGGAACAUGAAAGCAAAGGUUGAACUAAAGAUUUGAUUUUAGAUCUGAAAAUUACGCUGUAGGAAAAAGUGCUAUGUGUUUGUACCUCACCCACUCUCCCACACCGAGGAGGGGAACCUCUAAAGUUAGAGAGAGAAGCUCUCAAGUUAGAGAGAAGCUUUGGAAGUUAAUUACCAACGUACCAUGCCGUACAUGUUUGUAAGGAUUUCUAUCCUAUUGGCAAAAGUCGGUUCCAUACAAUUAAUCAAUUCAUUUCACUUCUAUUGGCUCUACUAUUUAUGCAUGUUACGACACUCUUUCCCUUAUAUUUUGCCUUUAAUAUUAUGAGUCAAUAGUAAUAAUGGGCCUUUUUCUUAAAAUUAUACUAUUAUACAUAGGUAGUUUGGUCUAACGCUAAAUUCAUGUUUGUCUUUCUUUUAUUCCCUUUACAUCUCAAAGUAUACUAUAGUUUGUAAUCAUUGUGGUGAUGAUAUUACCAGCUGGUACUUAUAGUUUAAGGCAGAGACAUGAUAUUAACAACUAUCUCAUUGAAACAUAAGUCAAAAUCAUGACAAGUGUGAGUCUUGGUUAAUGCACAAUUUGUUAGUGGAAUUUAUAUUUAUAAAACUCAAAAAAAAUUUUUGACAAUGCUAUUACUAAUUAAUUAAGGACUUCAUUGCUAUAAUUUAUCGCUUACUAAUUUAAACUAUAAAUGAUCUCAAUACUUUUCUCCAUGAUGUCGAUUUCUUUAGACUACGAAAGGGAAAAAUUAGUGACAUAUCCCUUACUGAUUACAACAUCAGCAAAAAUUAGUUAUAAACUUUUCCGGUGGUUUUAAAUCCCUCGGGCACUAAGGUUUUUUGCACAUCGAGUGAAUUAAGGAACAUAGGCAAUUCGUUCUGCAUACCAAGUCCUUGUUUAAGAUGCACGUACUAAAAUGCAUCCACUUCAUUAAUUUGGAAAAUUGCCAUAGUUUUUUUUAAGCAUUUUGAUUUUUUACAUGAUUCAAAAUUUUCUUAUUGGAUACAAUCACUUUGUGUCAAGAACACAUUUUCAAUCAUCUUUUUUAUCUUCUCAAUAAGAAAAUAAAAAUUUAUUCAUGCUUUUCUAACAUAUCCAAUCAUUGAUCUGAAAAAUAAAGAAUUAAAAAAAAAAGACAUUUUCAAUCAUUGCUUACGGGGCAACUUCCCCAUGUGAACCUCAUCAAACAAAGCCAAUAAUAUGAAGGAACAUCUAAAUACACUUUUGCCCUAAAGGCUGGUUGCCUUGGGGUCAAAAUUUAACCUUCGGGAGUAUAAUUACCCGCCAAAUUUAUUAUUUUUUUUAUGGGUAUAUAGUUCCAAUUUUGCCUCCUGUUAAGCUUAUAAAUAUAUUACGACCCAGAAAAUAAAGGAAUCUUGAAUAGUAACAUGUCCAUUGACUUGAGUUGUUAUCAAUUUGGCUACUUCGAUUCCAUGAGGCCAAUCCAAUUCACACUAGCUAGAGAAAAUGGUGAUAAAGGCACUUAGAAAUUUAUAUGUAAUAUUGAUUGGUAGUAACUGAUAAGUAUAUAUUUUACGUGUUUUAAAUAUGUUUUAUUAGUUAGUUUUGGUGUGUUUUAACUACUUUUAUAACUAAUUAACUAGGAAUCUAGUGAAAAUAUGCAUUUUGUGGUUUGAAGUGUAAAAAUUGUAUUUCUAUGGAUUUUAAUGGUGAAAACUUCAUGUUUUUGUAGGUUUAAUGAUUCAAUCAUCAAAUGACAUGAUUUGAGAAGAUAAUUAGAUGAUUGAUGAUGUUUUGAAGUGAUAAAAAGAGAAUACAAAGUGCAAGAGAGGAAAUGCAAUCAAGAAUAAAAGAAGAAAAUUUUUGUAGCUUUGACAUAUUGUCGUAUUUCGGCAAUAUAUUGAGCUACAAUGAUCGGAUUAAGGUGAUUCUUAAACCAUUUGAAGCUAAAAUAUAGAUCUACAUUUGGCAUGAAGGCAUCGAAACCCAUGUCAGUCAUUUUCCUUGUCAAAAUGUUGAAAUACAGAAGUGCAACUCUGUUCUCGAAAGCUAAAACAGAGCUCUGGCUAGUCGAGGGUAUUUUCAUCAUUUCUUAGUCCACAGAGCUCCAAAUGAGAUGAUUCUUAAGGCAUUAGAACCCUAACUCAAAGAGCUACAACUUUCAUAUUUUGUACAAGAGUUAGUUCGGCCUCUAUCAUUAAGAAAAUAGUAGUUGAAGUGGUGCCAAAUGCAUAGAAGUGAAAACGCGAGCUAUCAAUACUCGACCUGAAGUCGCGUAUUCCUGAGGUCAUGCAUUCUCUUCUAUUUUCUGCAACUUGCCCUGCUUUCACAUAACUUUUUCAUCUCAAUUCCAACUAUCAAUUUCGGCUAUAUCUGAUCAAGAAAAGUGUGGAAAGUUUGAAAGACAACUCAUAGGAGUUUCAAGAGUCAAAAAUUACAAUUAGAAACAACUCAUUUGGCUCUUGAAUCCUCUAUAAAUAGAGGCCUUUGAAGAACAUUUUCACAACUUUGGAAGGUUAGAGAAACUCCACAAAAACAUAGUCUUCACUAGAAUUUCCUUAGUUCAUUAGUUAGGGUAGUAUAGUAUAGUUAGUGUAGCUUUUCCUUCUUGUAUUUAUAGUUAGGUUUGAAUGAAGAUUCAGGAGCAAAGAUAGAGAGGUUGAUCUCAUGUGACAAGGGUGAUAUCUCUUCUACUACUUUCUCUUUUGUAUUUGAUUUCAUAUUUAACUAUACUACAAAUUUGGCUUUGUUUUUUUUUUUUUAUCAUGUUUAGUUAAAGUUUAUGCCUAGAGUAUGGAUGACCUUUUUAUAUCUUGUUUGUGAUAUUUAACUGGUUAUUUGAUGAUGUUAUUUUUGAGCAAGUUAUUUAUCACUUUUGCUUUUCUAAUCAUGAUUAACUGGCCAUUAGUUGUGAUUAUCUAAAAGUGUUAAGUUUGUAAUGAGAAUUGGAGUUUAACACUAGUUCAAGGAAGUGAUAAAUUUAGGGAGUUCACUCAUGAGAGUAGAGGAACACCUUUGUGACCUAAGUGACUUGUUUCAUAUAAUUUCAUAGAAAAAAUGAACUUGUAAUUAAUUUCAUAACCACGAGAGUAAGUAUGGUUUAGCUAUAUGUAUAGUUGAUUCACUACGAGAGUAGGUUUCACAUACAUUAGAAAAUUACAUCAUAACUAGUCAAGAUAAUAUCAUUCAUUUAAUCAGUAAUCUCAUUUGCAUGAGUAGUAAGGCAUUCCAUAUCUCUAGGAGGUUUUUAGUAUUAUUUUCAUUACUUUUAUGUUUAUGGUAGUCUAGAUAAUAAUGGAGUUCGAAAACUACUAGUAAUUGAAAAUUUUCCCUGUGGGAUCGACCUUUAAUACCCUAUACUCGCUCUCGACUCGUAUACUUGAGAAAAAUCACGUGUGCGGUAUUUAGAAUUUAUAAAUGUAAAACUUGACUGUAGAUGAACUAAUUGAUAUAUGUAUACCCCGCACUCGUCAGUAACCAGCUUGUAUUGAUCCCACUAUUGUGGAUAAUUGUGCUCUUAUGAAAAAAAAUUAUAAAAAAAUUAGCAAAAUUUAUGAUAACAAAUUAAAUUUAUUCAUACAAAUCAGUGAAAGAAGUAGAAUUUUAAAGUCCAUGAUGAAAUUAAUACUUUCAAGGGCUCUAUUAGGAAGACUUCACUUGUUGGUGAAACUACACUAGCACAGUUAUAUGCACAUUUACUGUUUUGGUAUCUAAUUUCCUUGCCUUAAGUUGGGUGCAGAUGUUUAUAUUACAAAUAGAUGGUAUCAUAAAAUUGUUGUAUUCACGUUUGUUCUUUUUUUUCUUCCUUAAGUUUUUUUCUUUAUUCUCGUGACUUCAAAAAUACGAACUCAAGAAAUUGGCUGCUUAAUCAAUAUGUCAUACAGGCUUCGCUAGUGAGGUAUAACUUCACAACUAGAGUCAAUAGAAAUUAUCAAAUGAUUUUUUAACAUCCAAAUUAAGCAAUAAAUUUUGUUUUCAUUUUAUGACAUAUAAUAGUACUACUUCAUGAGAGAUUUUAUAGUUUCUUUUAGGUAUCAUACCUACAAGUGAUAUUUGUCAUUGGAUAGUGACAGAAGUGUUAAUGAUUGUAAGAUUAAAUAUUGUUAAAUAUUGAAAUUUAAACUAUUUAUCUUUAUUGAAAGAUACAAGUUAAAGAAUCGUUCAAGGGGGCAAUUUUCCAUCUUGUCUUUUUGAAAAAACGCUAUCACAUUGUAUAGGCAUGAUAGGUUCAAAUUUGUCAUUAAAUUUAUGAUUGAUUUUCCUUUUAUUCAAGCCAAAUAUUGUUUUAAUUAUCAAAUUCUACUUAUAUUUGGUUAAUUGUACUAAUUGUAGGGCGGUAGAGCAAAAGUUGCUAAAAAUAGGCGAUUUUCUGCAAAUUGGUUGUCAAGGCUGAAGGAUUUGGGAUUCGCAUGUUCAAGGCCUGUUUCCAAGUUUGAUUCAAACUCUGGACAGUUUUAGAGGAAGAUUUGGAAGAUUUGAAAUUUCAUUAUUAGUUUUAUGGUUGAAUUAGGAAUCUUGGAAUAAUUUCUUUUGUGAUUUAUUUUUCUAUUUAGGAGACUAGUUGUUAUUUAGUAGUAGACUUCAAUUAGAAAACAAAGAGAAAAAGAAGGCCGGAAUCCCGCUUGAUUAAUACCUUGGCCAGGGAACAAUCUCGGUGGGGAGGACGGCCACUUAGCCUCUCAAUUCAUCUUGCUUUUCGUUAGUUUGAGAGGAAAACCAAUUGCAACUAGAUUCAAUGGAGUCUGGCAGAAUUUCUUCUAGGAUGCGUAGCUAAAUCCUCAAUUUUUAGUCGAAGGUCAAUUUGAAAAUUCGGUUCCAAAUAUCUGUGAAAUCGAAUUAUUUUACUUAUUUCUUUUAUUUAUUGGUAUUCGCACGUUUUCUGAUUUAACUUUUUAUGAUUGUUUUGUUAUUUGAAUGUCAAGGGUCCGAUAUUCGAAUUAACUUAAUAAUCUACUGCCAAAUUAACCGGUUAAAUCCGUAAUUGUUUGAUUGAUUAAUAUCAGUGGCGACUAGCGUGAUUGGUCCCAUGUUAGGAAAACGUCUGAUCUAAUUUAAACAAACCGUCGUAGCGUGUUUGUUGAUUAGGGUUGGGCUUUUCUAAUUCUUAAUUCAAUUGAGAAAUUAAAUCCCCCGGUCGUACCUAGGAUUAUUUUUUUGUUAGCGAAAUAGUUAAUGGUCGUACCUUGACUAUCGAAAAAGUAAGGAAGAGUUGAUUGUUUAUCGCGUGUACGACAACUAUAAUCAAUCUAUUAAUGAGUAAUUGAAUUAUCUUUGCAUCAGUAAUCAGUUGAAUGGACCGUGUCUGAAAAGUUGUACCUUUGGCUAGAGUCUUAUCUGUUGUUGAUUCAUUCAUAUCUAUCUUCAUGCGUUGUUUUAAUUUAGUUAAUUAGUUAUUUUUAUAAAAACCCCUCAUCUCUGGACUCUAAAAGAAAUAAAUUAUUUCUAGUUCCUGUGGAUUCGAUCCUACUCACCAUACAAUCCAACCUGCAAUUGUAUGAACCCCAAUCUCGCUUCCUAGUCCACCAUUUUUCUCUAGGUAAUAAUCUCCCUUCUAAUUUCUUCACAAAAUGCACCUUUCAUCACCUCCAAUAGCGUCGACAUGAUCUUUACCCCAGAAGACUAUUCACCGACUCUCAAUUGACGUUAGAAAAUCUAAGAGUAAUUCUACUUUACCCUAAGAUUGAUAUCAACAAGACAAGGACAAUUUAGAAUUAUUACACGCCUCUUCUUAAUAGGAAAAAGAAAUAGAGAAGAAAGUCAGGCCAGGUCUAAUUUCUUUUCAAAGGCAAUACAACAUUACGAAAUCAAGCAUUCAUUCAUACAAAUAUUUCAUAGUCACCGGUUUGCUGAGUAGAAAAAUUUAGACAAAAACUUAAUAUUAUAUUGUUUAAGAGUUAACAAUUUAGAGCUUAAUCUCCUUGUACUUUGGAGUUAACAAUUUAGAGCUUAAUCUCCUUGUACUUUGGACUAAACUUGAACGUGAAAGGAAAUCCCAAAACCAUAUUGGGCAUGAAUUCACACUUAAUAUACCCAAUAAAAGAUGGCGACUGGUGAAAGGCAGUGGAGACUGGUGGAGAGAUUUGAGGAAUAGAAGCAGACGGAAAAGCAACAAAUUUUUGCCGAAAAACGGUCACUUUCAUGGUUAAUUUUGCUACUCUCCAAUUGUACUUGACCAAUUACAACAAUUUCAUGGAGUUUGAUACGUGAAAAGAAUUUUUUAUAAAUUUUAUUUUGAUCCAUAAUGUUAUCUUUACAUAUAUAAAACAUUUUACAAUUUUGAUUUUGGCGCAGUUAACUUUUGGUAAACAAAAAUGCUCAUGUUUAAAAAACCGGAAAUAAAACAAAACAAGAAACAAAAGAAAUAAGAGGGUAGCAUAGACAUUUUGGAUUUUUCCGUUAAUUUGGAUGAUUUCCACCCACGUUCUAAUUUAAUCCAAAACACAAAGGAAUUACGUAGAGGUUUUAAAUAAUGAGGGAGCUUCAUGAUCGAACCCCAAACCACAAGGCGAUUUACUAUAUUUUACUCUUAAAUUUUGGUUUCAUCUCAUAGCAUACAAGAGUUCUAUUUCACUAUCUGUAGACAAAGACUUUCUAUGGUUGAUGUACCAUAGGAAAAAAUCUGCCUAUACAACGUGAUAGCAUUUUUUCAAAAACACAAGAUGGAAAAUUGCCCCCUUAAACGGGGAAAUUCAUGAUCUUUCCUCGAACAAAGAAUACUCACGCCUAUUCAAGAUGGAAAAUUGCCCCCUUAAACGUCUAUUUGUCAAUUCUUGAAAAAAGAAUACUCACGCCUAAAACACGGCCUCUUCAUCUGCAGAAUUCUAAAAAGUUAGGUAAACUCUAUAAACAAGUUGAUAGGUACAAUCGUACCCAAGAUCAAGUACAGAUAGUUGUACAUUCACUGCUGCAAUAACUAAUCUGAUGACUUACAAACAUAUCAUGGUCAAUCGUUGAAUGGUAAUGAGUCUUUUGUUAUGCAUUAGUAUUAGUGUGUACACUCUAAUAGAUUGAUACUUAUACUCUUUAAAUUAUCAUAAUAAUACCCUUAAUUAACUUUAACUCUUAAAAAGAAUACGUGUUAAUACACGAGAGUGUGUAACCUGAAUUGUUACUUAUACAUUAGUGUGUAAUAGAUAGGGAUGGCAAUGGGGGCGGGUGCCCGCAGGCAACCGCCCCGCGGGGGGCUCUCGGGGCGGGGAGGGGGGAAUUUUUUCCCCCCGUUUAGAAACGGGGCAGGGGACGGGGGAGUAUACCCCCGCCCCAUCCCCCGCAAAAAAAAUUAUAUAUAUAUAAUUAUAUAUAAUAUGUAAUUUAAUUAGUUAUAAACUUAUGAUAAUGAUAUUAUUAGUUAGAUGUAUUAUAUAAUGUAUAUUAGUGUAUGUAAUAUAAUUAAUAUUAUCAAUUAUACGAAUAAUUAGACAUGUCUACUAAUAGAAUUUAUUAAUUAGUUAUACUAAAUUUACUAAUACAUUUAUACUAAAUUUCUAAUUACAUUUAAUAGAAUAACACUUUUUUCUAAAAAAAAAAGCACAAACACAAUAAUGAAUUAGUGAUUGUAUUUUUACCAAAAAUGAAAACUUAACUAUUUUAGUUGCAUUUAUUUCAUCAUGUUGGAUUGUAUUCAAAUAAUUUUUGUUUGAUUGUUUUUAUGAGUUUCAAUUGUAAAAUUAAAAUGAAUAAUAACUUGAUGAAUAAUAAUGUCAAUCGUUGAAUGGUGUGUACACUCUAAUAUUAUGCAUUAGUAUUAGUGUGUACACUCUAAUAGAUUGAUACUUAUACUCUUUAAAUUAUCAUAAUAAUACCCUUAAUUAACUUUAACUCUUAAAAAGAAUACGUGUUAAUAACUCUUAACCUGAAUUGUUACUUAUACAUUAGUGUGAAAUAGAACGGCAAGCAUUGAGCAACUUAUAGGAGAAAUAGUCCUAUAAGCUGUUGGAUGACUAAUAUAGCUCUAGCUGUAAUGUUUUAAUUAAAUUACAUCACUAACGUUGGGAUGACUAAUGGUUUAAAAAUAAUUGAGUAAUUGGAAAAAAAAAAAGAGACUAAUUUUCAUUGAAACCCACCGACAAACUAAACGUGUCCAUGGCUUUUGAAUAGUGCAUUCAACGUUUAAUUGUAUAGUCCAGUUCAUUGCAGAUUACAUGGAGUAAAGAUUGUGCUCUUUCCUUUUUCACCCCUUUUGGAAUCGAUACUGUGGAGAAUUGGGUUUUUCCCUUCUUUUUUUCUUUUCUUUCUUUCUGUGCUUUGCAAAACAUAGGUAAAAUUAUGAAAUCCGAAGCAUUCUUUAAUUGGGAUUAAGUAUUGUUCUUGAAAUUAAAAAGAAGAAAGAAAGAACAACAAAAUUCCCUGAUUGGUUGCAUCGUGCUUCCAUAGAAGCUCUCUUAGUGUGAUACACUGCUUUCAAUCAGUUUAACAUGGAAAAAAGAAAGAGAUGAAAAGCAAAUUUGGUGGGGAUAAUUUCAGAAACCUCCCCUGAAGAUUUUGACUAUUCUACUGGUCUCCCUUCAGAUUUUAAAAAUUACACUAAUCUUCCUUGAAGUUAUAACAUUUAAAUUCAAUCAAUAAUUUAAAAAAUGAUAUUAUGAAAGAGAAAAUAAUAUGAUUUUAUCAUUGCCCCCCAUCUUACUACAUUAUUUAAUUAAUUUAAUAGCAACCCACACAUUAAAGAAAAAUAUAAAAUUUGUUAUUUAUCAUUAAAGAUCAAAUCGCUUAUAACAUCAAAUAAUAGUAUAUUAUUUAUAUUUUUCACUUAACAUAAUAUCCAAAUUACUCUUUUCAAUUACAUACUCAUUGUUAGACAAUCAACAACAAAUAACCAAAAAAUUUGCAACCAAAAUAUUACAAAAAAAAAUAAACUUUAACAUCAUAAAUAUUCUUAUCAACAUAUUAAAGUUAGUUACUGAAAUUUUUAUGGUGUUAAACUUCACUCUUUGUAAUAUUUUGGUUACAGAUUUUUUUUGAUUAUUUUUUAUUAAUUAUGUUUGAUGAUGGGUUUGUAAUUGAAAAGAAUAAUUUAAAACUUACAUUAAGUGAAAUAUAUAGAGUGAUAUACUAUUUUUUAUAACAUAUGUGAUUCAAUCCUUCUUGAUAGGAUUGGUAAUAGAGGUAGAGGGGGGAGUCGGCUGCAUCCGGUCUUCUUUUCAUAGAUAGUACAAUAUUGCGAAAUCAAUCGCAUUCACACAAUAAUAUUUCGAAGUCAAUGCAUGGCUAAGUUGCAUAAAAGUACGAACACUUGUUAUUAUAUAGCUUAAGAUUCAAAACUUUAGAGCAUAACCCUCCACCUAACACAAUUGAAUAAUGAAUAUUCACGUUUGUCAAAUCUGUCAAAGCACAGUUUGAGGACAACCCAUUCCAACCUGCAAAAGAUUUUUUACUUUUCUAAAGUUGUUGAGAGCUGUAAAAAGACCUACCAUGCUUACAUCCUCCGAGCCUUGGGAGUUAAAAAUGAAGGCACUGAGUGCUAUAAAAAGGGGGCUAGAGGCUGCCUAGAAGCAUAUCAGCCUAAAACAAGAAUUUGUUGUUAUGAUGGGAAGCAAAGCAAAAGCAAUGGGGUCUGGGCUGACUCCUCUUCUUGCCACUGUUUUAGUGGUAUUUGUUGCUCUUGGCUUGCCCUCAGAAACAGCAGCUGAUGAUCACUACAAGUAUUCAUCUCCUCCUCCUCCUUACCACUAUCCCUCACCACCGCCUCCAGUGCAUUUACCUCCACCAGUGUACAAAUACAAGUCCCCACCACCACCUCAUCAUGUUUACAAGUACAAAUCUCCACCACCCCCACCACCACACCCAGUUUACAAGUAUAAGUCACCACCACCACCUCCUCAUCCGGUACCACACCCAGUUUACAAGUAUAAGUCACCACCACCACCUCCUCAUCCGGUAUACAAGUAUAAGUCUCCUCCGCCACCACCACACCCAGUUUACAAGUAUAAGUCACCACCACCACCUCCUCAUCCGGUACCACACCCAGUUUACAAGUAUAAGUCUCCUCCGCCACCAGUUUACAAAUAUAAGUCUCCUCCACCACCACCUCCAGUGUACAAGUACAAGUCUCCACCACCACCAGUUUACAAGUACAAAUCACCACCACCUCCUCCCCCAGUUUACAAAUACAAGUCUCCACCACCACCAGUUUACCACUACAAGUCACCACCACCUCCUCACCCAGUUUACAAGUACAAAUCUCCUCCACCACCAAUUUACCACUACAAGUCACCACCACCUCCUCCCCCAGUUUACAAAUACAAGUCUCCACCUCCUCCUCACCACUACUAAGCAAUUGCUUCUGAGGUAAUAACACUUGUUCAAUAACACUUGAUAGCCAGCUGAAUAUUUGCAGGCAAAGGAGAAGGAAACCAGUGUUUGAGACCUUCUUGAAGAUGUAGAAGCAUAAGAAUUAAAGCCCAAUGUGAAGAUGAUGAUUUCAAGUUUUUCUACGUUACCAUUUCAAUAUCUAAAUUGGUUGUAGCGCCUUAGUUCCUUUGUUUAUGGGAUUUGUAUCGUUUUACGUACCAUGCAGUACAUGUCAUGUUUGUAAGGUUUUCUAUCCUGCCGGCAAACCGCAGGUUCCAUGUAAUAAAUCAAUACUAUUUAUAUUACGACACUUUUCUCUGUUUCUCUUAUAUUUUGUCUUUAAUAUUCUUAAUCAUAUUUUUAACAAAAAUAUUCAAACACUUCAGCAAUGGUUCACCUAGUUGAUCAUCGAAGCAGAGGCAAUUCCAAUUAUUUAUCAAUAAAUAGGAUAUAACUACCAAACAAGCGAUGGCAGUUAACCCCUCCUUACUGUGUCGGUGAUCAAGGUACGCCCGUUAAUCACUGCUCUAAUUGAGAAAUAAUCCUAAGUACGCCCGUAGAAUUUAAUUCCCCAAUUGCCUUACAUAUUAGAGGAGCCCUAUUCUAACCAAAUAACGCACUAUCAGGGUUAUUUUAGAUUAGCCCGCGUAUUCCCCUGACAUAAAUCUAAUCAUGCCAGUUGUCAUUAUUUUGAGGUAAUUAAACAAUUACGGAUUUAACACCUCAAUUGACAAUAGAUUAUUAAAUUAAUUAAUUAUUCGGAUCCAAGACAAUCAAUUAAUUAAACAACCAUAAGCACUACAAUCAGAGAAUAUGCAAAUACCAAUAAAUAAAUAAAAAAUAAAAUUAAAUCGAUCUCACAAUUUUUAGGCGAAUCAGAGCAUCCGUUGUCCCUUGACUAGAGCAAGGAAAUUAGUUCAUAUUUGAUGAACUAAACCCAUACAAAAGGGAAGCGAGAAAUGCAGCCAUUAUCCUUUGAAAUCUGGAAAAUUCAACUUGUCCGAAUAUCGAAUAGAUAGUAAUACUACAAAAGGUAAUUCAUAGCUUCCCUUUCGUCUGACACACAAGAAGAAAAAAAAGGGCUGCUAAUAACUAAAGGAGGAAAAGUCAAAGUCCUAAGCUAUGCUACAAGACGAAAAACUAAAGAAGACAAAAAGGCAGUGCUCAUUCCCUGCAAUCUCAAUUCCUAUUCUAUCUAAGUGCUCUCCAAUGUGCGGCGGCUCCCCUUCCGGAGAGGACGAAGUGGCACCCUUUUUUCCUGCGCAAUUUUCCUAUAUAAAGUAGUGCUCCUUGCAGCGGCUCCUGUGCGAAAAAAUGAAGACUUCGGCCCAAUUUGCCUAACAAGGGCUCACGUUUUGUUGUUCUAAAAAUGUCCCUAGGACAAACUCUAUCAUCUGAACUCUUUUCUUGCCAAAUUAGUACCUGUUAUUAUAUUUUCGUUCUACUCCCUGAAAUAAAUGCAAAAUAUCAAAAGUGAGUAGAAUCUAGCAAUUAAUCCACAUUAGGUCAGGUAAUAGGGAAAAUUAAUAAUAAAAUAAAUGAUAAAAUUGCAAUCUAUCACGGGACCACUGUGGUAAGGUGUGUUUCGCCUAUUAUAAGGAGUUCGGAGAGUUAGACGUGUUGGAGGCGGAGGCGCGGUCACUCCUGCACGCCCUCCAGCUGUGUGCAGAUCGCGAGGUACGGGCGUUGACUGUAGAAUCUGAUUCAAAGGUGCUUGUUCAACUAGUUUGCUCGGAUAUGAGGUCGAAGUGGCCGGUGUGUAUCGUAUUGCGGGAAAUAAGACAUUUGAUCCGGCGGAUGGGUGCAUCCCUUCAUCAUAUAUUCCGUGAGGCCAAUUCGGUGGCGGACGCAUUGGCUUCUCUGCAAUUGGGAGGGCAGCAGUACUACACCUCAGGCGUGGCGCUGCCUUUCAGGCCCAGAGGAGAGGCUCUGCUGGAUCGUCAAGGAGUACCUCGCAUCCGUGAGGCGCUCACUAAGGUUUGAUAGGCUAUGUCCUCCUUUCAAAAAACUUAUUUCAUCUACUCCUUGUAAUCAUUUUUCUUAUCAAUAAAUUGAGGCUUUUUAUUUAAAAAAAAACAUAUAAUUUAAGGCAAAAAUAUGAUCCUAGCGAGUAUCGCACUGAGACAUUAGGAAACAUCAUUAAAAGAGUAUUUCUUGAGUUAGUGCAACUAUUUCUUAGGGGAAUUUAUAGUUACAAAAUUCAAAAAUUUGAGAUUCUAUUACUGAUUAAUUAAGGGCGUUAUCACUAUUUUUCUUAUUAUCACCAUUAUUUACCCCACAUACUAUAAGUUUUUUUAGGGCACAGGAAAAGAGGUGGGCCGAUGUUUAGUUAUGUACAAAAGUUCAAAAUUUGUAGAUAACUUAUCAUGUGCCCUUAGAGCGUAGAAUACAGAAAAAAUAUCUUAAACUAUAACUAAUCCUAAUAUUUUUCUCUAUGAUAAACUAGCUCUUAUCCAUUUCUUUAGAUGAUGAAAGGAAAUAGUUAGUCACCUGUCCUCUAGUGAUUACAACAGCAUCAAAACAAAUUAGCACUCUUUUCCCGUAGUUUAAAAAUCCCUCAGCCACUAAGAUUUUGCAUGUCGAACGAAUUAAGGAACAUAGAAGGUUCGUGCUGCACCACAGUGUCCUUGUUGACGAUGCAAAGACAGAAAUGCAUCCGCGUAUACUUCCUUAAGCAUUUUGAUUACUUUAUGAUUCGAACUUUUCUUGUCUGACAGCUGGACUUAAUUGAAAAACACAAGUAACAAUAUUUCAAAGUUGAUUCGUCAAAGUUUACCCAAUUGGUGAAACUUUCUUCAUAGAGCUGACUUUGUAUUAGGUGACAAUGAUAUGGAAUUGAUGUCCUUCCCUUUUUCCUUUUUUUGUGUUGAAGACGCACAACGUUUUCAAUGGCAAAUUUAUAUGGGCUUUUCACGACAAAAUGUGUUCUGAAAAGUUCAUUCCAGAGGUUAAAAUUUUGUGUGUUAAAAAUUUGCUUCUCAGGACUUUGAUGGGAAAGUCUUGGUGUUUCCAAAAAGUUUAAGCAGGAUGCUUCUGGCUUUCUCUCCAUGUAUUUGUGAGUUAGAUCUAAAAUUAUCAGGGCUCCAGAGAUCUCUUGAAAUCGCAGCAUAUAUUGAAGUCUUUCCAGAAGGAGUCUUUUUUUUUUUUUUUAUGAAUUAUGAUAGAUAAUUAAUCUGACGGUGCAUAUAUAUAUAUAUGUGAUUUGCAGUAGGGUGUUUGACGAAAUGGUUAGGCUUCCUAAGUAAUGAUAGGAAUGCCAUUUGCAAAGAAGGACAGGGGGCUGGUGCUGUCAUAUUUUAUGCGAUUUGAUCCGUUGUUGUAUAAGUUUAAACUUUUGACGUGCAAUUGUGCUAUAAUAUUAUACUAAAUAUAUGUGUGAAAUAUUUUGUCUAUAUACAUCACUUUUAUCAUGAAUACAACAGCUGAGUAUAAUAAUAUAGUAUAAUGUAAUUGUACACCAAAUAAUGUAGCAAAUAUAACAAUUGAUCCGAAUUACACGGAACCAUAACAACAAGAUCACCGCCUCCCAAAUUUUACAAAAUUAGGUUUUUUUUUUUUCUCUUAGAUUAUUGAAAAUUUUCAAAAAUAAUCUACAUAAUUUAAGCUUUUGUCCUACAAAAAUUUGAAGAGAUUUUACAUUACAAGCUUAAGCUUAGAUAUAUUAAACUUUGCCCCCAAGAUUAAUUUUCCGUUUUUAUCUAUGAACCGAUCCAUAUAGCUAGUUAGACUGUAGUCCUCACAUUUGUGGGAUUUAACACCCAAGAUUCUCCUUCUUGGAAUGUAAAAUGUAGAUCUUCUAUGUUAAUAAUUCAAGACCCUACUGUCAUAAACGAAAUGACUGAUCAACUCCUGUAAACCUAAUUUGACAACAUUUAAAUGGAGAACUUUAGCUAAAAGAAUUAUGGUCAAGCUAAAGAAAAAGCCAGUUAUUUUCCAACAUAUGCAAUCAUUGAUCAGGAAAAAAAAAAAAAAGCAAAAAGACAUCUUCAAUCAUUUAAUAGCUCACAGUGCAAAUUAACCCCUAAGCGAAAACUGGUUGCUCUAGAAUCAAAAUUUUACCUUAGUUACCCAGGCAACUUUUUUGUUGCUUUUUUUUUUUUCUUUUCCUUUUUGGGUAUAUAUAUAGCUCCAGUUUUGCCCCCUCUGUCAAGCUUAUAUAAUUAUUAAGAUAAUAAAAGUGCCUUGAAUAGUAUUAAUAUAUCCAUUGACUUGAGCUGUCAUCGAUCGGUUUGGGCUACUUCGAUUCCAUGAGAACAAAUGGUAAUAAAAGUACUCAGAAAAUAGGGAGCCAUGAAACCCUUUUGUUCUAUUCAUUGCUAAGAUGCUUUUCUCUAUAAAGAGACUUCCUAACGAAAGUACUUUGUAGAUUUCUUUACUCCAAGUGGUGCAUGGAAAAUUAAAAUAUUCAAUUAUCAAAUAAAAUUCCCUUUUUUCGGUGUAGAUUUCAUCCAUCCAGCUGUUAACACAUUUUAUGUAUCCGAAUUAUAUAUUCUCUACCAAAUAUUGUAACUUUUCUGAGCAUCUUUACAUUUUUAUUCCCACCUAACAAAUUAGUUGUUGAGCAUCUUUACAUGCUAUCGGAUCACAAGUUAAUAAUCUUUUAAAGAACAUGUUAAAUUAAUUUAUUGGUAUGAAUAGUCAAAGAAGUAUAUUAAAGUUAGUAAUCUUUAAACACCACGAUGCAAUUAAUACUUUCAAGCUCAAGGUCUUUUUUUUUUUUUUUUUUGGUACUGUACUUCCUUGCUUUAUAGUAUGCACGUUUAUUUCUGUGGAUUGCUUAAGCUUAUAUUGUUAAUAAUUGGGCAUUUAACCAUAAAUUAUAAUGAUUAUGAAGUCAUAUAUAUAUAUAUAUAUAUAAGAAAAUUACCACAAUUAUUCAAUUUUUUUUGCAAAUUCAAAUUUUAUUAAUAAGAAAUAGGCAGUAAGCUUUUACAAACGGAAAAAAAAAAUCCUACAACAACUCUAGGACCUUUGAAAGAAAGAAAAAAAAAAGAAAAGAAAAGCUUAAGGACUCUACCUCAUAGAAGCUAAACAAUCCUACAAAUAAACUGCAAAAUAAAUCACAAUAACGCAAAAUUUUUGUCUUUCUUCCGUAUGAAAUGAAACUACGAAGUCAAGAAUUGACUCCUUUAACCGCUAUUGCCAGCGGGCUCCGUCAGCAAGAUACAACUUUGCAAUUUGAUUCAAUAGAAAUCCUCAAAUAGCUAUUUUGACAGGCAAAUUAAGCAUUAAUUUUGGUAUCCCUUCAUAAAAUACAAGAGUACUUUUGAUUAUAUCUAUAGAUCAACUUUCUAGGCUAUUUUGAUGUAUUAUAAGAAAAUCUGCCUCAACAAUUUUGAUAGCAUUUUUCCAAAAGCAGAAGAUGGAAAAUUGCCCAUUUGUACUGGGGAGUUCGUGAUCUUUUCCUCCUUCUAGUCUACUUACAAUUCUUGGAAAAAGGAAUACUCACAUCUCAAACAACUGCCUGUUCAUCUGCAAUGUCCUGCCGAAUUCUAGAAAGUUAGGUGGCAAUGCUAAUUACAUUUCAAAAUUGACUGCUGCGAUGACUAAUUCGAUGGCUUACUACAUGGUCAACGUUUGGAUCCCUUCCUGUCCUUUUUGGAUGCACAUUUUUUUUCUCUAGGCAAUAUAUAAUCUCCCAACUCAUUUCUUUACAAAUGCACCUUUAAUCACCACCAAAAGGUGUGGACAUGAUCUUUACCCUAGAAAACUAAUCACCGACAGGCAAAUUGACGUCAGAAAUACUAAGAGGAAUUCUAGUUUCCUUCGGGUUAAUGCCAUUUUGUACCCUUCAACUGUAACUCGAUUUCUAAACUAUAAUUUGUGACAUUAUAGUCCUUAAACUAUGAAACCCCUCUUACUUAAGUACAAUGGUUAAUACAAUACCCGUGACUAGACAAGCAACCAUAACAAAAAAAAAUCCAAAAUUAGAGAAAAGAAAGAAGUUUCGCGACCAAAGUAUGUAUCAAGGCAUAGUAUAGAAAUAAAAGUGUCCAAAUUAAGAGUUUAGGGAUAAAAGAGAUCAAGAUAUAGUUUAGGGAUUGAUUUGUCUCAAUUAGAGUUUUGAUGUCAACUAAGAAGAGAGAUAUAGUUGAAGGGUAGAAUAUAGAUAUAACAGUUCAAUGAUUGAUAUCAACGAGACAAUGACAACUUUGGAUUAUUACCAACCUCUUCUUGAUGGGAAAAGGAAAUAGAGAAGAAAGUCGGGCCUGGUCUAAGCCUGCUUCGGAGGCAAAACAACAUUAUGAAAUCACCGGCAUUCACACAAAUAUGUCAAAGUCACCGGCAUGCUAAGUUGCAUAAUUUAUACAAACACUGAAUAAUAUAUUGUUCUUAAAAUUUUUGUUUAAGAUUUAACAAUUAGAGCACGGUACACGAAUUAGCAAUAUUAAAUAAUGAAUGUUCACGAUUGAUAAAGUUAUCAAAGUACAGUUUGAGGACAACCCAUUCCAACGUGUACAAGAUGUUUAGCCUUUGAAAAGUUAAUUAGAGAAGGUGACGAGAUUUUACUAGGCUUAAAUCUUCUAGGCCUCGGAAGUAAAAAAUGAAGGCCUUUGAGUGCUAUAAAAAGGGGGCUAGAUGUUGCCUAGAAGCAUAUCAGCCUCAGACCACAUUUUGUAGCAAUGGGGAGCAAAGCAAAAGCAAUGGGGUCUAGGCUGACUCCUCUUCUUACCACCGUUUUAGUGGUAUUUGUUGCUCUUGGCUUGCCUUCAGAAACUGUGGCUGAUUACUACAAGUAUUCAUCUCCUCCUCCUCCUUACCAUUAUUCCUCACCACCACCUCCUGUGCAUUCACCUCCACCACCGCCAAUUUAUAAGUCACCCCCACCACCUUACCACUACUCCUCACCGCCACCUCCAGUGUAUUCAUCUCCACCACCACCUUCGCCAGUUUACAAGUCUCCGCCACCACCUUACCAUUAUUCGUCACCACCGCCUCCGGUGCAUUCACCUCCACCACCACCUGUUUACAAGUCACCUCCACCACCUUCGCCAGUUUACAAGUCUCCGCCACCACCUUACUAUUAUUCGUCACCACCGCCUCCGGUGCAUUCACCUCCACCACCACCGAUUUACGAGUCACCUCCACCACCUCCUCCAGUUUACAAGUCUCCGCCACCACCUUACCAUUAUUCCUCACCACCACCUCCAACGCAUUCACUCCCACCACCAGUUUACAAAUCACCGCCACCACCUCCUCCUAUGUAUAAGUCCCCUCCACCACCUUAUCAUUAUUCCUCACCACCACCUCCAGUGCAUUCACCCCCACUGCCACCAAUUUACAAGUCUCCGCCACCUCCAAUCUACAAGUAUAAGUCACCACCACCUCCUCCCCCAAUUUACAAGUCACCACCACCACCUCCUCCAGUAUAUAAGUCCCUACCCCCACCAGUGUAUAAGUACAAGUCUCCACCACCACCUCCUCCAGUAUACAAAUCACCUCCACCACCUCCUCCAGUUUACAAAUCUCUACCACCACCAAUUUAUAAAUACAAGUCUCCUCCACCACCUCCUCCGGUUUACAAUUCCCCACCACCACCAAUCUACAAGUCUCCACCUCCACCCUCCCAUUACUACUACAAUUCUCCUCCUCCUCCUCCUCAUCACUACUAAGCAAUUGUAUCCAAGUUUUUGAGGUAAUAAUGCUAAACCAAUAUAUUAACUUUCGCAUGAUAAACUUUAUCUCUAUCAAGACAAACUGCCAUGUGCAUCAAGCCAAAUACGUACACUUCGAUCCAUGAAAAUGACAAGUAGAAGGUUUUCUUAAGAACCAAGGAACAGCAUUAGUAUUCCCUCUGUUUCCAAAACUUGUGUAUUAAAUAGAUUAAUGAAUUGUUUAACAUGCUUAUCUACUUGAAAAUGCACAAUACCCAUAACCCACUGAAAUUUUUGCAGGUAAAGGGGAAGAGAAUCUGUGUUUGAGAGCUUCAUGAAGAUGUUGAAGAAUAAGAAUAAAAGCCCAAUGCGAGGAUGUUUUCAAGUUUUUCUAUGUUUCCACUUUAAUUUGUAAAUUGAAUUUUUCGACUUAAUUAAUUCCCUGUUUGUGGGGUACGUAUUGUUUUACGUACCAUGCCGUACAUGUUUGUAAGGAUUUCUAUCCUAUUGGCAAAAGUCGGUUCCAUACAAUUAAUCAAUUCAUUUCACUUCUAUUGGCUCUACUAUUUAUGCACGUUACGACAUUUUUUCUCUCUUUCCCUUAUAUUUUGUCUUUAAUAUUAUUGAGUCAAUAGUAAUACUGGGCCAUUUUUUUUAAAACUUAUACUAGUAUACAUAGGUAGUUUGGUCUAACGCCAAAUUCAUGUUUGUCUUUCUUUUAUUCCCUUUACAUUUCAAAGUAUACUAUAGUUUGUGAUCAUUGUGGUGAUGAUAUUACCAGCUGGUACUUAUAGUUUAAGGCAGAGACAUGAUAUUAACAACUAUCUCAUUGAAACAUAAGGAAAAAUCAUGACAAGUGUGAGUCUUGGUUAAUGCACAAUUUGUUAGUGGAAUUUAUAUUUAUAAAACUCAAAAAAAAAAUUUUGACAAUGCUAUUACUAAUUAAUUAAGGACUUUAUUGCUAUAAUUUAUCGCUUGCUAGUUUAAACUAUAAAUGAUCUCAAUACUUUUCUCCAUGAUGUCGAUUUCUUUAGAUACGAAAGGGAAAAAUUAGUGACAUAUCCCUUACUGAUUACAACAUCAGCAAAAAUUAGUUAUAAACUUUUCCGGUGGUUUUAAAUCCCCGGGCCCUAAGAUUUUUUGCUCAUCGAGUGAAUUAAGGAACAUAGGCAAUUCAUUUUGCAUACCAAGUCCUUGUUUAAGAUGCAAGUACUAAAAUGCAUCCACUUCAUUAAUUUGGGAAAUUGCCAUAGUUUUUUUAAGCAUUUUGAUUUUUUACAUGAUUUAAAAUUUUCUUAUUGGAUACAAUCACUUUGUAUCAAGAACACAUUUUCAAUCACCUUUUUUUAUCUUCUCAAUGAGAAAAUAAAAAUUUAUUCAUGCUUUUCUAACAUAUUCAAUCAUUGAUCUGAAAAUUAAAACAUUAAGAAAAGGACAUUUUCAAACAUUAAGAAGUAGUAUUUUAAAGACCAUGAUGAAAUUAAUACUUUCAAGGUCUCUAUUAGGAAGACUUCCUUUAUUAAUACUCUACUAGGCAGAGUUAUAUGCACGUUUACUGUUUUGGCCUUAAGUUGGGUGCAGAUGCUUAUAUUACAAAUAGAUGGUAUCAAAAAAUUGUUGUAUUCACGUCUGUUCUUUUUUUCUUCCUUAAGUUUUUUUCUUUAUUCUCGUGACUUCGCUAGUGAGGUAUAACUUCACAACUAGAGUCAAUAGAAAUCGUCAAAUGAUUUUUUGACAUCCAAAUUAAGCAAUAAAUUUUGUUUUCAUUUCAUAACAUAUAAUAGUACUACUUCAUGGGAGAUUUUAUAGUUUCUUUAGGGUAUCAUACCUACAAUUGAUAUUUAUCAUUGGAUAGUGAAAGAAGUGUUAAUGUCUCUAAGAUUAAAUAUUGUUAAAUAUUGAAAAUUUGAACUAUUUAUCUCUAUUGAGAGAUACAACUUAAAGAAUCCUACCCAAAAGAGACUAGAAUUUUCUCUGUUUUUCAUCAUCUGUAGACAUAAACUUUCCACGGUUGAUAGCAUUUUUCAUCAUCUAUAAGGAAAUUUUGCCUAUACAAUGUGAUAGCAUUUUUCAAAAAGACAAGAUGGAAAAUUGCCCCCCUUGAACGGAAAAUUGCCCCCUUGUCAAUUCUUUAAAAAAGAAUACCGUCCCGCAGAAUUCUAGAAAGUUAGGCAAAACUAGACAAGUUGACAGGUAUAAUCAGACCCAAGAUCAGGAACAAGCAGUUGCACAUUUCAAAAUUCGCUGCUGCAACAACUAAUUUGAUGACUUACAACACUAAAUGGUCAAACUUUGAAUGGCAAUGAAUCUUUUGUUGUACAUCAUGAUGUAAUUUUCAUGUUACAUAAUAGAUUGAUAUCUAUGUUCUUUAAAUUAUCAUAAUAAUUAAAUUUAACUGAAAAAAAGAACACAUAUCAAUACACAAAAGUGUGCAACGUGAAUGUUAUUUUAGUGUAUUGCAGAAGACCUAUAGUCUCUUCAUAUCUCUUCCUGCACGUAUCAAUUCGUUUCCUCUAGAUAAUAAUCUCCCAACUCAUUUAUUUACAAAUGCACCUUUUAUGUUUUAUUACCUCCAAAAGCCUAAAAAUCAAUUCACCGACUCGCAUUUGGUAUCAGAAAUUCUUAUUACGAAUUCUACUUUACUCAAAGAUUGACUGUUAAUAAUGAGACAACGACCAUUUUGUAUUAUUACACCGUCCUUCUUGAUAGGCAAAAGAAAUAGAGAGGAAAGCGGGUCCGUAUAUGGUCUUUUAUUCAUAGAUAAUACAACAUUACGCCAUCGAGCAUUCACACAAUAUUUCAAAGUCAUUGCAUGCCUAAGGCCUGCUUGAUAAUCUAAUUCCGUACUUAAAUUUAAUAAAUUCAAAUCUUAACACAUUCAAAUCGUUUGAUAACAAAAAAUUGAACAUCUAAAUUAAUUAAGUAACACUGAAUUUUCUAGGCAAAACUUGCUCCCAAAAUUAAGUGAUAAGUUAUUCACUUAUCACUGAAUAUGAUAUGUAUUCAAAUGUAUUAGAUUUAAUACUUAAUAAUUUAAUGAAUUCAAAUUUCAUAUUUCAUAUUUCAGUUUUAUCAAACACACCUUAAGUUGCAAAAUAAUACCAAAACUUGUUAUUACAUAGCUUGAGAUUCAAAAAUUUAGAGCAUAAUUCUCAACCAAACACAAUUGAAUAAUGAAUAUUCACGAGUGUCAAAUCUAUCAAAGUACAAUUUGAGGACAACCCAUUCAAACGCGUACACGAUUUUUAACUUUUCUAAAGUUGUUGAGAGCUGUUGAAAGAGAUUUACCAUGUUUACAUCUUCCAAGUCUUGGGAGUAAAAAAUGAAGCCACUGAGUGCUAUAAAAAGGGGGGUAGAGGCCACUUGAGAUCCUCGGUGACAUGUUUUCUAUGCCAAUCCAAUGCCACCAAUAGUGUUGCGCCAAGUGUCAUGUUAUUAUUUACACUUGUGUUAAACUAAGCCAAGUUGAAUUAUUAGAAAAUUAAAGUGUAAAUAAUAACAUGACACUUGGCGCAAUACUAUUGGUGACAUUGGGUUGGCAUAGAAAAUAUGUCACCGAGGAUCCCAAGUGGAUAGAUGCUGCCUAGAAGCAUAUCAGCCUAAAACAAGAAUUUGUAGUAACAAUGGGGAGCAAAGCAAAAGCAACGGGGUCUAGGCUGACUCCUCUUCUUACCACUGUUUUAGUGGUAUUUGUUGCCCUUGGCUUGCCCUUGGAAACUGCAGCUGAUUAUUACAAGUAUUCAUCUCCUCCUCCUCCUCCUUACCAGUAUUCCUCACCACCACCUCCAGUGUAUUCACCUCCACCAACCCCUGUUUAUAAGUUACCCCCACCAUCUCCUCUAGUUUACAAGUCCUCACCACCACCUUACCACUACUCACCACCUCCUGUGUAUUCACCUCCACCAUCACCAAUUUACAAGUCACUGCCACCACCCCCUCCAGUAUACAACUCCCCGCCUCCACCAGUGUACAAAUACAAGUCCCCACCACCACCUUCUCCAAUUUACAAAUCUCCACCGCCACCAGUUUACAAGUACAAGUCACCCCCACCACCUCCUCCGGUAUACAAGUCUCCUCCGCCACCUGUUUACGAGUACAAGUCUCCUCCACCACCUCCUCCAGUGUACAAGUCCCCACCACCUCCAGUUUACAAGUACAAGUCACCACCACCUCCUCCCCCGGUUUACCAAUCUCCUCCACCACCAGUUUACAAAUACAAGUCACCACCACCUCCUCCCCCAGUUUACCAGUCUCCACCUCCACCCUAUCAUCACUACUACGGUUCUCCUCCUCCUCACCACUACUAAGCAAGUGCAUCUAAGUUUUGAGGUAAUAAUACCGAUCCAAAACUUUAUCAACGCAAACUGCCAUGUAUAUCAUGCUAAGGACGUACACUUGAUCCAUGAAAAUGGCUAGUAGAAGAUUUUUUUUAAGAACCAGAGAAAUACAUUAUUUUUUCGCUCUGUUUUCAAGAAUUUGAGCAGUAUACAGAUUAAAGAGUGUUUUUUUUAAACUUGCUUAUCAACUUAGAAAUGCACAUAGCUGAAAGCCAACUGAAUAUUUGCAGGCAAAGGAGAAGGCAAUCGGUGUUUGAGACCUUCAUGAAGAUGUAGAAGAAUAAGAAUAAAAGCCCAAUGCGAGGAUGAUUUCAAGUUUCUACGUUACCAUUUCUACAUCUAAAUUGACUUUAGCUCCUGAGUUCCAUGUCUAUGGGGUUUGUACUGUUUUACGUACCAUGCAGUACAUGCUUGUAAGGUUUUCUGUCCUGUUGGCAAGCCGCAGGUCCAUAUAAUAAAUGAAUACUAUUUAUAUUACGACACUUUUCUCUCUUUCUCUUAUAUUUUGUCUUUAAUAUUGUUGAUCAUUUUUUUUUUUUAUCAAAAGUAUCAAAUGCUUAGGCAAUUUGGUCUAAUGCUAAUUGUUUUACAUUUAUUUUUCACCUACAUCCCUUUUCAACUCAAAGGAUGCUACAGUUUGUGAUCAUUGUUUAAGACCGAAGCAUGGUACUAAUAAAUAUCUCAUUGAAAGUCAAGGAAACUAACAUUAUGAAAAGUGUAAAUCUUGAUUUGUGAAACUAUUUAUUCGUGGAAUUUAGAGAUACAAAACUCAAAUUGUGACGGUGUUGUUGCUAAAUUAUUUUUUUUUUAUAAUAAAACACAGUUCAUUCAAGGAUUACUGGAAAUCGUCCAGCACAAUUGAGAUACAUUGUUGCCCAGGUGGCAGAUAAAUAUGCACUAAAAUUAUAGAUAUGCAAUUUAACAAAUACAUAAGAUUUGAGAAAUUAAGGACAAAUCUAAAAAGGACCAUAAAUUUGAAAAACAUUUCAUCCUAGAAUAAGUCGCUGCAACUCUCUUUGUGCAUGCUGUAAUCGUCAGAUCUACUAAUCAACAGUUGUAAGGUCCAGUAAAGAUGGUGAGAUCUGCCGAGAUUGAUCCAAAUCUGAAAUAUUCCCUCAGAUCUGCUAUCCAAUUGGUUCAAACUCAAUACUGAAAGUGAAAUCUGAUGAGAAGACUGAAAAAAUUGUAGAUCUAACAUAUAGAUCUAAAAAAACUCCAAGAUUUGAAAAAGUAAAGAAACAAAACUAAAUAAAACUCUCAUUAAGAUAGUUUAGGAGAGACUAAAACUCUCAAUAGGACACCCUAGGAGAGAAGAAAACUCUCACUAGGAUAACCUAUGAGAGACUUUAUUGAAUGAAAGGAAAAGCAAAGGACAAAGGAAGAAGAAGGGAGACCUUGGCUUAAGGCCAAGGUCUCCCUCCUAUGGAGGAGGAAGGGUAGAGGAGGAAGCCUAGAGAGAAGGAAGAGAAUCCCUCCGCUAGAGGGAAGGAAGAGCCUCUGAGAGGGUACCCGUGUUGUUGCUAAAUUAUUAAGGACAUUAUCACCAUUACUUUUCCCUUACUAGUUUCAACUGCAAUGAUCUCAAUCUUUUUGUGACUAAUUCUUUUCUUAAUAAUUUAUAAAUACAAAACUCACAAAGAAUAUGUGACUUAUUCUUUCCUUUCGUCUUCUAAAGAAAAUGCCAACUGUUAGUUUAUCAAGGGAAAAAGGAUCGACAUCAGUUGUUAUUGAAACUAGUAAGGAAUAAAUAAUGGUGAUAAUGUCCUUAAUAAUUUAACAACAGCACCAUCAGAAUUUGAGCUUUGUAUCUAUAAAUUCCACGAAUAAAUAGUUUCAUCAAAUCAAGAUUUACACUUUUCAUAAUGUUAAGUUUCCUUGACUUUCAAUGAGAUAUUUAUUAGUAUCAUGCUUCGGUCGUAAACAACGAUCACAAACGAUAGCAUCCUUUGAGUUGAAAAGGGUAGUGAAAAAGAGAAGUAAAAAAUACAAUUAGCAUUCCCUCAAAUUGUAGAAAGUUAGGUAGCAUUAUAGACAAGUUGAUAGCCGUAAUUAUACUAAAAAUCAGGCAAAAGCCAGCAAUUUUACAUUUCAAAAUUCACCUAUUCAAUAACUAAUUCGAUGGCUUGCUACAUGGUCAAAAUUCACCACAUAUCCCUUUCCUCAAUCAGGGGCUUCUACAAUUACCAGUUCCAAUUGUAUGGUAUAGUGUAAAUAUCAACAAAUUAGAUGUAGACACUAAUAUAAUAAAUAUGGAUGCUAAGGCAACAACAUACAAAAACAUAAUAAAUUUUGGCAUUCCUUAAAAAAUUACGUCCCCAAAUCAAUCUCAUACACCCAAUUUCUAAUUUAUUUAACUCAUUCCGUCUAUUAACUGCACCAUACAAUCCAACCUGCAAUUGCAUGAACCCCAAUCUCGCUUCCUAGUCCACCAUUUUUCUCUAGGUAAUAAUCUCCCUUCUAAUUUCUUCACAAAAUGCACCUUUCAUCACCUCCAAUAGCGUCGACAUGAUCUUUACCCUAGAAGACUAUUCACCGACUCCCAAUUGACGUCAGAAAAUCUAAGAGUAAUUCUACUUUACCCUAAGAUUGAUAUCAACUAGACAAUGACAAUUUAGAAUUAUUACACGCCUCUUCUUAAUAGGAAAAAGAAAUAGAGAAGAAAGUCAGGCCAGGUCUAAUUUCUUUUCGAAGGCAAUACAACAUUACGAAAUCAAGCAUUCAUUCAUACAAAUAUUUCAUAGUCACCGGUUUGCUGAGUAGAAAAGUUUAUACAAAAACUUAAUAUUAUAUUGUUUAAGAGUUAACAAUUUAGAGCUUAAUCUCCUUGUACUUUGGACUAAACUCGAACGUGAAAGGAAAUCCCAAAACCAUAUUGGGCAUGAAUUCACACUUAAAUAGACCCAAAAAAAGAUGGCGACUGGUGAAAGGCAGUGGAGACUGGUGGUGAGAUUUGAGGAAUAGAAGCAGACGGAAAAGCCACAAAUUUUUGCCGAAAGAGGGUCACUUUCAUGGUUAAUUUUGCUACUCUCUACUUGUACUUGACCAAUGACAGGUUGUCAGUCUGUGCAAUAAUAAAAACCUGUUCAAACUAAAAGUAAUUUCUGUAGAUAGUGGUAAGCAGGGUCGAAUCCACAGGGAUUAGGUGUAACUGUUUCUUUUCAAAUUCACAAUAACAAAGGGGGUGUUUUUAUGCAGAAUGUGACAAUCAAAGAAAUUCAAUUAAAAGUAAAAUAAUAAAAAUAAAAUAGCCAACUAGAAAUUAAAUAACAAUUUACUAAAAUCAAAUGAGUGAUAAUUAAGGAUCUAGCCAAGGAAUAACUUCAGCAGUGGUUCACCUAAUUGAUCAUUGGAACAAAGGCAAUUCCAAUUAUUUACUAAUAAAUAGGUUAUAACUGCCAAACAAGCGAUGACAGUCAAUCACUCCUUACUGUGUCGGUGAUUAAGGUACGCCCGUUAAUCACUGCCCUAAUUGAGAAAUAAUCUUAGGUACGCCCGUAAGAUUUAAUUUUCCAAUUGCCUUACAUAUUAGAGGAGUGUCAGGAACAAGGAAAUAGAAUGGGACGUCGUUUAAUGCAAAGGGUUGUGCGUUUAAGGCCUUAGAAGCAAUACUACGUCGUUCUAAUAACAUAGGCGGUGCUGGUGUGAUAGGCCAAGUUAGUUGAGGGUCAAUUACAUAAAUAGCCUUCUGUAACAGAUUUUUGGUUAUGUUUUUGAAUGAAAAGUAUCUCGCUGCUUUCUCUCUCUUGUCUGUUAUUUCCCUCCCUUUUCUUCUUUCUCUCUUCCCUCUUCUUAAUCUUGUUUCUUUCUUCUGAUUCUUCCCCCAAAUUCAAUACAAUUCCAGAAAUUAACCUGCAAGUCUGACAUUUGGUAUCAGAGCGGUCGAUUCUUGGCCGCGAAGGUAUCAGAAAUGGCUGAGAGCACGCGAUUCAGGACACUGGAGGAGCAACUCAAGAAGCAGGAGAAUCGGUUGCAAGAACUGGCGGAAUCCAUGGCUGCACUGCAGAGUACGAGUUCCGAGGAGUUGCGGCAUAAGCUACAGGCGGAAAUGGAGCAGAACAAUGCAAAAUUGGACGCGGUGGUGGGAAGUCUGGACCAGAAGUUCAAUAAAAUGGAACAGAGACUCAGUACAGUGUUGAAGCUGCUGAUGAAGGAGAAAGGUCUCCCUGAUGUCGAAGGAGGAAUUUCUGAUCCAAUCUUGCCGACUCCUCCAUCUCAUCUGAGGUUAGCAUCCUCAGUCGAAGGGAUUGGGCACCAACAAGAGUACAGAGGUAGGCAAUUCACUCCUAAUGUACCUCGAUUAGAACUGCCAAUGUUUAACUCUGGAAACCCUAGGGAAUGGACCAGGAAAUGCCAGAAAUAUUUUUUGAACUAUCAGAUAGCAGAGAGUCAAAAGGUAGAGGUAGCAGAGAUGUUUUUGGAAGGUAGAGCUGACAAUUGGUUUCAAGGAGUGAAAUUGGUGAGGCCAGGGUUGUCUUGGGGGGAAUUUAGUGAACUUUUGUGUGAAAGAUUUUCUGGAAGUAGUUCUCGUGACAUUGUGGAGGAAUUUAACAAGUUACAGCAGAAAGGAACUGUUGAGGAAUAUGAGGAGAAAUUUGAAGAACUAAAAGCUCUAAUGCUGAUGAAAACCCCCAGGUUGGAUGAACUUUACUUUGUUUCCAGUUUUAUUAGUGGCCUCAGGGAAGAAAUUAGACCUAUGGUGAAGAUGUUUAAGCCUCAAACACUGAUGAAGGCCUUUGAAGUUGCGGAGUUGCAGGAGUGUUCCCUGGAAAUCCAAUCGAAACAAAACAGAACUUCAAGGAGGACAGCAAUGGAACCCAAGUUUGGAAUGUAUAAGGGCACUACGAGUGAUUAGGGUCGCCAAAAUUCAUAUAAGUUGCCUGGAGUCACUCCUGUCUCCAGGAGGACUAAUGCAGUACACAAGGAAUUUAGUAAGAUAUCAGCGGAGGAAAUGCAGUAUAAGCGUAAGCACAGCCUGUGCUAUAGGUGUGGAGAGAAGUUUGGAAUAGGUCAUCAGUGUAAGAAAGGAAGUCUGAACUGUGUGAGCACUGAGGAAGAGGAGGACACUGAAUUUGAGGAUGCGGAAGGGGAACAGGAUGAGUUAACAGGAAGGGUCGGGGAACUUGCAGAAGUCUCUUUGAAUGCUUUAUCUGGUGCCAUAAGGAGGAAAUCCAUCCUGUUGAUAGGGAACUUAGGGGGGCUUCCAGUCAAAAUUUUGGUGGACACAGGCAGUUCUAACAGCUUCAUUCACCACAGGAUUGUCAACCUACUGCAUCUACCAUAUCAGGCAGUCAGUCCAUUUACUGUGACUCUAGCAGAUGGAACUGACAUUACCAGUGGAGCCAUCAGUCCCAGCGUGUCUUGGUUAAUUCAGGACUAUCAAUUCCAAUUUGACUUAAAAGUAAUGGAAUUAGGGGGAUGGGAUAUAAUUCUGGGGGUGGACUGGAUGUGCCAGUAUAGUCCCAUUACAUUUGAUUUCCACUCUCUUAGCAUUGCCCUUAGUGAUAGGGGUUCUUUACUACACCUCCAAGGACUUGUGAAGCAACCUACUAUGGAACUGGUGAGGGGCAGGGAUCUCAGCUCGUUUAUACAGGAGAAGCAAAGAAACUGUGCAGCCAUGCAUGCUGAUAGGGCCAGGGAAACAGGAGAGCAGCUUCCAAAAGCUAUAGAAAGGAUCCUGGAACAGCACUCUCAGGUUUUCUCCACCCCAACAGGAUUACCCCCAGAGAGGGAAUUGGACCAUCAGAUCAACCUCAAACCAGGAGCUGAACCCUUCAAGCUCAAACCUUACAGGUACCCCCACUCACAUAAAGCAGAAAUUGAAAAAAAAGUUGCUGAGAUGCUCACUAAUGGAAUUGUUAUACAUAGCACAAGCCCCUAUGCCUCCCCUGUAUUGUUAGUAAAGAAAAAGGAUAACUCCUGGAGAUUAUGCAUAGAUUACAGGAAGCUGAACGAGCUGACUAUAAAGGAUAAGUUCCCUAUUCCCAACAUAGAUGAACUAUUGGAUGAAUUACAUGGAACCAGAUACAUGUCCAAACUGGAUCUCAGAGCUGGUUACCAUCAGUUGAGGGUGAAAGCUGUUGAUACCCCUAAGACUGCCUUCCAGACACACCAUGGCCACUUUGAAUUCUUAGUGAUGCCUUUUGGACUCACAAACGCGCCAGCUACAUUUCAGUCCUUGAUGAACAGAAUAUUUCAGCCAUAUCUCAGAAAGUUUGUCCUAGUCUUCUUUGACUACAUAUUAGUGUACAGCCCCACACUAGAGAUGCAUGCACAGCAUCUACAGAUUGUGCUCAAUAUUUUAGAAGAAAAUCAGCUGUAUUACAAGAGGUCAAAGUGCUCUUUUGCCCAGUCCUCAAUUGAAUACUUGGGGCACGUGAUCUCAGAGGCAGGAGUGAGUAUGGAUGUGGCUAAGGUGGAGUGUAUCAAGUCCUGGUCUGUUCCUAGUACAGUCAAGGAGCUGAGAGGGUUUUUGGGAUUAAUUGGUUACUACAGGAGAUUCAUUAAAGGCUAUGGAGUGAUUAGCAAACCCUUGACUGUAUUGUUGAAAAAGGAAGGUUUUGCAUGGAACCAUGAAGCUCAAAUGGCCUUUGAAGAUUUGAAAAAGGUUAUGACCACAGCCCCAGUGCUGAGCAUGCCUAAUUUCGAACUUCCUUUUGUCAUAGAGACUGAUGCCUGUGGAAUAGGUAUUGGAGCAGUGUUGAUGCAGCAAGGACAUCCUAUUGCUUUCCUUAGCAAGGCAUUAUCAGUUCAGAAUUUGGGGUUAUCAGUCUAUGAAAAAGAGCUUUUUGCCUUAGUGCUAGCUGUAACUAAGUGGAGGCAUUACCUGGUGGGUCAUCACUUCAUUAUCAGGACAGAUCACCAAGCUCUCAAACAUUUGAUAGAGCAAAGGCUUACUCAUCCACUCCAGCACAAGUGGCUAACUAAGCUACUUGGUUUGGACUAUGAAAUACAGUAUAAAAAGGGUGCAGACAAUGGGGUGGCAGACGCCCUCUCCAGGAGAAGGAUUGAGGGAAACACUGUUGACUGUGGAGAGACUGGGCAUCAGACCUGCGCCAUAACCUCAGCUCAGCCUAGUUGGAUGCAGGAAAUGCUAGAAAGCUACAUUGGAGAUGCAGAGGCUCAACAGAAGUUAUCUGAGCUAUUGCUGGAUCCCAAUGCAGAUCCAGAUUAUCAGUUAAAGAAUGGGAUGCUCAAGUUUAAAGGGCGGCUGUACAUAGGAUCUGCUAACAACAUUAGGACCAAGGUGGUCAGAGCAUUGCAUGACUCAGCCCUUGGGGGGCACUCAGGUCCUGGAAUCCGUAAGGAUGUCCUUCAAUAUGUGAGAUCUUGUGAUGUGUGUCAAAGGAACAAACAUGAAAAUGUUCCUUAUCCUGGGUUGCUGCAACCAAUUCCUGUACCUCAGCAGGCUUGGUCACACCUCACCAUGGAUUUUAUUGAGCAACUACCCCCAUCCCAUGGAUUUGAUACCAUUUUGGUGGUGGUGGAUAGGUUAACCAAGUUCAGCCACUUCAUUCGACUCACUCACCCUUUUUCUGCACAGCAGGUAGCACAGCUUUUCCUUGACAACAUAUACAAGCUGCAUGGACUUCCUGAGACCAUUAUAACUGACAGGGACAUAAUCUUUCUUAGUAAGUUUUGGCAAGAGUUAUUUGGUAUGGUAGGGGUAAAGCUGCACUACAGUUCAUCGUAUCACCCUCAAUCAGAUGGUCAAAGUGAAAGGGUCAAUCAGUGUUUGGAAAACUAUCUCAGGUGUAUGUGCAGUGAGCAUCCUUCUCACUGGAGCAGUUGGCUUCCUACAGCUGAGUUAUGGUACAACACUAACUUCCAUACUAGCUUGCAGGUGACACCAUUCGAAGCACUAUACGGGUAUAAACCAAAUCACCUUCCCUUAGGACCUUUUCAUGAUAGCCUGGUACCUGCUGCUGGUAACAUGGUGCAGACUAGGCUCCAAAUUCUAUCCCUCAUCAAAGAGAAUCUAGCCACCGCCCAGAAUCGAAUGAAAAUGUUUACUGAUAAGCACAGGACUGAACGUGUCUUCCAAGUGGGGGAUUGGGUAUUUCUCAAGCUGCAACCUUACAGGCAACAAUCAGUGGCCUUACGGAAGAAUUUGAAGUUGGCUGCCAAAUACUUUGGACCUUUCCAGAUCCUUGCGAGAGUAGGGGAAGUCGCCUACAGACUUAAGUUGCCAGAGGGAGCUCGAGUUCAUUCCGUGUUCCAUGUGUCCUUACUUAAAAGGAAAGUGGGAGUUACACAGCAGGUAAAGCCCAGCUUGCCAGAAGUAGACGCAUCAGACCAAUGUUUGCUGAAGCCAGAGAAGAUUCUCCAGAGGCGUGUUAUCAUACGAGCUGCCAAACCAAUCAUCCAGUACCUGGUGAAGUGGAACAACUUACCAGAAUCCGAAGCAUCAUGGGAGGAUAAAAGCUUCAUUGACAGACAAUUUCCGGAAUUUCAAGCUUGAGGACAAGCUUUGCUUAAGGGGAAGAGAUUGUCAGGAACAAGGAAAUAGAAUGGGACGUCGUUUAAUGCAAAGGGUUGUGCGUUUAAGGCCUUAGAAGCAAUACUACGUCAUUCUAAUAACAUAGGCGGUGCUGGUGUGAUAGGCCAAGUUAGUUGAGGGUCAAUUACAUAAAUAGCCUUCUGUAACAGAUUUUUGGUUAUGUUUUUGAAUGAAAAGUAUCUCGCUGCUUUCUCUCUCUUGUCUGUUAUUUCCCUCCCUUUUCUUCUUUCUCUCUUCCCUCUUCUUAAUCUUGUUUCUUUCUUCUGAUUCUUCCCCCAAAUUCAAUACAAUUCCAGAAAUUAACCUGCAGAUCUGACAAGGAGCCCUAUUCUAACCAAAUAACACACUACCAGGGUUAUUUUAGGUUAGCCCGCGUAUUCCCCUGACAUGAAUCCAAUCAUGCCAGUUAUCACUAUUUUGAAACAAUUAAACAAUUACGGAUUUAACGUCCCAAUUGACAAUAGAUUAUCAAAUUAACUAAUUAUCCGGAUCCAAAACAAUCAAUUAAUUAAAUAAUCAUAAGCACUGUAAUCAGGGAAUAUUUGAAUACCAAUAAAUAAAAAGAAAGGACAAAAUUAAAUCGAUUUCACAAUUUUUAAACGAACCACAACCUCAGUUGUUCCUCGGCUAGAUUGAGAAAAUUAGCUCAUGUUCGAUGCGAAAAAUCCACAAGAAAUUGUUAAGAGAGCCGCGGCCAUUGUCCCUUGAAAUUGGGGAAAUUCAAUUCGGUUGAACUACGAAAGAAAAGUAAGCUACAGAGAGUUGCCGAUUGGGUUUUGCUUGUCCCUAACAUGCGAGGGAGCAAAGCCACGAAAGGACGACAAAGGUCAAAAAGAAAGGCUACAGAGCAUGUUCCAGGUCUUUUUGUGCUCUCCACAUCCGAGCCAACGAAAAGAAAUAAAAAACUACCAGGAGCUAAAGGAAAACCGCAAGAAAAGUCAAAGGCUAAAAAAACUUCCUAGUGCUUGUUCUCUGCUUAUCUCUUUAUCUAAUUCUAAGUCCCCGAUUUUUUGCUCCGUGCGGCGGCUCCCCCGGAGAGAAAGGAUUGCAUCCGCUGCCCUCUUCCACCAAUUACCAAAAUGGGCACACCGCUUCUUUUUCAAAAAUGCUCCUGGAUAAACUCUAUCAUCUGGACUUUUUUUCUGUCAAAUUGACAUUUAUUAUUAUAUUUUCGUUCUACUCCCUGAAAUAAAUGUAAAAUAUUAAAAAUGAGUAGAAUCCGACAAUUAAUUCACAUCAGGUCAGAUAAUAAAGAAAAUUAAUAAUAAAAUAAAUAAAUAAAUUGCAACCUAUCAACCAAAUACAACAAUUUCAUGGAGUUUGAUACACAAGCCCAAAUACACGAGAGUGUGUAACCUGAAUUGUUACUUAUACAUUAGUGUGUAAUAGAACGGCAAGCAUUAUGGUGGUCAUUGAGCAACUUGUAGGAGAAAUAGUCCUAUAAGCUGUUCAAUGACCAAUCACAACUUGCUAAUUGGAUGACUAAUAUAGCUCUAGCUGUAAUGUUUUAAUUAAAUUCCAUCACUAACGUUGGGAUGACUUUUUAAUCAAAAAAAAAAAAGCCUUAGUUCAAGCUUUUCCCCUUAUUGUGCAUUUUUUAAAACAUUUGAUAGGCACUGCAAAUCUGUCAUUUUGGACAUUUUAUUAUUAACUAACAAUGAAAGCCGUGGACAUCAACCCAUAUCCAACAAAAUAUUAAAUUAAUAUUAGAAAAAAUUAUUAAGUAAUUGGAAAAAAAAAGAAGAGGCUAAUUUUCAUUGAAACCCACCGACAAACUAUACGCUGCUUUCAAUCAGUUUUAACACGGGAAAAAGAAAAGGCAUGAAAAGCAAAAUUUGUGGGGAUAAUUUCGGAAACCUCCCAUGAAGUUUUUGACUAUUUUACUGGCCUCCCUUCAGAUUUUAAAAAUUGGACUAAUCUUCCUUAAAGUUAAUUAUCUUGUAACAUUUAGAUCCGAUCAAUAAUUUAAAAAAUAAUAUUAUGAGAGAGAAAAUAAUAUGAUUUUAUUAUUGCCCCCAUCUCACCACAUUAUUUAAUUAAUUUAAUAGCAACCCACACAUUAAAGAAAAUGACAGGUCGUCAACCUGUGCAAUAAUAAAAUUAAACCUAAUUGCCAGUUAAAAUGACCAAAACCCAAUUCCAAGUACUGGAGCAGGGACUCUAGGUGUGCAAUGGGUUACUUGAUUCACCCUGUUCCCGAAGAGUUUGCUUGAUCCGAUAUACCCGAAUGGAAUGGUUAUUCCUUUUCACAAAUGAUUAGGAAUUUGUAGACAGGGCAAGUAGGGUCGUAUCCACAGAGACUGGGUAUAUUUGUUUCUUAAGAAAUCCAAAGUAACACAGGGGGUGAUUUUGUAGGAACGACGAUAAUUAAAUAAAUUCAAAUGAGAAAGUAAAAAUAAAUAAUUAACUAGAAAUUAAACCACAAUUUACUGAACUCAGGAUAACAAUAGUUAAAGGCCUCAAUUAAUUAAAAUAAGGAAACAAUCAAAAAUAAAAUAAAGUAGGUAAUUAAAAGUCAAAUGGCAAUCCACUACAAUCAAGGAAAUAUUAACUAAAGAUCUAGCCAAGAAAUAACUUCAGCAAUGGUUCACCUAAUCGAUCAUUGAUGCAAAGCAAUCCCAAUUAUUUACUAAUAAAUAGGUUAUAACUACCAAACAAGCGAUGGCAGUCAACCCCUCCUUACUGUGUCGGUGAUCAAGGUACGCCCGUUAAUCACUGCUCUAAUUGAGAAAUAAUCCUAGGUACGCCCGUAGAAUUUAAUUCCCCAACUGCCUUACGUAUUAGAGGAGCCCUAUUCUACCCAAAUAACACACUACCAGGGUUAUUUUAGAUUAGCCCGCGUAUCCCCCUGACACGAAUCUAAUCGUGCCAGUUGUCACUAAUUUGAGGUAAUUAAACAAUUACGGAUUCAAUACCCCAAUUGACAAUAGAUUAUCAAACCAAUGAAUUAUCCGGAUCCAAGACAAUCAACUAAUUAAAUAAUCAUAAGCACUGCAACCAAGGAAUAUGCGAAUACCAAUAAAUAAAGGAAAAGAUAAAAUUAAAUCGAUCUCACAAUUUACAGGUGACCCAAAGCAUCAGUCGUUUCUUGACUAGAACGAGGGGGUUAGCUCAUAUUGGAUGAACUAAGCCCGCGGGAAAUUCCAGCAAAAGUCACGGCCGUUGUAUGCAUUUCAAGAGCCGCAAUUCGUCAAACACUUGGAAAGCGAAUGUAAGGCACGGGUAACAAUUGAAACUUUCUAAUUGUUCCUAGCAUUCGUAAAGCAAAUUCACUCCAGAAGUACAGUGAGGAAAAGUCAAAGAAAGUGGGCUUCAAUUCCUUGCUCCUGACAUGCGUGGAGACAAGCCAAUGCAAGACUACAAUAAACUAACAAGGAAAAGUCAAGAAUUGGAGCUAAGCUCCCCUGCCAUGCGCAGGAAUCCCAAAAGUAAAAAGUAAAGCUUCAAAGAAAAGUCAACAAUUCUUCCUAAGCUACAGACGGAAGAUCCAGCACAAAAGCCAGCUCCCUUUUUGAUCCCUUUUUCCCCCUUCUUAUUGCGGCGGCUCACCAGGAGAGGAGAGCCCUCCGUCCGUCCUUUCUUCCGGAAAUUACCAAAAUGGGCAUGACAUCUUCUCUUCCAAAAGUGCCCCUGGGACAAGCUUUCUCAUCUGAAUUCUUUUUUUUUCCAAUUUGGCACCUGUUAUCAUAUUUAUAUUCUACUCCCUGAAAUAAACGUCAAAUACUAAAAGUGAGUAGAAUCCAGCAAAUAAAUCCACAUCAAGUCAGGUAAUAGGAGGAAUUAAUAAUAAAAUAAAUGAAUAAAUUGCACCCUAUCAAUUCCCUCCACACCUAAACCAUGCUUGUCCUCAAGCAUAAGAAAAGUAAACGAACACCAAAAUUCGACGAUAGCCAUUGCCCAAUCUCCUAUAUUGCCAAGACAUUCAAGAGAAAAACACAUAUCGAGCAUUGGUGAUUAGAAUCCCAGAAGCAUCCCCCCGGUUAGCCUCUAACCCCCAGAUUCCUUCAAUUUCCAACUUAACUACUCUAAGAAAGAGGAAUGGCACACAACAUUUAUCAGCUAGUGGUCCGAAUAUUCACACAAGUCUUCAUAUCCAAUCCAUAAACCGGCAAGCUUCCCUAUUAUUUAGUCUCUCUUUUUUUCCGUUUUUUUUCAUUUUCAUUCUUCCCCUCUUUUUUUUUUUUUUUUAAAGCAGUAGCAAUCAACACAAAAGACUUAGUCGUUAGCCGUCAGGGCCUUUUGAUGCGAACUCCAACAUUUUUAGAAGGAGGAGCCCGGUUACUCAGCUCCUACCGCUAUACGACCACGCACUCAUAUAAAAUACCACCUUUUGACGCGAGAAUCGACACUUUUAGGUGCCGAUCCCCGGUUACUCAGUAGUAACUUAAUAGCGGAGCACAGUCAAGCUUAUUCUCAGCCAAACAAUGCACAAACGCAAAAUAACAGCACUAACAAUCAAACAUAGGAGCAGCUCGCCUCAUUAUUGUCAAACAUGGAGAACUGGAGUCAAUAUUGGACCAGUUCACAUUAAAAGGCCAUAUUCAUUCCCUACGCCUAGAAAAGUUAACAAAGAAAUCGAAAGAGUCAAACAGUUAAAUAUUCACCAAGGGGAUAUUCAGGACCCAACCACACUAACCCGAUACAUUUUGUAUUUUAAAAACUUGGCAAAAGUAGAUUUGGAGUCAAUGAGUCCACAUCUCAAUUUUAGCCUUCACAUGAAAGGCAAUCACCAAGAAGAAAGAACGGAAAAAUAAGCAACUAGAAAUGAGACUACGAAAAACUACUAAAACUAAAAACUCACUUUUUUUCUUUUUCUCUUUUUUUUUCUUUUUGAAUUUUUUUUUCAUUUUUAUUUUUUUUUAUUUUUUUUAUUUUUUAAACAUUAACUAUAAACAUUAACUACUAAAAACUAAAAACUAAAACUACUAAAAACUAAAAACACUAAAAACUGCUAAAAUGAAAAGCUGAAAACUGAAAACUACUAAAAACGGAGCACACUAGCAUAACUUUAGAUCCCCCCCACACCUAUAGGACACAUUGUCCUCAAUGUGACAAAUAAGAACCAAAAGUGAAGCACAAGUGAGAGGGGAAUCAGCCAAACUUCCCUGAAAUCGGGUCACAGCGGAGGGCGAGGUGGAAAUGGAGGUGCAAAGCCUGUAUGCAUCAGGAACUGUGCCAAAUUCUGUGCUAUGCCGGCGACAUUGGCGUCGACGUUGGUCAUCCGGGCCUGCAAAUCCUGAACCAGCUCCCUGAGAUGCUGCCAAUCAUCGGUCCCAGGUGGUGGAGGUGGCGCAGAAGUAGAGGUAGACGGCCCAGCAGUGUCCGCGGCCGACCCAGGGAAUGAAGAUGGCCCUGCCCGGGCCGAAUGGUGUGCACCCGGGGCUCGAGGUGGUCCCGGACGGGUAAACUGGUGAAAACCAUCUGGCAGACGCUCGACGACCCCCAUUUUCUCUAAGCAAACUACGUCCAAGUGCUCCAUCUCAAAUGCCAAAUGGAGGUCGUGGUCAUCCAGGUUAAGAACUCCCAACUGGGUCGCCAAGUGAGUGAUGUAGGACCCAAGGAUCAGUGGUUUGUUCUUCUUGGUCAAGACCGUCUUGAACUGUGCGGCCAACCAACAUCCCAAGUUCACCUUGAUAUUGUUCUUCAUACUCCAGAGAAAGAAGAAUUCGGGCCGAGAGAGUAUACCGGAGCUGUCCUUGCGCCCCGAGUAGCUAUAAGCUAAGAAUCGCUGAACAUAGCGGGCGCUAGGGUCCUUAAGAAAGGAGCUCCUGGACCGGGAAGGAUCGUAGCGUUGCCUAUCGACGGACAUGUCCUCCCAUACAUCAUGGUAGUGGGAGAGGAAAGGCUCUACGUAGUCACAGGCACUCUCCGCAUACUCCCUAGUCUCAGCAUACUCUCUAGUGAUAAACCCAAAUGCCAGAUUGAAUUGAGUAAUGGAGAAAUUGAAUUCUCGACCCAUGAGCCGGAAAUGAAUGACAUUCGGUGUUUCACCCGUGUAUCUCGUAGGUAAUUCGAACUCAAAGGUGGAGUAAAACUCCCGGAUCAGCUCAACAAAAGCGGGACAAGAAAUAUGGAAAUAUGGGCGCCACCCAAUGGCUGUGAACAUUUGCUCAACCUCCUCCCGUAUACCCAGGGCAGUUAGAGAGAGUCUAUGACAAGACUUACAGGAUAUUAUACGCCUCUCGCAGACCUUAGCGUACCUCUGCCGAUCGGCGGGUCUGGUAAAUGUUAAGUGCCCCCCAAAAUGAACAGGUGCAUCUACCUGAGCACCCCUAUCCCUACCCAAACGGGUUCGAACACUAGAAGAGGAGGGUAGGUUGGUAGGUGAGUUGACAGGAAUAGAGGCUUGUGGAGGGGGUUGAGACUGAGAGGUCCUAGACCUAGAGGAGGAUUUCGGUCUCACCAUUCCCCCCAAAGUAAGUUCAAGGCAACAGAAAAUCCGACAAGUAUAGAAACCAGCAAUUGACAAAGCAAAAAUCUCCCAGUAGUAACCCAGCCAAUAGCAAACAAAAGAGUUCCAGCAAGUAAUCAACAAGCAAUUCAGAAAUAUCUCAACUAAAAUCUCAAGAGAAACCCCAGCGAGUUAUCCAGCAAUUCAAGCAAUAUCCCCAAGCAAUGUGGUGGUCAAAAUGUCAUCUCCAAAUUGAACAAAUAAUCAGAGCAUUGCAACACAUUGAAAAUCUCAAUAAACGGCUCCAGUUGGCCAAGAAAAAUUGCUAACUCAUACUCAGCAAUAGUAGUGCAGCAAAGGGACAGUAACCACGCAAUAAAAACACUUAGCUUGCACUCAAAUGGUCACCCCAAAUAACAACCCAGUAUGAAACCCGCAGGCAGAGUAUUCCUCAAACCGUUAGCCUAAACCCAGUCAACAACCACGGCCAGAAAUAACCCCAUAAAUAGUGCAAUGAGUAAUCCCCAGCAACAUAAUCAGGUGUAAUCAACUGGAGCAAGCAAUUUACAUGGCAUAGAAACCUCCCAAUCAAACAAGUGCAUUAUUCUAGCGCACCCCAAAAUUCCAAGAAAUGGCUCCAGUUGGCCAAUUAAUUUCACAAUGUCACCCAACUCAGGAGAAAUAGCAAUUCCACACAAAAAUAGUCAAACCAGUACCACUGGCGAAAAAUCUUUCAAAUAUGCACAAUUUGCUACCAAAUAUCACCGGCUAACACUGAAAAAUUGAGGGCAAGUGUCAAAUACCUCCACAGGGACUACCCCAGGCGGCAGACAGAGAAGCGGCGUUGAAGCUGGUGGUCGAGCGGGGCGGCGCUCGCGUCGGCGUGCGCAGCGGCGACGGCGCGCGAGGAUGGAGUUUCGGGAGGUUGCGUGCGGGCUUGGCUGAAGACGCGGCGCGCGCUAGGGCUUCGCUGCGGCAGGCGUGCAGCAGGGGAGAAGAAAGAAAAGAGAAAGAAAGAAAGAAAAAGAAAGGAAAGAAAGAACAGAAAAGAAGGAAAAGAAAAAGGAAUUUUUCUUUUUUUUCUUUUUCUUUAGGCUACGGUUUAGAGGACAAAUUUUUCUUCUUCUUGUUUUCUACUUUUUUAUUUUUUUAUUUUUUAGUUUUUAAUUUAUUACUAUUAUUAUCAUAUUUAAUUGAGGAAAAAAAAUGUUUUUUUUUAAAUCCCUACCUUUCCCACGAACGUGACGCGGGCACGUCAAGAGGGCAAGAGAGCUCCCAGAAGUUUCAGAAUUUUCUGAUCGUAAGCGUCCUGCACAUCACCACGCGGGCACGUCAUGAGGACAGGAGAGCUCCCAGAAGUUCAGAAUUUUCUGAUCGUGAGCGCCCUGCACGUCACCACGCGGGCACGUCAUGAGGCCAGGAGAGCUCCCAGAAGUUUGAAGUUUCUGAUUCCUGCCCGUCAUCACGCGGGCGCGUCAUGACUGAAGGUCACCUACAAAUCAGCAAAAACGAAAACUAACACCCAAAAUCAGUCAAAUUCAGGGAAAGCAGAUUUAAACUAUGCUACAAAACCAACAAACAAUUAAAAGAAAUAAUUAGGUUGCCUCCCAAUGAGCGCCUUUCUUUAAUGUCUUUGGCUAGACAUGGUAAAGUGUCACUGAUUAGGACACGGUGGUGCGUCAAGCCUUAUUGUCUCCACCUCUCUACCUGAAAAUCCUUCGUAAUAAUAUUUGAGACGGUGUCCAUUCACCACAAAUUUGUUGUCUGUCUUAGCACUCUGGAUCUCAACUGCACCAUAGGGAAAAACAUGAGUAACAAUGAAAGGUCCAAUCCAACGGGAACGUAGCUUACCUGGGAAUAGCUUGAGCCUGGAUUGGUACAGGAGGACCUUCUGACCAACUUCAAAUGUUUUUCUUGAAAUUUGUUGGUCAUGAAAUGCCCGGCUUUUCUCCUUAUAUAUCAAGGCGUUUUCGUAUGCUUCGUUCCGGAUCUCCUCCAAUUCUUGCAAAUCCAACUUCCGUUGAGCACCGGCCUCCUCUAAAUUCAUAUUGCAGUGCUUUAUCGCCCAAAAAGCCUUGUGCUCGAACUCCACUGGAAGGUGACACGGCUUCCCAAAUACCAACCUGUACGGUGACAUCCCAAUAGGAGUCUUGUACGCCGUCCGAUAGGCCCAGAGUGCGUCUUCCAACCUUUGGCUCCAGUCUUUUCUAUCAGGGCGCACCAUUUUCUCUAAAAUGGACUUAAUCUCCCGAUUCGACACCUCCGCUUGACCAUUGGUCUGAGGGUGGUAUGACGUUGAGACCCUGUGGAGUACACCAUACUUGCGAAACAACGCAGCUAUGGUUUUGUUGCAAAAGUACGUUCCCCUAUCACUGACAAUAGCUCUAGGCAUUCCAAACCGCACAAAGAUAUUAGACCUGAUAAAAUCUGCAACUACUCUCGAAUCAUUAGUUCGAGUGGCCUUAGCCUCCACCCAUUUAGACACAUAAUCAACUGCCAGCAAAAUAUAUAAAAAACCAAAUGAAGUAGGAAAAGGCCCCAUGAAAUCUAUACCCCAGACAUCAAAAAUUUCAACAAAAAUCAACGGGACCUGGGGCAUUUGAUCUCUACGGGCUAUAUUACCUACCAUUUGACAGCGAUCACAUGACUUACAAAACACAUAGGCAUCUCUAAACAAUGAAGGCCAAUAAAAUCCACUUUCUAAAACCUUAUGAGCAGUUCUCUUAGGUCCAAAAUGACCUCCACAGGCAAAAGUAUGACAAAAAGCUAAAAUUGAUUGAAAUUCCAUUUCACUUACACAUCUCCUCAUCACUUGAUCGGCACACCUCUUCCAUAGGUACGGGUCAUCCCAGAUAAAAUACUUGGCAUCGCUCUUCAAUUUAUCCCUCUUCGAUUUCGGCCAACCUGCAGGAAAAUUACCAGUUACCAAAUAAUUGACCAAAUCAGCAUACCAAGGCAACUGAGAAUUUAAGAAAAAUAGGUAUUCUUCGGGGAAUGCAUCCUUCAAUGGCUCGCUAUCCUCUUCAACUAGUAUGCGACUCAAAUGGUCCGCUACUAGAUUUUCUGAGCCUUUUUUGUCCCUUAUCUCCAAGUCAAAUUCCUGUAGGAGCAGUAUCCACCGUAUGAGCCUCGGUUUUGCAUCUUUCUUGGUCAUCAGGUACCUCAAUGCUGCAUGAUCAGAAAAUACAAUCACUUUAGCACCUAACAAGUAUGACCUAAAUUUUUCCAAAGCAAAAAUAACUGCCAGAAGCUCCUUCUCAGUGGUGGAAUAAUUCAACUGGGCUCCAUUCAAGGCCCGGGAUGCGUAAUAGAUGACAUGAGCCGCCUUGCCUAUUCUUUGCCCCAGUACAGCCCCAACAGCGUGAUCACUGGCAUCGCACAUGAUCUCAAAUGGCAAAUUCCAAUCGGGGGGUUGGAUGAUUGGGGGUGAAGUCAGCAAUUCCUUCAGCUUGUUAAAGGCUCUCUCACACUUAUCAUCAAAUUCGAAGGCUACAUCUUUUUGUAGGAGUUGGAACAACGGGGCUCCAAUCUUUGAAAAAUCCUUGAUGAACCUUCGAUAAAAACCUGCAUGUCCAAGAAAAGAGCGCACCUCCCGCACACUCGCGGGGUAAGGUAAUGCAGAAAUAAUGUCUAUUUUAGCCUUGUCAACUUCUAUGCCCUUAGACGAUACAAUAUGACCCAGGACUAUUCCGUGCUCAACCAUAAAAUGACAUUUUUCCCAAUUAAGCACAAGAUUAGUCUCUAUACACCUGAUCAGGAUUAAUUUCAGGUUAUCUAGACAAGUAUCAAAACUAUCACCAUACACACUGAAAUCAUCCAUGAAAACUUCUAUUAUUUUCUCAACAUACUCGGAAAAGAUGCUUACCAUACAUCUUUGGAAAGUCGCAGGUGCAUUGCACAACCCAAAUGGCAUUCGUCUGUAGGCAAAGGUCCCGAACGGGCACGUGAAGGUUGUCUUCUCUUGAUCCUCCGGGGCAAUUGCUAUCUGAAAGUAUCCUGAAAAUCCAUCCAAAAAGCAAUAAUAAGCCCUACCAGCUAAACGUUCAACCAUUUGGUCAAUGAAAGGGAGAGGGAAAUGGUCCUUUUUGGUGACGGCGUUUAGCCUACGGUAAUCUAUACAUUGCCUCCAUCCAGUGGGUUUGCGCACUGGCACGAGCUCACCAGUUUGGUUGGCCUCUACCGUCACUCCUGCAUUCUUUGGGACUACCUGGACCGGACUCACCCAAGGGCUAUCAGAUAUUGCAAAAAUGAUGCCCACAUCUAGCAAUUUUAGAAUCUCUUUCUUUACGACUUCCAUCAUGAGGGGAUUGAGCCUUCUUUGAGCCUGCCUAACAGGUUUGGCAUCGUCUUCCAGCCUAAUCCGGUGCAUACAAAUGGCCGGGCUGAUCCCCUUAAUGUCUGCGAUUGUCCAGCCUAUUGCCUCUUUAUGCUCCCGAAGGACCCGGAUCAAUUUCUCUUCCUGGGUCUUUGACAGUGCCGAUGAGAUAAUCACUGGGAGUGUCUCAUUAUCACCUAGGUAUGCGUAUUUCAGGUGCUCUGGUAGAGGUUUCAACUCCAGUACAGGUGCCUGCACCACAGAUGGCAAUACCCUCUGGUGAGCCUUGGGAGUAAAAAUAGGUAAGACUUCAUACCUUUUCGUGGUGGUCUGCAACGAGUGUAAUGCACCUAUUGUGCAUUUUAAAUCCUCGCUCCACUCCACCUCAGGAGUUGUCUCCAACUCGAGGUGCUUGGUUAAAGCCACCUCCAGCUCAUCCCUGCCAUCAGUUUCAAACACUUCCUGCACUACAGGGUCAAUAGCACUCACAGAAAAAACUGAGCUAAAGUUGGAGUUAGAGGGGUACUUCAUAGUAUCAAAAAUAUUAAAAUGCACAAUUUACCCAUCAAACUCCAUGGACAAGGUACCCUUAUUAACAUCAAUUUUCGUCUGCGCAGUGCUCAUAAAAGGUCUACCCAAUAACAAAGGUGAGGGAUCAGGGGAGUGAUCAUCAUCCAUAUCUAGUACAUAAAAAUCAGCUGGAAACACCAAAUCAUUAACCUUUACCAACACAUCUUCAAUCAACCCAUCAGGAUAUGCAUUAGUUCGGUCAGCUAAUUGAAUAAUUAUUCCAGUUUCUUUUAAUGGACCUAGUUUCAAAGAAGCAUAGAUAGAUUUAGGCAUGACAUUAAUUGAUGCUCCCAGAUCCAGCAUGGCCCUUCUGAUCACAGUAUUACCUAUCUUACAGGGAAUAGUAAACAUACCUGGGUCCCCGCACUUUGGUGGGAGCUUUCUCUGCAGGACCGCAGACACAUUUUCUCCAACUAUGACCCGUUCAUCUCCCCUCAACCGCCUUCGGUUGACACACAAGUCCCUUAGGAACUUGGCAUAUUUUGGUACUUGUUUGAUGGCGUCUAAGAGGGGGAUAUUUAUCUCAACCUUGCGAAAAACCUCCAAGAUCUCCUUCUCCUUAUCCUGCUUCUUCGAUUUUUCCAACCUGCUAGGAAAAGGAGGCGGGUUAGUUUUAACUGUAAUUAUUGGGUCAGGAAGUACCUCUGGAUCUGCACCAUUGCUGUCCUCCCUUUCGAGCUCAUUUUCGAUCUUCUCUUCAUCCUUGUCCUUGGGAAUCACAGGUUCAGGCCCCUGAAUUUCUUUCCCACUCCUUAGGAUCAUUGCGCUCACGUUCUUCGGAUUCAACUCCGGUUGAGAUGGCAGCUUCCCUUGGUUCUGGGACUCCCAACGGUUCAUUCUGGUGGCCAAUUGACCUAUCUGAUUCCUUAUGUCCUGCAUUUCGGAGUCCGUCUUUUGCUGAUUUUGCAUAAUAGCUGCCUCCGUCCUUUGCUGAUUCUGCGCCAUGGUUGUCAUCAUUUGUUUCAGCAUCUCAUCCGUAGAUGAACCAGAUUGAGGGAGCGGAGGUGGUCGGGGUUGGUAUUGCUGCUGGUACCCUGGUGGCUUAUUUGGCACAAAGUUAGACUGCCUGUUUGGCGUGAAGUUGGAUUGCCUAUUUCCACCAUAACUGAGGUUGGGAUGAUCUCUCCACCCGGGGUUGUAGGUGCUUGAGUAAGGGUCGUACUGCUUCCUUGGCGCGGGCGCGUGGUCAGCCAUGUUCACCUGUUCCGCAGUUUCUUCCUGAAUCAUUGGGCACAUGUCUGCAGAGUGACCUAUACCAGUGCAAAUCCCGCAUACCCUGGCUUGUGAUGCAUUUCUCACAGCCUAUUGCCUAACGAACGCAGUCAACUCAUUUAGCUGCUGCUGCACAGAGGGUGUCUCUAUCUCAUUCACCCUACGUAUUGGGACAUCCUAUCUUGUACUGAAUUGCUGUGAAUUCUCUGCCAUCCCCUCUAUUAACUCCCGUGCUUCCUGAGGGGUUUUGUUCACCAGUGCCCCUCCACUUGCAGCAUCAAUGAUGCUCCUGUCUCUAAAAAUGAGCCCCUCAUAGAAAUAUUGUAUGAUCAACUGCUCACUUAUUUGGUGAUGGGGGCACCUGCGCAACAAGCUCUUAUACCGUUCCCAAUACUCGUAAAGUGACUCCUCGGGAUGCUGCUUGAUCCCACAAAUUUCUUUCCUUAGACUCGCAGCCCUGGACGCAGGAAAAUAUUUAUCCAGAAAUUUUUUCUUCAAUUGGUCCCACGUGGUGAUGCUACCUGGUGACAGGUAGUACAGCCAGUCCUUCGCAGAAUCUUUCAAGGAGAAGGGGAAUGCCCUCAUUUUUAUCUGCUCUUCUGUGAUUCCCGGGGGUUUCAUACUGUUGCAAACGACAUCAAACUCCUGCAGAUGCUUAUACGGCUCUUCACCUGGUAAACCAUGAAAAGAGAGUAAAAGCUGAAUCAGACCAGAUUUUAGUUCAAAUGGAAUGUUGUCAUUUAAAGCUGGGAAAGUAAUGCAUAACGGCUGCUGAGUUAAAUCAGGAGCAGCCAACUCCCUUAAUGUUUAUGCAUUAGCCAUGGUGCCUUCCUGCUGGUCAGAGUCACUCGAAGUGUUACCAAACGAAUCUGUUGGUUCAACUUCUGACUCGGGUCUUUGAGAUGUAGCACUAGAGUGCUCUUCUCUGAGCUGUCUGGUUUCCUUUCUCGUUCUACGCGCGGUCUUCUCUACCUCAGGAUCAAAAACCAAAUCACCUGUGCGACAAGAUCGAGGCAUACACUAGAAGAAAACCAGAAAAUUAGGACAAAAUUGAAUUUAAGAAGAAACAAAUAAUAACGCCAGUCCCCGGCAACGGCGCCAAAAAUUGACAGGUCGUCAACCUGUGCAAUAAUAAAAUUAAACCUAAUUGCCAGUUAAAAUGACCAAAACCCAAUUCCAAGUACUGGAGCAGGGACUCUAGGUGUGCAAUGGGUUACUUGAUUCACCCUGUUCCCGAAGAGUUUGCUUGAUCCGAUAUACCCGAAUGGAAUGGUUAUUCCUUUUCACAAAUGAUUAGGAAUUUGUAGACAGGGCAAGUAGGGUCGUAUCCACAGAGACUGGGUAUAUUUGUUUCUUAAGAAAUCCAAAGUAACACAGGGGGUGAUUUUGUAGGAACGACGAUAAUUAAAUAAAUUCAAAUGAGAAAGUAAAAAUAAAUAAUUAACUAGAAAUUAAACCACAAUUUACUGAACUCAGGAUAACAAUAGUUAAAGGCCUCAAUUAAUUAAAAUAAGGAAACAAUCAAAAAUAAAAUAAAGUAGGUAAUUAAAAGUCAAAUGGCAAUCCACUACAAUCAAGGAAAUAUUAACUAAAGAUCUAGCCAAGAAAUAACUUCAGCAAUGGUUCACCUAAUCGAUCAUUGAUGCAAAGCAAUCCCAAUUAUUUACUAAUAAAUAGGUUAUAACUACCAAACAAGCGAUGGCAGUCAACCCCUCCUUACUGUGUCGGUGAUCAAGGUACGCCCGUUAAUCACUGCUCUAAUUGAGAAAUAAUCCUAGGUACGCCCGUAGAAUUUAAUUCCCCAACUGCCUUACGUAUUAGAGGAGCCCUAUUCUACCCAAAUAACACACUACCAGGGUUAUUUUAGAUUAGCCCGCGUAUCCCCCUGACACGAAUCUAAUCGUGCCAGUUGUCACUAAUUUGAGGUAAUUAAACAAUUACGGAUUCAAUACCCCAAUUGACAAUAGAUUAUCAAACCAAUGAAUUAUCCGGAUCCAAGACAAUCAACUAAUUAAAUAAUCAUAAGCACUGCAACCAAGGAAUAUGCGAAUACCAAUAAAUAAAGGAAAAGAUAAAAUUAAAUCGAUCUCACAAUUUACAGGUGAUCCAAAGCAUCAGUCGUUUCUUGACUAGAACGAGGGGGUUAGCUCAUAUUGGAUGAACUAAGCCCGCGGGAAAUUCCAGCAAAAGUCACGGCCGUUGUAUGCAUUUCAAGAGCCGCAAUUCGUCAAACACUUGGAAAGCGAAUGUAAGGCACGGGUAACAAUUGAAGCUUUCUAAUUGUUCCUAGCAUUCGUAAAGCAAAUUCACUCCAGAAGUACAGUGAGGAAAAGUCAAAGAAAGUGGGCUUCAAUUCCUUGCUCCUGACAUGCGUGGAGACAAGCCAAUGCAAGACUACAAUAAACUAACAAGGAAAAGUCAAGAAUUGGAGCUAAGCUCCCCUGCCAUGCGCAGGAAUCCGAAAAGUAAAAAGUAAAGCUUCAAAGAAAAGUCAACAAUUCUUCCUAAGCUACAGACGGAAGAUCCAGCACAAAAGCCAGCUCCCUUUUUUAUCCCUUUUUCCCCCUUCUUAUUGCGGCGGCUCACCAGGAGAGGAGAGCCCUCCGUCCGUCCUUUCUUCCGAAAAUUACCAAAAUGGGCAUGACAUCUUCUCUUCCAAAAGUGCCCCUGGGACAAGCUUUCUCAUCUGAAUUCUUUUUUUUUCCAAUUUGGCACCUGUUAUCAUAUUUAUAUUCUACUCCCUGAAAUAAACGUCAAAUACUAAAAGUGAGUAGAAUCCAGCAAAUAAAUCCACAUCAAGUCAGGUAAUAGGAGGAAUUAAUAAUAAAAUAAAUGAAUAAAUUGCACCCUAUCAGAAAAAUGCAAAAAUUUGUUAUUUAUCAUUAAGGAUCAUAUCGCAUAUAACAUCAAAAAAUAGUAUAUUAUUUAUAUCUUUCACUUAAUAUAAUAUCCAAAUUACUCUUUUCAGUUACAUACCCAUUGUUAGACAAAAUCAACAACAAAUAACCAAAAAAUUUGCAACCAAAAUAUUACCAAAAAAAUAAACUUUAACAUCAUAAAUAUUUUUAUCAACAUAUUAAAGUUAGUUAUUGAAAUUUUUAUGGUGUUAAACUUCACUCUUAGCAAUAUUUUGGUUACAGAUUUUUUUGAUUAUUUAUUGUUGAUCGUGUUUGACAAUGGAUUUGUAACUGAAAAGAAUAAUUUGAAUCUUACAUUAAGUGAAAUAUAUAAAAUAUUAUACUAUUUUUUAUGGCAUAUGUGAUUCUUUUUUUUUUUUUUAUCAGAACGGCAACAUUGUAUUAAUAGUAAACCAAUUACAGUAUAGGUGGGCAACCGCCCUCACAAUCUGCCUGGACUUGUUCCAGCAGCCAAACUGGGAAGUUUUCCUUCCAUUCAGUAUUUUGUUCCAAAGUAAUAGCUACUUUAGCUAGUUUAUGGCUAACAAAGUUGUUCACCCUAUUUGCAAAGGUAAAACAACAUUCAUCAAAUUUUAUUCAUGUACAAUUGUUGCUAUCACCACGUCCUCCUCCUCCUCCUCACUGCACACUACUUGACUACCACCCUUCGCCAACCUUGCUGUUGCAUGUGCAACUAUCAUGGCCUCUCUUAGCGCCUUUGCUUCUUCGACCUUUGGACUGGCACAGCUAAAAUUUGGAACAGCCCAGGCCCACCCGCAAUCUUCCCAACCAAUCCCUGGCCACCCUUUUCCCACCCAGCUUCUAUGGCAUGUGUGAUUCAAUCCUUCUUGAUAGGAUUGGUAAUAGAGGCAGAGGGGGGAGCCGGCUGCAUCCGGUCUACUUUUCAUAGAUAGUACAAUAUUGCGAAAUCGAUCGCAUUCACACAAGAAUAUUUCGAAGUCAUUGCAUCGCUAAGUUGCAAAAAAGUACAAACACUUGUUAUUAUAUAGCUUAAGAUUCAAAACUUUAGAGCACAACCCUCCACCUAACACAAUUGAAUAAUGAAUAUUCACGAUUGUCAAAUCUGUCAAAGCACAGUUUGAGGACAACCCAUUCCAACCUGCAAAAGAUUUUUGACUUUUUUAAAGUUGUUGAGAGCUGUAAAAAGACUUACCAUGCUUACAUCUUCCGAGCCUUGGGAGUUAAAAAUGAAGGCACUGAGUGCUAUAAAAAGGGGGCUAGAGGCUGCCUAGAAGCAUAUCAGCCUAAAACAAGAAUUUGUAGUUAUGAUGGGAAGCAAAGCAAAAGCAAUGGGGUCUGGGCUGACUCCUCUUCUUACCACUGUUUUAGUGGUAUUUGUUGCUCUUGGCUUGCCCUCAGAAACUGCAGCUGAUGAUCACUACAAGUAUUCAUCUCCUCCUCCUCCUUACCACUAUCCCUCACCACCACCUCCAGUGCAUUUACCUCCACCAGUGUACAAAUACAAGUCCCCACCACCACCUCAUCAUGUUUACAAGUACAAAUCUCCACCACCCCCACCACCACACCCAGUUUACAAGUAUAAGUCGCCACCACCACCUCCUCAUCCGGUAUACAAGUACAAGUCUCCUCCGCCACCUCCUCAUCCGGUACCACACCCAGUUUACAAGUAUAAGUCACCACCACCACCUCCUCAUCCGGUACCACACCCAGUUUACAAGUAUAAGUCUCCUCCGCCACCAGUUUACAAAUAUAAGUCUCCUCCACCACCACCUCCAGUGUACAAAUACAAGUCUCCACCACCACCAGUUUACCACUACAAGUCUCCACCACCUCCUCCCCCAGUUUACAAAUACAAGUCUCCACCACCACCACCACCAGUUUACCACUACAAGUCACCACCACCUCCUCCCCCAGUUUACAAAUACAAGUCUCCACCACCUCCUCACCACUACUAAGCAAUUGCUUCUGAGGUAAUAACACUUGUUCAAUAUACCCACUUCUGCAUGAUAAAGCAUAUCUCUAUCAACACAAACUGUCAUGUCUAUCAUGCUAAGUGCCUUCACUUCAUCCACCAAAAUGACUGCUAGAAAAUUUUUUUUAUGUUACCAAAGAAAGGCAUCAUUUUUUCCCUCUGUUAUCAAGAACUUGUACAGUAUAUAGAUUAAAGAGUAUUUUUUUAACUAGCUUAUCAACUGAGAAAUGCAUAUAGCUGAUAGCCAGCUGAAUAUUUGCAGGCAAAGGAGAAGGAAACCAGUGUUUGAGACCUUCUUGAAGAUGUAGAAGCAUAAGAAUUAAAGCCCAAUGUGAAGAUGAUGAUUUCAAGUUUUUCUACGUUACCAUUUCUUUAUCUAAAUUGGUUGUAGCGCCUUAGUUCCUUUGUUUAUGGGAUUUGUAUCGUUUUACGUACCAUGCAGUACAUGUCAUGUUUGUAAGGUUUUCUAUCCUGCCGGCAAACCGCAGGUUCCAUGUAAUAAAUCAAUACUAUUUAUAUUACGACACUUUUCUCUGUUUCUCUUAUAUUUUGUCGUCUUUAAUAUUCUUAAUCAUAUUUUUAACAAAAAUAUUCAAACACUUAGGCAAUCUGGUCUAAUGCUAAUUGUAUGUUUUACUUUUCUUUUUCACCUGCUCCCCUUUUCAACUCAAAAGGAUGCAAUAGUUUGUGAUCACUGUUGAAGACGGAAGCAUGAUACUAAUGAAUAUAUCAUUGAAACUCAAGGAAACUAACAUUAUGAAAAGUGUAAAUCUUGAUUUGAUGCAACUAUUUAUUCGUGGAAUCUAUAGUUACAAAACUCAAACUCUGACUGCGCCAUUGAUAAAUUAUUAAUGACGCUAUCAUCAUUAUUUAUCCCCAACUAGUUUCGACUACAACUGAACCCAAUAUUUUCCCCAUGAUAAAAGUUUUUUACUAUUUUACUGGCCUCUCUUCAAAUUUUAAAAAUUACACUAAUCUUCAUUGAGAUUAAUUAUCUUGUAGCAUUUAAGUCCAAUUAAUAAUUAAAAAAUAAUAUUAUGAGAGAGAAAAUAAUAUAAUUUUAUCAUUGCCCCCCAUCUUGCUAUAUUAUUUAAUUAAUUUAAUAGCAACCCACACAUUAAAGAAAAAUACUAAAAUUUGCUGCUUUUCAUUAAAGAUCAAAUUGCAUAUGCCAUAAAACAUAGUAUAUCAUUCUAUAUGUUUCACUUAAUGUAAGAUCCCAAUUGUUCUUUUCAAUUACAAACCCAUUGUCAAACAUGAUCAAUAACAAAUAACCAAAAAAUUUGCAACCAAAAUAUUACAAAAAAAAACUUUAACAUCAUAAAUAUUCUUACCACCUCUAGUGCAUUCACCCUCAUAAAAUAAUUCAAGACCCUACUGUCAUAAAAUGACUGAUCAACUCCUGUAAACCUAAUUUGACAACAUUUAAAUGGAGAACUUUAGCUAAAAGAAUUAUGGUCAAGCUAAAGAAAAAACCAGUUAUUUUCCAACAUAUGCAAUCAUUGAUCAGGGAAAAAAAAAAGAAGCAAAAAGACAUCUUCAAUCAUUUAAUAGCUUACAGGGCAAAUUAACCCCUAAGCGAAAACUGGUUGCUCUAGAAUCAAAAUUUUACUUUAGUUACCCAGGCAACUUUUUUUGUUGCCUUUUCUUUUUCUUUUUUGGGUAUAUAUAUAGCUCCAGUUUUGCCCCCUCUGUCAAGCUUAUAUAAUUAUUAAGAUAAUAAAAGUGCCUUUAAUAGUAUUAAUAUAUCCAUUGACUUGAGCUGUCAUCGAUCGGUUUGGGCUACUUCGAUUCCAUGAGAACAAAUGGUAAUAAAAGUACUCAGAAAAUGGGGAGUCAUGAAACCCUUUUGUUCUAUUCAUUGCUAAGAUGCUUUUCUCUAUAAAGACACUUCCUAACGAAAAUACUUUGUAGAUUUCUUUACUCCAAGUGGUGCAUGGAAAAUUAAUAUUUUCAAUUAUCAAAUAAAAUUCCCUUUUUUCGGUGUAGAUUUCAUCCAUUCAGCUGUUAACACUCCGAAUUGACUAAUCUUUUCGUUUCCAUUUUCCAACUUGCGAAUACGGCAUCUUACAUAUUGUCUGCUGAAUAUGAAUACAUAUCCCUUUUCUGAGCAGGUGCAGAGUCAUUAUCAUUUUUAUUCCCACCUAACAAAUUAGUUAAUAAUCUUUUAAAGAACAUGUUAAAUUAAUUUAUUGGUAUGAAUAGUAGUCAAAGAAGUAUGUUAAAGUUAGUAAUCUUUAAAAUAAUAUGUUAAAAUUAUUCGUACAAAUUAGCCAGAGAAGUAGCAUAAACACCGCGAUGCAAUUAAUACUUUCAAUCUCAAGGUCUCUAUUAUGGAAAUUUGCAUCGGUCAACAUACACAAAGCAUUAUUGUAUGCACGUCUCUCUAUUAUGGAAAUUUGCAUAGGUCAAUAUACACUUGGCAUAGUUGCAUGCACGUCCAAUUUUUUUUUAUUUUUAUUUUUGGUAUUUUACUUCCUGCCUUAAGUUGCCUGCAGAUGUUUGUAUUACAAAUAUAUGGUAUACUAAAUAUAUAGUAUGCACAUUAAUUUCUUUGGGUUGCUUAAGGGUAUAUUGUUAAUAAUAGGGGGUUUAACCAUAAAUUAUAACAAUGAUGAAGUAAUAUAUAUUAGAAAAUUAACACAAUUAUGAUUUUUUUUUUUGUAAAAUUCAAAUUUUAUUAAUAAGAAAUGAAAUAGGCAGUAAGCAUUUACAAACCGAAAACAAAAUCCUACAACAACUCUAGGACUCUACACCUUAUUAAAAAAAAACAUUUUGAUAGCGUUUUUCCAAAAGCAGAAGAUGGAAAAUUGCCCAUUUGUACUGGGGAGUUCGUGAUCUUUUCCUCAUUCUAGUCUACUUACAAUUCUUGGAAAAAGGAAUACUCACAUCUCAAACAACAGCCUGUUCAUCUGCAGUGUCCUGCCGAAUUCUAGAAAGUUUGGUGGCAAUGUUAAUUACAUUUCAAAAUUGACUGCUGCGAUAACUAAUUCGAUGGCUUACUACAUGGUCAACGUUUGGAUCUCUUCCUGUCCUUUUUGGAUGCACAUUUUUUUUCUCUAGGUAAUAUAUAAUCUCCCAACUCAUUUCUUUACAAAUGCACCUUUAAUCACCACCAAAAGGUGUGGACAUGAUCUUUACCCUAGAAAACUAUUCACCGACAGGCAAAUUGACGUCAGAAAUACUAAGAGGAAUUCUAGUUUCCUUCGGGUUAAUGCCAUUUUGUACCCUUCAACUGUAACUCAAUUUCUAAGCUGUAAUUUGUGACAUUAUAGUCCUUAAACUAUGAAACCCUUUCUUAUUUAAUUACAAUGGUUAAUACAAUGCCCGUGACUAGACAAGUAUGAAGCAACCAUAACAAAAAAAAAAUCCAAAAUUAGAGAAAAGAAAGAAGUUGCGACCAAAGUAUGUAUCAAGGCAUAGUAUAGAAAUAAAAGUGUCAAAAUUAAGAGUUUAGGGAUAAAAAAGAAUCAAAAUAUAGUUUAGGAAUUGAUUUGUCUCAAUUAGAGUUUAGAUGUCAACUAAGAAGAGAGAUAUAGUUGAAGGGUAGAAUAUAGAUAUAACAGUUCAAUGAUUGAUAUCAACGAGACAAUGACAACUUUGGAUUAUUACCAACCUCUUCUUGAUGGAAAAGGAAAUAGAGAAGAAAGUCGGGCCUGGUCUAAGCCUGUUUCGGAGGCAAAACAACAUUAUGAAAUCACCGGCAUUCACACAAAUAUGUCAAAGUCACCGGCAUGCUAAGUUGCAAAAUUUAUACAAACACUGAAUAUUAUAUUCUUCUCAAAAUUUUUGUUUAAGAUUUAACAAUUAGAGCACGGUACACGAAUUAGCAAUAUUAAAUAAUGAAUGUUCACGAUUGAUAAAGUUAUCAAAGUACAGUUUGAGGACAACCCAUUCCAACGUGUACAAGAUGUUUAGCCUUUGAAAAGUUAAUUAGAGAAGGUGACGAGAUUUUACUAGGCUUACAACUUCUAGGCCUUGGGAGUAAAAAGUGAAGACACUGAGUGCUAUAAAAAGGGGGCUAGAUGUUGCCUAGAAGCAUAUCAGCCUCGGACCACAUUUUGUAGCAAUGGGGAGCAAAGCAAAAGCAAUGGGGUCUAGGCUGACUCCUCUUUUUACCACCGUUUUAGUGGUAUUUGUUGCACUUGGCUUGCCUUCAGAAACUGCAGCUGAUUACGACAAGUAUUCACCUCCUCCUCCUCCUUACCAUUAUUACUCACCACCACCUCUUGUGCAUUCACCUCCACCACCGCCAGUUUAUAAGUCACCCCCACCACCUUAUCACUACUUCUCACCACCACCUCCAGUGUAUCCAUCUCCACCACCAUCUGUUUACAAGUCACCUCCACCACCUUCGCCAGUAUACAAGUCCCCACCACCACCUUAUCAAUAUUCCUCACCACCACCUCCAGUGCAUUCACCUCCACCACCACCGAUUUAUAAGUCACCUCCACCACCUCCUCCAGUUUACAAGUCCCCGCCACCACCUUACCAUUAUUCCGCACCAUCACCUCCAGUGCAUUCACCUCCACCACCACCGAUUUACAAGUCACCUCCACCACCUCCUCCAGUUUACAAGUCUCCAUCACCACCUUACCAUUAUUCCUCACCACCACCUCCAGUGCAUUCACCCCUACCACCACCGGUUUACAAGUCUCUGCCACCACCUUACCAUUAUUCCUCACCACCACCUCCUAUGCAUGCACCUCCACCACCAAUAUACAAGUCACCUCCACCACCUCCUCCAGUUUACAAGUCUCCACCACCACCUUACCAUUAUUCCUCACCACCACCUCCAGUGCAUUCACCCCUACCACCACCAGUUUACAAGUCUCCGCCACCACCUUACCAUUAUUCCUCACCACCACCUCCUGUGCAUGCACUGCCACCACCAAUUUACAAGUCACCUCCACCACCUCCUCCAGUUUACAAGUCCCCACCACCACCUUACCAUUAUUCCUCACCACUACCUCCAGUGCAUUCACCUCCACCACCACCGAUUUACAAGUCACCUUCACCACCUCCUCCAGUUUACAAGUCUUCACCACCACCUUACCAUUAUUCCUCACCACCACCACUCUUCAAUUUGGAUGUAAUUCAAUUUUCCUUGUAAUCGGUGGCCCUCCUUCGGAAUCCAAAUAGUCAUUGAGUGCAGCCUUCUUUCUUUAUUUUUUACUCAUUUUCACCUCAUAAAUUGCUUUCAUCCCCUAAAACUUGUUCGCUGGAAUUUUGAAUUUACCCAUACAACUAAACUCAGAAAAUUCUUACACAAAGGGAUUAGUAGCAUGAAUAGCAAACACAGAAUAAGAGAUAACAGUAUGUUUUAUUGUAUUAAAAAUAUUAAAGUGGAUUAUUUCUCCAUCGAAUUCCAUUGUGAGAGUAUCGUUACUAACAUCAAUCUUAGUUUGAGCAGUACUCAAGAAUGACCUUCCUAAUAUAAUGGGUGAUGGAUUUGGGACACUUUCAUCAUCCAUAUAAAACACAUAAAAAUCAACAGAAAAAAUUAAUCCAUCUACUUGAACUAAAAACAUCCUCAACUACCCCAUUUAGAUAAGCAAAUAUACGAUCAGCCAAUUGAAUUAUUAUCCCUAUUUCUUUUAAAUGUUCUAAAUUUAGGGAAUCAUAAAUUGAUUUAGACAUCACAUUAAUAGAAAUCUUUAAAUCUAUCAUGGCAUUUUUUAUAUUAGAAUGUCCAAUCUUACAUGAGAUAGUAAACAUACCUAGAUUCUCGCAUUUAGGUGGUAGUUUCCUUUGUAAAAUUGCUGAAACGUUCUCAUCUACCACAAUAUGCUUGUCCUCCUCAAUUUCUUCUUGUUGACACACAAGUUUUUCAAGCAUUUAACGUAUUUUGGAACUUAUUUGAUUUGCGUCCAACAAAGGGAUAUUGAUUGCCACCUUGCGAAAAUCUCUAAAAUCUCCUUUUCUUUAUCUUGUUUCUUUGAUUUCUCUAACCUGCUUGGAAAAGGUGGUGAGUUAGUUCCAACUCUAAUUAUAGAAUCAACAAUUACCUUUGGAUUCACAUUUCUCAUUCCUUCCUCCUCAAGCUCUUUGUCGAUUCGAUCUUCAUUUUUAUCCUUUGGAAUCACAACUUCGGAUCCCUGAAUUUUCUUCUCGCUCCUUAAGGUCAUUACACUUACAUUCUUCAGGUUCAGUUCAGGUUGAGACGACAAUUUUUCAUAGAUUUGGGAUUCCAGGCGGUUGAUUGCUAUUACCAUCUGACUCAUCUGACUCUGCAGUGCUUGCACCUGUCCCAAUUGAUUCCUCAUACUUUGCAAGUCAAAAUCCAUCUUUUGUUGAUUAGCAAUUAAUUGCUUCAUUAUCUCUUCUAUAGAUGGACUUGAGUUUGAAAGAGGUGGUGGCGGGCGAGACUGAUACUGUUAUUGAUACCCUUGCUAUCUAUUUGGUGCAAAAUCUGGCUACCUAUUUCCUCCAUAGCUGAGGUUGGGAUGAUCUCUCCAACCAAUAUUGUACGUAUUCGUGUACGAGUCGUAUGGUUUUCUUGGCACGGCGCGUGACCAGCCAUGUUCACUUGCUCCGUACUUUUCUCUUGAAUCAUUGAGCACAUCUCUGUAGAAUGACCCAUAGCAGUGCAGAUCCCACACAUCUUGACUCGUGAUGCAUUUCCUAUAGCUAAUUGCCUAACAAAGGAUGUUAAUUCGGUCAACUGCUGUUGGAUAGAAUAUGUUUCUACCUCAUUUACUUUGCGUGUUGGGGCAUCCUCCCUCGUACCAAACUGUUGCGAAUUUUCCGCCAUUCCUUCAACUAGCUCCCACGCUUCUCGAGAAGUCUUGUUCACCAAUGCCCUUCUACUUGCAGCAUCAAUUAUACUCCUGUCUCUAAAACGCAGCCCCUCGCAAAAAUAUUGGAUGAGCAAUUGCUCACUUAUUUGGUGUUGAGGGAACUUGAUGCAUAACUUCUUGAAUCGCUCCCAAUAAUCAUAAAGCGACUCUCCUGGAUGCUACUUGAUACCGUAUAUCUCCUUCCUUAGACUUGCAGCUCGAGAUGCAAGAAAAUAUUUGUCCAAGAACUUUUUCUUCAGCUGAUCCCACGUGGUGAUGCUACCUGGUGGUAGAUAGCACAGCCAGUCUUUUGCGGAGUCCUUCAAGGAGAAGGGAAAUGCCCUCAUUUUUAUCUAUUUUUCUGUAAUUCUCGGAGGUUUUAUGCUGUUGCAAACGACAUCAAACUCUUGCAAGUGCUUAUACGGUUCCUCACCUGGUAAACCAUAGAAAGAUGGCAAGAGAUGAAUUAGACCAGAUUUUAACUCAAAUGAAGUGUUAUCAUUUAAAAAUAGAAAAGUAACUGAGAUGCAGCACUGGAAUGUUCUUCUCGAAAUUGUCUGGUCUCUUUCUUUGUUCUACGCGUAGUCUUCUCUACCUUAGGAUCAAAAAUUAAUUUACCUGUACGAGAAGAACGAGGCAUACACUAGAAAAACACUAGAAAAUUAGAACAAAAAUGAACAUAAAAAGAAACAAAUAAACCAACGUCAGUCCCCAGCAACGGCGCUAAAAAUUGACAAGUUGUCGAUGCCUGUGCAAUAAUAAAAAUAAACCUAGUUACCAAUUAAAAUAAUCAGAGCCUAAUUCUGAGUACUAGAGCAGGGACUAUAGGUGUGCAAUGGGUUACUUGAUUCACCCUAUUCCUGAAGUUUGCUUAACCCGAUAUACCAGAAUGAGAUUGCUUAUUCAAAAGGAAUUAUUGAUUUGUAAACAGGGCAAGUAGGGUCGUAUCAUCAGGGAUUGAAAAAAUUUGUUUCUUUUCAAAUCCACAGUAACAAGGGGAUGUUUUUGUAUAAAUGAUAACAAUCUAAGGAGUGCAAAUAGAAAUAAAUAGAUAACUAGAAAUUAAAUGACAAUUCACUAAAAUUAGAGUAAUAAUAAUUAAAGGUCUAGCUAAGAAAUAACUUCAGCAAUGGUUCACCUAAUUGAUCAUCGACGCAAAGGCAAUUCCAAUUAUUUACUAAUAAAUAGGUUAUAACUGCAAAACAAGCAAUGACAGUCAACCCCUCCUUACUGUCGGUCGGUGAUUAAGGUACGCCCAAUCACUGCUCUAGUUGAGAAAUAAUUUUAGGGACGCUCGUAAGAUUUAAUUUUCCAAUUGCCUUACGUAUUAGAGGAGCCAUAAUCUAACCAAAUAACGCUACCAGGAUUAUUUUAAAUUAACCCGUGUAUUCCCUUGAUACAAAUUCAAUCAUGUCAGUUGUCACUAUUUCAAGGUAAUGAAACAAUUACGGAUUUAAUAUCCUAAUUGACAAUAGGUUACUAAAUCAAUUCACUAUUUCGAUCCAAGAUAAUCAAUCAAUUUAACAACUAAUAGCACUGCAAUCGGAGAAUAUGUAAAUACCAAUAAAUAAGAGGAAAAGAUAAAAUUAAAUCGAUCUCACAAUUUUUAAACAAAUCAAAGUAUCCGUUGUUUCUUGACUAGAAAAGAAAAUUUAGUUCAUUCCUAAUGUGAAAGACCCACGUGAGAAUUCAAAAAUAAUAUUCACGGAUAUUGUCUUGAUUCAAUAGAUUCAAUUGCGUUGGAAUAAGGAUAAAAAGCCAAACUAUAGAGAGUGAUUCAAUGUUUUGUUUCGUUUGCAUUUUUUCUACACAUAUGGAAGAAGAAAAACAACUAAAGGACGAAAAAAAAAAGUCAAAGAAAGGCACCCAAAGUAGUGCUUGGUCUCUACCAUCCUAUUUCCUAUCUAAUUACUACUUCCCUUCUGCGGCUGCCUAGAGGAAGAAAGAGAAAGCAGACUUCAGGUCUUGUUCCAUCUCCUCCCUUUUCGGCAAUUCCCCAAAAGUAGAAAAGUUCCUCCGUUUACCAAAAUGCCCCUGGAAUGAGGACUGCUACUUGAACUCAUUUUCUUGAUAACUGUCAAAUUAGCACUUGUUAUGGUAUUUGCGUCUACUUCCUGUAAUAAAUGUAAAUUGCCAAAAGUGAGUAAACUGAUAAUUAAUUUACAUCAGGUCAGGUAAUAGGAAAAAUUAAUUAUAAAAUAAAUGAUAAAAUUGCAACCUAUCACUUAGAAUAACCAGAAAUAAAACAAAACAAGAAAUGAAAGAAAUAAGAGGGUAGCAUAGACAUUUUGGAUUUUUCUGUUAAUUUGGAUGAUUUCCACCUACGGUCUAAUUUAAUCCAAAACACAAAUGGAUUAUGUGGAGAUUUUUAAACAAUGAGGGAGUAUCGUGACCGAAUCCCAAACCACAAAGGGGAUUUACUAUAUUUUACUCUUAAAUUUUGGUUUCAUCUCAUAGCAUACAAGAGUACUAUUUCACUGUCUGUCGACCAGGGAGGAGGGUUGGGUUGGGUGGUACGGGGGAGGGAGUCUAAGUAAGAGGUCUCAGGUUCGAAUCCUCCUGUUUAUACUAAAAAAAAAAAUUUACUAUCUGUCGACAAAGAUUUUCUAUGGUUGAUGUACCAUAGGAAAAAUCUGCCUAUACAAUUAUUUGGAAAAAUUAUCCAUCCAAACAUAGUCACGAUAGCAUUUUUUCAAAAACACUAGAUGCAAAAUUGUCCCCUUAAACGUGGAAAUUCAUGAUCUUUCCUCGACUAGUCUACUUGUCAAUUUUUGAAAAAAGAAUACUCACGCCAAAAACACGGCCUCUUCAUCUGCAGAAUUCUAAAAAGUUACGUAAACUCUAUAAACAAGUUGAUAGGUACAAUCGUACCCAAGAUCAAGUACAGAUAGUUGUACAUUCACUGCUGCAAUAACUAAUCUGAUGACUUACAAACACAUCAUGGUCAAUCGUUGAAUGGUAAUGAGUCUUUUGUUAUGCAUUAGUAUUAGUGUGUACACUCUAAUAGAUUGAUACUUAUACUCUUUAAAUUAUCAUAAUAAUACCCUUAAUUAACUUUAACCCUUAAAAAGAAUACGUGUUAAUACACGAGAGUGUGUAACCUGAAUUGUUACUUAUACAUUAGUGUGUAAUAGAACGGCAAGCAUUAUGGUGGUCAUUGAGCAACUUAUAGGAGAAAUAGUCCUAUAAGCUGUUCAAUGACCAAUCACAACUUGCUAAUUGGAUGACUAAUAUAGCUCUAGCUGUAAUGUUUUAAUUAAAUUCCACACUAACGUUGGGAUGACUUUUUAAUCAAAAAAAAAAAAGCCUUAGUUCAAGCUUUUCCCCUUAUUGUGCAUUUUUUAAAACAUUUGAUAGGCACUGCAAAUCUGUCAUUUUGGACAUUUUAUUAUUAACUAACAAUGAAAGCCGUGGACAUCAACCCAUAUCCAACAAAAUAUUAAAUUAAUAUUAGAAAAAUUAUUAAGUAAUUGGAAAAAAAAAAGAAGAGGCUAAUUUUCAUUGAAACCCACCGACAAACUAUCCGUGUCCAUAGCUUUUGAAUAGUGCAUUCAACGUUUAAUUGUAUGGUCCAGUUCAUUGCCGAUUACAUGGAGUAAAGAUUGUGCUCUUUCCUUUUUCACCCCUUUUGGAAUCGAUACUGUGGAGAAUUGGGUUUUUCCCUCCUUUUUUUCUUUUCUUUCCUUCUGUGCUUUGCAAAACAUACGUAAAAAUAUGAAAUCCGAAGCAUUCUUUAAUUGGGAUUAAGUAUUGUUGUUGAAAUUAAAAAGAAGAAAGAAAGAACAACAAAAAUCCCAAUCUGGGUUGAUUGUUGAGCUCUAGAUUGGCUGCAUCGUGCUUCCAUAGAAGUUCUCUUAGUGUGAUACGCUGCUUUCAAUCAGUUUUAAUAUUUAAGUAGAGUGCAAAAUAACUUUACUAUUUAAUGGGUUAUAAUGCACCAUUUGGUACCUCUCACCCACCUAUGAUUUGAUUUACUACUGGCAUGGUAAUGGACAGAGUUGGGGGAGCAGGAGGAGGGAGAUGGCGGUACCAGUCCGUCAACCACAGCACACCCUCCCUCGGACUUUGCGUGGUAGCGAAGUGGAGGCAGAUCGAGCACACAUGCACUAACGCCUUAAGUAUGUACAAUAUAUGUAUGCCAAAAGCAUAGCCAAGCCUACCAGCGCAUUUCAAUAAUAUAACCCGGAAAUUAAGGGCAUUGAAUUAAGUACGAUGAAUCAUAUUGGUGCACAAUUACAGUUUGAAGCUACCGAUUCGAGUAAAUUUAAGCGUAAGCACAAUCAAUCGCCAGUCAAAUGCUGAAAUAUGCAUAUGCAUGGAUGAAUGUAUGGGUUUCUUAGUUCCAGACCAAAGGCCAACAAUAAGGGAAGGAAGGACAGUUCUCAUUUUUAGCACGGACAAGGAGAUGAAGAAAAGUGUAUGUAGCUUGAGACAGAACAAUGGCAUGUGACCGCUCCUGAGACCACAUAACGUGGGGUGGGGAUGGGACGGCCAAGAAUGAAGAUGCCUGUCGGUCUCUCCGUGCUGCUACCAUAUGAAUCCCCCGUUAACCAAUUCAAGAUAAGCCUGAAGUUCUUUUCAUCCCCAAACCCUGUCCCAUCUGUGUAAAUCCAACAUCAUCAUUUACGACCUGCAACUCAGGUUAAGCAUGUUCUAUUGAGAUUCAGACACCACCCUUCAAAAGAUAUACUACUGUGAAACCAGCAGCUUAAUAUCAUUGUAUAAAAAAAAAAAAAAAAGAAAGAAGAAAAGACAUGAAAAGCAAAUUUUGUGGGGAUAAUUUCAAAAUCUCUCCUAAAGUUUUUUACUAUUUUACUGGCCUCCUUUCAAAUUUUAAAAAUUACACCAGUCUUCCUUGAGAUUAUUUAUCUUGUAACAUUGAGGUCCAAUCAAUAAUUAAAAAAUGAUAUUAUGAGAGAGAAAAAAAAUAAACUUUAACAUCAUAAAUAUUCUUAUCAACAUAUUAAAGUUAGUUACUGAAAUUUUUAUGGUGUUAAACUUCACUCUUUGUAAUAUUUUAGUUACAGAUUUUUUGAUUACUUGUUGUUGAUUUUUUUUUUUUUAGUGUAAACAGGAGGACUCGAACCUAAGACCUCUCACUUACACUCCCUCCCCCCGUACCACCCCAACCCAACCCAACCCUCCCCUCGUUGUUGAUCAUGUUUGACAAUGGAUUUGUAAUUGAAAAGAACAAUUUGGAUCUUACAUUGAGUGAAAUAUAUAGAAUGAUAUACUAUUUUUUAUGGCAUAUGUGAUUCAAUCCUUGAUGAUAAAAGCAAAUUCAAGUGUUUUCUUUAAUGUUUGUGCUGAUAUUAGAUUAAUUAAAUAAUUUAGUAGAUGAAGGAAAAUGGUGAAAUCAUAUUAUCUUCUCUUUCCUAAUAUCACUAUUUAAUUAUUGAUUGAACUUAGAUAUUACAAAUAAUAAAUCUCAAGGGAGAUUAGUAUAAUUUUCAAAUUUUGGAGAGAAGCUAAUGAAAUAGUCAAAAACCUUAAGGGAGGUUUACAAAAUUAUCCCAAAUUUGUGGGAAUUAGAAUAAUUGUACUGGACGGCACUGCCGCAACAGAGGGAAAGAGGAGGAGGUGCAGUUAACUUUUUGUUGUUUGAAAUCCUUGGUGAAAUAUUACAGAAAGACAGAUAAAACAGUUAGUACAUAGAUGUAUAUGACAGGGAAAAUGGUACGUCUGUUAAUCACAUUUGAAACACUUUCAUUGGUGAAUGACGAAAACUAUCAGGCUUGCCCAAUAGUUGAUCAUUGACCAAGACAAAUCUUGCCAUGCUAGAGGUACCAUCUUUUCGUACCUCUUUAGUGCACAGGACAUUCCUUUGUUUCAUCUAGCUAAUAAUCUACCAACUCAUUUCUUUGCAAAUGCACCUUUUAUGGUCACGUCUACGAAAGCUUUACAGGAUCUUUACCCAAAAAAUCAAUUCACCGACUCGCAUUUGAUGUCAAAAUUUCUUUACUUUACUCCAAGAUUGACUGUUAAUAAUAAUGCCACUUUGAAUUAUCACACCAUCCUUCUUGAUAGGAUUUGUGCUAGAGGUAGGGAGGGAGUCGCUGCAGCCGGUCUUCUCUUCAUAGACAGUACAAUAUUGCGAAAUCGAUCGCAUUCACGCAAUAUUAUAUUUCCAAGUCGUUGCAUGGGUAAGCUGCCAAAAAGUACGAACACAUGUUAUUAUAUAGCUUAAGAUUCAAAACUUUCGAGCAUAACCCUCCACCUAACACAAUUGAAUAAUGGAUAUUCACGAUUGUCAAAUCUGUCAAAGUACAGUUUGAGGACAACCCAUUCCAACCUGCAAAAGGUUUUUUUACUUUUCUAAAGUUGUUGAGAGCUGUUAAAAGAUUUACCAUGCUUACAUCUUCCGAGCCUUGGGAGUUAAAAAUGAAGGCACUGAGUGCUAUAAAAAGGGAAUAGAGGCUGCCUAGAAGCAUACCAGCCUAAAACAAGGAUUUGUAGUUAUGAUGGGAAGCAAAGCAAAAGCAAUGGGGUCUGGGCUGACUCCUCUUCUUGCCACUGUUUUAGUGGUGUUUGUUGCUCUUGGCUUGCCCUCAGAAACUGCAGCUGAUGAUCACUACAAGUAUUCAUCUCCUCCUCCUCCUUACACUAUCCCUCACCACCACCUCCAGUGCAUAUACCUCCACCUCAUCCUGUUUACAAGUACAAAUCUCCACCACCCCCACCACCACACCCAGUUUACAAGUAUAAGUCACCACCACCACCUCCUCAUCCGGUACCACACCCAGUUCCUCAUCCGGUGCCACACCCAGUUCCUCAUCCGGUGCCACACCCAGUUUACAAGUAUAAGUCACCACCACCACCUCCUCAUCCGGUACCACACCCAGUUCCUCAUCCGGUACCCACACCCAGUUUACAAGUAUAAGUCACACCACCACCUCCUCAUCCGGUACCACACCCAGUUUACAAGUAUAAGUCACCACCACCACCUCCUCAUCCGGUAUACAAGUAUAAGUCUCUCCGCCACCAACACCCAGUUUACAAGUAUAAGUCACCACCACCACCUCCUCAUCCGGUGCCACACCCAGUUUACCACUACAAGUCACCACCACCACCUCCUCAUCCGGUACCACACCAGUUUACCAUACAAGUCACCACCAAUCCUCACCCAGUUUACAAAUACGAGUCUCCACCACCUCCAGUUUAUAAGUACAAGUCACCACCACCUCCUCCACCAGUUUACAAGUAUAAAUCUCCUCCACCACCACCACCAGUUUACCACUACAAGUCUCCACCACCUCCUCCCCCAGUUUACAAAUACAAGUCUCCACCACCUCCUCACCACUACUAAGCAAUUGCUUCUGAGGUAAUAACACUUGUUCAAUAUACCCACUUCUGCAUGAUAAAGCAUAUCUCUAUCAACACAAACUGUCAUGUCUAUCAUGCUAAGUGCCUUCACUUCAUCCACCAAAAUGACUGCUAGAAAAUUUUUUUUAUGUUACCAAAGAAAGGCAUCAUUUUUUCCCUCUGUUAUCAAGAACUUGUACAGUAUAUAGAUUAAAGAGUUUUUAUUUUAACUAGCUUAUCAACUUAGAAAUGCAUAUAGCUGAUAACCAGCUGAAUAUUUGCAGGCAAAGGAGAAGGAAACCAUGUUUGAGACCUUCUUGAAGAUGUAGAAGCAUAAGAAUAAAAGCCCAAUGUGAAGAUGAUGAUUUCAAGUUUUUCUACGUUACCAUUUCUUUAUCUAAAUUGGUUGUAGCGCCCAAGUUCCUUUGUUUAUGGGAUUUGUAUCGUUUUACGUACCAUGCAGUACAUGUCAUGUUUGUAAGGUUUUCUAUCCUGCCGGCAAACCGCAGGUUCCAUGUGAUAAAUGAAUACUAUUUAUGUUACGACA
RNAcentral lists this long non-coding RNA (119962 nucleotides) under Coffea arabica (coffee). RNAcentral describes it as "long non-coding RNA (CARA_LNC007267)". The stretch from base 112219 to 112325 matches the Rfam family "Plant small nucleolar RNA R71". The record is from RNAcentral. Lineage: Eukaryota; Viridiplantae; Streptophyta; Magnoliopsida; Gentianales; Rubiaceae.